UUCCAAUUCUACGGUCUCGUCGAUUUUUUCUACUUUAUGUGGGAUCAAGAAAUAGCAUGUACAGGGGCCUUCGCACCCAACACACACAGUAGUAUAGCAUGUUCUUUCACAUGUUUUACCAUUAGUCGUUUGGUUCGAUCGAUCACAAGCCCCUGCUGCUGAACAGCAAAGCGACUAAACAUGCAACAAAUCACCAAACUCCAAUUUAUUAUUAUACACCAAAGGCGCACACAAGUUCAACCGAAGAACGAUACUAAAAACUCAGUCGGCUGAUAGGUGGAUCAUCAAAGGAGAAUCAAUGCAUCCAGAAGUAAGGCCAACAUAGGAGAGGUGCACCACGCGAGAGACAUAGCCAGUCGAGGAAAUUCAGCCAGUGAUCCUCAGAAGAACCCCCGGACAACGCCACCCCCACGCUGCAUGGUAGGCUUCACAUGCCACCUAGUCCAUGACUUUUGCUCCUAGCGGACACACCCUUUGAUUUCCCUCCUUUUAUCUGCAAAAUUGCCCAAUUUGUUAGCCACUCACAUAUCAACCUGAUAAGCAUAAUUAGAACAUUUAUUAGCUUUUUUUUCAAAAACAACAACUGUUUCUGCAUCUCCAAAUUGUCCAAAAGUUAGCAGCCACACCAACUAACACCCUUUUUUGGUUACAUCAUGUUGAUUUUUUUAAUAGAGACACUAAAGCACAGAAUCAGAUUAGUAGGAUUGAUCUCAAAUUUAAAGUAUAUUUAAGAAAACCCCACACUAGUCUAUUGCUCUCAUCUUGACCACAAAACACACAAUUUUUGGGAUCUAUCCAGCCACUCUUCAAUAAAUGGUCUCUAGGUAAUACGCUAUUUUUGACCAUCAACCAAAGAAAGACUUUGAUUUUUGGUGGAAUUUUAUUUUUUUCUUAAAACAAUUGUGACAAACCACAAUAUUGAACAACAAGGUGUCUAUAAAGUGUUUUGACUGUAAAAAGACCAUAUGCAGUUAACAUACACUUAAUAGAAUCCUUGUUGUGAGACAUCACAUUCCAUCACAUCUCAUUUUGAGGCUAUCCCAAAGAGCUAGAGUAUCACCUCACAAAGUUCUUCUAAAUCUAAAACCCUCCCAACCUCUCUACAAGGCAUCAGUUGUAGUAAUAUUCUAAUCAGAACUCAAAUUAUACAGUAUAGCAUCAGAGAUUUUAAGGGGUUUAUAAUCCACCAACAGUAUUCCCAAAAAUCCAGCAUUCUUGCCAUUACCACUUUUUUACAAUAUUGGUAGAAUGUGUAUUUAAUUUUCAUGAUACUGGACCAGAAAUGGGAGUCCCCAGUCUUAGGUUUAGUUCCAAAAAGGCAACCAUUCCGAAGAUGCUUGUUCAGGAGAAUCAUGUGCCAAAUACCAUUUUUAUUUUCUACCAUAACUAUUUAGCAGACAAGUUUUGUUCAUGAGUUCAAGAUUUAAAAUCCCUAAACCCCCUUAAUCUUUAGGUCUAAAUCAAGUGUUCCACUUUACUAAGUGUUAUUUUUUUUCUUAUUGUCAUCUGCCUACCAAACAAAUCUAGCCAUGAAAAAAUUGGCUCUUUUCUUCACAUCAACUGGGAUGGGGUAGAAAAACAUCAUACAUAAGUUGAAUAUCCCCCUCUAUUGUUAAAUCUUCUCUCAUAGUGAUAGUUAUCAAAUCUCUCCCCUUUUGUUGAAACUACCUUGCACGCCUGCACCACCAUAAGACCUAGCCAUCCCUUCUUGCUCACCAGAUGGCGGCGUAGCAGUCAAGCCUUACCACACAUCGAUUGCUUGCCCACCAAAUUCUCUUAGGGGGCGGACCAAAGCAUCUAAAUACCCAAAGGUAGCACAAGGCGCAUUCUCCUUAAGUGCUUUCCUAUUCCACUAACCUGGACCUCCUAUACCAAAAACAUCUAGUCCAACCGCCCAGGGCCAACUACAGAAGGUUCUAUGGGUAAAGGCCAAAACCCUAAAACUCACCCCCUCCUUGCUCAAUAUUUAUCAUCACAACAUCAAUGUAAUCUAAGAAAUCCACCCCAAAAACAAGCAUAUCCUUUGUAAAAUUGGCAAGGGUAGCUGGAAAAUUACCAAUUCUCAUAGCCUUUUUGACUAGAUUUCCACCAACAUCGAAAUUCCAUUUAAAAACUAUAUCAUCACAAAUUUUGAUAUUGUGGGUAUCAACAUCAGAAAGAUCCAAGGACAAACCAUCCUCAUAACAGUAUUACGAUCAAAAUCAAUGACAUGAUCAACUUCCAUCGGAAAAUCCACCGAAGACUUUUCGAGCAUGCAACUAAGAUAUCCUAACACUAUUUCUCGCAACUACAAUCCUCCCAACUGUUAGUUUGUACAUGAGGAUGUAAAUAUUUGUAGAGAUCAGCAAUCUUACUUGAAAAUGAAGCAGCAAAACGAUUGUAGGAGUCGUCGACUCCUCCCCGGCAGCAGCCAUAAUUGACUGCCUGCCAGGAAGACGCCUACUCGUCGGCGGCGCGCUGUGCAAGCGCCUGGAUCCGCGCAGAACGCCGGGGGAACCGAGGGGAGCGACGAGGCAGCUGUGAAAUCACCCGCGCCACAUUUUGCCUCGGCACCACCCGCACAUCGUCGUCGGUCAUGACAGGCAUCACCGGACAGUGUGGCGGUGACCUUGUCGCCGUGGUCACCACCCGCACACCAUCCCAGAUCAGAUUGGACGAAACCCAAUCAUACGACGCGUAGCGGUACCACCGCGCGCGCUGCACCGGAUCGUUGGAUUCCGCCUCCAUCAUUGCCCAAUAGAGAAUCUCGAGCGGGGACUUCCCUGAGAUCCAACUUUGUUCCUCCUCUGAGGCCUCUUCAAACACCCGACGUGAUUCCUGAUGCAUCUCCUCCGCAUCCCUGUACUGCCCACAGAUCUCGCGAAGCCUCGCCAUCUUCGUCUCGUCGCUACCGCGAUUGCCGCCGCCAUGAUCUCCCCCCACGCCAAAGGCCCUUCCAUCACCGAGAUCUGAGACGAAGGUUGGAGGGGAAGAAGAAGGGGAUCGUCGACACCCUCGUGCCUCGCGUGUAGAUUUAAUGCUUGCCAAAGUCAUAGGUAUUCAUUGCCCACAUCACGGGUUCCUCGAGAUUAGUGUGGGAUCAACACCGUUGAUUUUUUGGAAAUUAUUAUGUCCUGGAUGUUGCGAAAUCAUCUAUUAGGGGCCAUCCUAUCACGAUCCCGAUGCCAAGUUGUACUCCACUAAAACUAGAAUUGGCAUCCGUCCAUCCACGGAACGAGCACAAGCCAACAAGAUUACACCAAACGUGACGCUGCACCAGUUUCAGUUUCACAGGUACGCUGCCGUGGGAAAGCGAAGAAAUUGUUGGUAAAGUGAGAGAAGGACAGCAUGGUAAACGAUGUCUGGUCCAGGUCCCGUCUGCCGCCCGCCACACCGCAAACGCACCAUCCAGCUCACUUUUGCCUGGAUUGUGUCGAUGCGAUGCAAUGCAAUUCCCUGGAUGCCAAUUGUUUGGUGGAACCACAAUUUCAGUCUUGACAUACGUACAUGACCCAUGACGCAUUGUCCGGCCAAACUUCUAAAUGCAAUACACGUAGGCUAGAAAUUCCCCAUUCGGAAAAACAAGAGGAAGAAGUUGACCUCCGCAUCCUGGUGCCGGAGAACAAAACGGCCGACAGAUGCAGCAUCGUUAAUGUGGAAAAUUGAUCUCUCUCAGAAAAAGAAAAAAAAUGGAAAGCCGAUCCUGGCACGCACAAGUCUCUCUCGGUGACAAACGCGUGCACUGUUGUAUGUAUUUAGGUGACGAUGGAAGCCGCGCUAGGAUAGGAAGUUAAGUGAUCACGCAUCGAUCAUUCGACAUGCACCAAAACUAGAGUUUUCACACCUGACAGUCACGCCCACCUAAAAUGGCACCCUUUGUCAGUGAUUUUUUUGCGAGGCACCCUUUGUCAGUGUUACACCCUUCUCACGCAUUCUUGAUCGUGAAGCUUCUCGUAUGAACAAACAAGUAAAUGGCCAACGGAACGAGGGCACACGAAAAAAAGCCGCCGCCUCCUCCUCCAGAAAAAAAAAAGCUAAGGUUUCUACCUCCCGCCGGCAACGCCGCAAGUCCGCCUCCUCUCCGAUGGCUAUAGGGCCAUGGGGUGCGGUGGAUCUCGGCAAGUGCCGGCGGGAGGGCUCCGUUUUUAGUCGUUUCUUUCAGUUUUGCUAGGGUAUGUGUCCUGCUUAGGAAGACGAGAAGGCGGCGGCUCCCUGAAGAUGGAAUAAAGGUCUCCCCGCCUCGCCCCUGUUCCGGCGGUGCGUCUAGCACCAUUGGUGGACGUGUGGAGGUGUGUCUUCGACGGAUCUAUCUUUGAUGGAUUUGCUCGGAUCUCGUCGUUGUUUGUCUACGUUUGUGUGUCUUCGAGUUGGAUCCUUCUGAUCUACGUUAUUCUUCAUCUGGGGCGGUUGCUGUUCUGGUGUGCUGAUCCUACGGGGCCUUAGCACGACAACUUUCCGACUGUCUAGUACAACAAGUUGUGCCCGACUCCGGCGAUGGAGGGGCGAUGACAGCGGCGCGCCUCCGGCUCGCUUCAGUGCUUAUAGUCGUUGGUAGGUGGUCUACGGAUCUGGAUGUAAUCUUUAUUAUUUCUAAUAUUCAUUGUACUGGCAUGAUUGAUGAUGAAUAGAUCACAAAUUUUCCUGAAAAAUAAGUAAAUGGAUAGAGAAAGUUUGUUGUCUGUCGAGUACCUCGGCAGUCAGCUAGGAGUACUUAAGCAGGAGUGGCCGUUUGAAUCAAUCAGGCGGCGGGAGAUACGUACUCCCAUUCCGGAGAAAAAGUAGGCUAGUGAGCGGACCUAGAAGGACGCACUAAAUCUCACGCGGACGUCGCGGAUGUGCACGUACGGGCUCGAGUGCGCGGCAGCGGCCGCGUGUAUGCGAUGAGGCCGGAUUCUACACGAGUGAAUCAGCAGUCGGAGAGAGUCCAUUCCAGGUUAAGACCAAAUCCUCUUGCCUCGACAAGACUUCCUGCCGAGACAGACGCGUCCGUACUUACGUGAGCCAGCAGCAGUCGGCACACACGUUUUUUUUGGAAACAGAGGCAUGAGAUUUGCGUCAUCUAUUAAAUAAGGAAUCUAUUAAAUAAGGAGAGAAUAGAGUUUAGAGAAUUACAACACACCCACACAUUCGGCAUGACAAUUACUCGCCCAGAAAAAUAUUCCUAAUUUCUUUGCGCCUGCGGCCAUCCAAAGCUUGGCCUCGUCGACGAUGGCGGUGAGCAGGAUGGUCGGUGGUGCACUUUUGUGGCAGAACACCCGUGCAUUUCUUUCAUUUCAAAUGGUCCACGAGACGAGCAUGGUGAGGGAGGCCAUAGCUUGCCGGUUAGGGUUGCGGUUGUCGGUUCUCUUGUCCCACCACUGGUAGACGGAGUCGUCCAUGAGCCACUCGGAUGUAUCCAUGUGCGCAAGACCUAGCUUCUCAAUGAGAGACUUCCAUAGCCGGAUCGUGUAGAGGCACUUGAAGAAAAGGUGGGCUCCCGAUUCUUGCUCCCUAUUGCAAAGCUUGCAAAGGCCACAAUUUGGCCAACCUCGACGCUCCAAGCGACCGGCGGUCCAAAUCCUAUCUUGUAACGCCAACCAAGCAAAAAACUUAACCUUUGGGAGUGCCCAUGCCUUCCAAACCAUGCGAUCCAAGGGGGAGAGAGUCAUGCCUAGGAAUUGAGCCUUGUACGCGCUGGCCGCCGUGUAGAUCCCAUCGUUCGCAUGCUUCCAAACGAUGGCGUCUUCGGUUUGCUCAUGAAGGUGGACGUCAUUAAGGAGCAUCCAAAGAGUGAAGAACUCCCUAAUGUGGGCAAUGGAGACAACCGUGUCCGUGUCAUGAUUGAUCUCGAAGAUCCAAGCGUUCCCCCUGAGGGCCUCACGGACCUUCCAAUUCUUUCUUCUCGAGGCCGCAAACAAGAGUGGCGCGAUAUCCUUGGGUUUGCGACCAAGAAGCCACGGGGAGGCCCAAAAAGGCGUUUUGAAGCCAUCCCUUACAGUGAUAGUCGUAGAGGCAUAGAAAAACUCGAGGUCCUCCUCCGUGCACGGGUUUCCAAGGCCAACCCAUAAUCUGCGGGGCUCAGUCCAUUCAUACCAUAGCAUUCGGAGCCGCAAAGCACGUGCAAACUUGUCGGUGUCGAGCACCCCAAGGCCACCAUAUUCUUUUGGUCUACAAACCACCUUCCAGUUGACCUUGCAUUUGGCUCCCGUUGUCUUGUCCGAGCCGGACCAAAGGAAAGCUAUCUCAAUUUUUUUAAGACUAUGGAGAGAGCUCUGAGGCACGACGAGGGGCGUGAUGGAGAAUACUGCUUGGGAGGUAAUGACCGACCUAACAAGUGUCGUACGACCUAUGGUAGUGAUGUUUUGGCCCUCCCAAGUUACCAAUUUGCCGGCCGCUUUGUCCUCAAGGUAUCGGAAAUCCACCUUCUUGAGUUGCCAAACAGAGAGUAGUAGUCCUAGGUAUUUGACCGGAAAAGAGGCACGUGCUGCCGGCAUGCUCUGAAGAAUUUGCUCAAGGUCAAGGUGAUUGCAACGAAUAGGCACAACCGAGCUUUUUUGGAAGUUGGAACAAAGGCCUGUGACGUCCCCAAAGCCUCUCAGGAUAGAGGCAAGAUUGUCGAUGUCCCGCUUGAUGGGGGCCACAAAGACCGCCGCAUCAUCCGCAUAGAGGGAGGUGCGCACCAUGGCACCCCGACCACAGAUCUUAUGUAAGAGCCCUUUUCCCGUCGCCAAGUCUAGGAUCUUAUGCAAGGGGUCAAUUGCCAGGACAAAGAGGAGUGGAGAGAUGGGGUCCCCCUACCUGAAUCCACGGCCAUGCUUGACAGGAGGGCCGGGUAGCCCGUUUAGCAUUAUCCGAGAUGAAGAAGAGGAUAGAAGCGCAACAAUCCAAGCUCGAAAUUUUGGAGGGAAGCCCAACCGUUGGAGCAGCUCAAGAAUGUAUCCCCACUUGACUGAGUCGAAAGCCUUUUUUAUAUCAAGAUUGAAAAGGAGUGCGGGGGUCUUGCAUUUGUGUAGACGCCGGGCGAAAUUCCAAACAUACAUGAAGUUGUCGUGGAUACUUCUCCUUUUAAUGAAAGCACUCUGGGCAUUGGAAACGAGGUCAUCCAUGUGGGGCGCAAGGCGUAGCGAAAGAACCAUGGCAAUGAUUUUAGCGAUGGCAUGUAUGAGGCUAAUGGGCCCAUAAUCAGAGAUGCCUUCCGCGCCAUCCUUCUUAGGCAGCAGAACAACAUUGGCAGAGUUUAGCCACUGCAGGUUGGAGGUGUGUAAGCAAUCGAAGCAUUGAAUGACCCCCAUGAUCGUAUGUUUGAUGAUUCCCCAACACUUCUUGAAGAAGAUCCCCGUGAAACCAUCCGGUCCCGGCGCCUUGUUACUAGGCAUCUCUUUUAUAGCCUCCCAAACCUCCUCCUCGGUGAUGGCGGCGUCGAGGUCUUGCAAGGCAUGGGCCUCAAUGCCCAGUUACUCCCAAUUGAAAUCCUUAUUGCUCGUACUUCCCCGGCCCAUGACCUCGGAGAAGUGAUCAUGGAUGAUCUUCUCUUUUUCCUUGUGGUCGGUCACCCAACCAUGAGCAUGCUUUAGCCGGUGAAUAUGGUUUUUUCAACUACGGGCAUUGAUGCGACGGUGGAAGAAUUUGGUGUUGGCAUCACCCUCCCUUAGAUUUGCCAAUCUAGCACAUUGGCUCUUCCUAGCCCGCUCAAGAACCGCCAAACUAACCACUCUUCGCUUAAGUCUAGCACUGAAGGAAAUAUGCCCUAGAGGCAAUAAUAAAGUAUUAUUUAUUUCCUUGUAUCAUGAUAAAUGUUUAUUAUUCAUGCUAGAAUUGUAUUAACCAGAAACAUAAUACAUGUGUGAAUAUAUAGACAAACAGAGUGUCACUAGUAUGCCUCUACUUGACUAGCUCGUUAAUCAAAGAUGGUUAUGUUUCCUAGCCAUAGACAUAAGUUGUCAUUUGAUUAACGAGAUCACCUCAUUAGGAGAAUGACGUGAUUGACUUGACCCAUUCCGUUAGCUUAGCACUCGAUCGUUUAGUAUGUUGCUAUUGCUUUCUUCAUGACUUAUACAUGUUCCUAUGACUAUGAGAUUAUGCAACUCCCGUUUACCGGAGGAACACUUUGUGUGCUACCAAACGUCACAACGUAAAUGGGUGAUUAUAAAGGUGCUCUACAGGUGUCUCCAAAGGUACUUGUUGGGUUGGCGUAUUUCGAGAUUAGGAUUUGUCACUUCAAUUGUCGGAGAGGUAUCUCUGGGCCCACUCGGUAAUGCACAUCACUAUAAGCCUUGCAAGCAUUGUGACUAAUGAGUUAGUUGCGGGAUGAUGCAUUACGGAACGAGUAAAGAGACUUGCCGGUAACGAGAUUGAACUAGGUAUCGAGAUACCGACGAUCAAAUCUCGGGCAAGUAACAUACCGGUGACAAAGGGAACAACGUAUGUUGUUAUGCGGUCUGACCGAUAAAGAUCUUCGUAGAAUAUGUGGGAGCCAAUAUGGGCAUCCAGGUCCCGCUAUUGGUUAUUGACCGGAGACGUGUCUCGGUCAUGUCUACAUAGUUCUCGAACCCGUAGGAUCCGCACGCUUAACGUACGAUGACAGUUUUAUUGAGUUUUGAUGUACCGAAGGAGUUCGGAGUCCCGGAUGAGAUCGGGGAUAUGACGAGGAGUCUCUAAAUGGUCGAGACGUAAAAAUCGAUAUAUUGGACGACUAUAUUCGGACUUCGGAAAGGUUCCGAGUGAUUCGGGUAUUUUUCGGAGUACCGGAGAGUUACGGGAAUUCGUAUUGGGCCUUAAUGGGCCAUACGGGAAAGGAGAGAAAGGCCUCAAAAGGUGGCCGCACCCCUCCCCAUGGUCUGGUCCGAAUUGGACUAGGGAAGGGGGGCGCACCCUUCCUUCUUUUUCCUUCCCCCUUCCCUUCUCCUACUCCCACAAGGAAAGGAGGAGUCCUACUCCCGGUGGGAGUAGGACUCCCCCCUAUGGCGCGCCUCUCCCCUUGGCCUGCUGCCUCCCCCUUGCUCCUUUAUAUACGGGGGCAGGGGGCACCCAGAGACACAACAAUUGAUCCUUGAGAUCUCUUAGCCGUGUGCGGUGCCCCCCUCCACCAUAUUACACCUCGAUAAUACCGUUGCGGAGCUUAGGCGAAGCCCUGCGUCGGUGGAACAUCAUCAUCGUCACCACGCCGUCGUGCUGACGAAACUCUCCCUCAACACUUGGCUGGAUCGGAGUUCGAGGGACAUCAUCGAGCUGAACGUGUGUAGAACUCAGAGGUGCCGUACGUUCGGUACUUGAUCGGUCGGAUCGUGAAGACAUACGACUACAUCAACCGCGUUGUGAUAACGCUUCCGCUGUCGGUCUACGAGGGUACGUGGACAACACUCUCCCCUCUCGUUGCUAUGCAUCACCAUGAUCUUGCGUGUGCGUAGGAAUUUUUUUGAAAUUACUGCGUUCCCCAACAAGCACGCAGGUCCCUCUCCUCAGGUGAGAGGGCUCGUUCCUCUUGCGCCAACUCCAACUGAAGGAUCACCGAGAGGGCCGCAUGGAGUUGGAUCUUGGCCUUGGAGAAAAACUUCUUGCUCCAUUCAGUGAGCCGGGUCGCGGUUUUCUUGAGCCUAUGAUGAAGAAUUUGGAAAGGCUCUGUGUGGUUUACAUGCUCAUUCCACGCCUUUAGGACGACGUCAUAGAAUCCAGGCAAAGAUACCCAAUUUUUUUCAAAUUUGAAGGACCGUGGACGUUUAGGUCCCUUGUCAUCGGCAAGCAGGAGGGGGCAAUGGUCGGAGAGGGAAGAUGAAAGGGCAUGUAACACAUGUGUGUUGAAAGUAGUGUCCCACUCGGCGUUGCAAAAGAAAGAGUCAAGCUUGCAAAGGGUGGGGUUUUCCCGCUCAUUGCUCCAAGUGAAGCGUCUAUGUUGGAGAUGAAUUUCUUUGAGCUCACAAGAUUGAAGGGUUGCGCGGAAACGGUUUAUCCUACUCCAGUUUACAUUUCUCUUGUUCUUGUCUCGUGCUCGGUAGAUUUGAUUAAAAUCCCCAAGGGCCAACCAAGCAACACCUGACAAAGGCUUGUGGGCGACAAUCUCGGUAAAGAAAGAAUCUUUACUAGCGUGGUUAGUGGGACUGUAGGCAGAUGUUAUCUUGAAGUAUACAUAUGUCGCUCGAAUGCGAACCUUGCCGGAGAGGCAAAAGGCCGACGAAGAAAUGUCGGAGACCUCGACGACGUUGUCAUCCCAUAGUAAUAAGAUCCCACCACUAGUUCCCGUCGCCGGUCGCUGCGCAAAACUUUUCAGCCGGUUGCCACCAAGGAAGGCAGCCACAUAUUUGUCCACGCUAACUAGCUUCGUCUCUUGUAAACACACAAUUUGGCACGAGGAGUCUGCAAUCGUAGCGCUGACGGUUGCCCUCCGGGCUGGGCAGUUUAGACCACGUAUGUUCCAACUCAGGGUGUUUAUAGGUUGUGGAGUCAUGGGGCACACGAACAUUCACUUUGAACAGUCCAGGAGGGAGGACAGCAACGAACGGACAGCAGAAUAACAACAGUAUUGAACUGAGCUACAAACCCCAUUGGAGCACAUGAGUACUGGACGUAGCUUAACAUAUGGACGUAGCCUAACACAUAUGGCCGAGCCAAGUGGCACUAGACUUACACAUAGAUGGAACUAAGGCAGCCAACAGGCUGACACACAUUACAGUGCAGAGGAGAGCUAACAUAAUCAACUAAAACAGCCCUGAACGACGAACUGGACGAGCAAGUCGCCGCCUACUGUGCUCACAGGCUCGGCUGAGCCGCACUAGCAUCCUGGGACAUCUCCAAAGCUCCCUCACCACCGUGAUCAAUCAGUGCAUCCUCGACAUCGUUGACAGCCUUGUCGUCAAGGUGAAAAAAAAUCCCUCAUGGCCAUAAUCAGCUCAGGAGCAAGUUGCUCUUUGAACUUGGCAGUGAAAUCAGCAAGUGUAGCCUCUGCUACGUCUUCUCCAUCUCUGACUAUCCCAAAGGACCGGCAAACUAGCUUCUUCGCCGCCUUGGCUGUUGGGAGCACCAUAUGGGUGCGUUUGAUUUUCUGCAGGGAGAGCCCCCCCUUGUUGGAGAUCUUGACGCCGGCAAGGGUCUUCCGGCGAGCCGUGGGAGGCCUGGGAGGGGGGGACUCGGGCGGAGCAAGGAUGCCCAUCUGGCGCUCCUCAAAAAUAGGCGCCAGAACAUCUUCAAGGCAAGGUAAAGCACGGCUUCGCACGGGGGAGGGCGUGCGCUGCAGAGGGCCGUCGCAGAUCAGGGGCGGUGUAGGCGAUGUCUGGAAACCCGGCGGCCUGGAGGGCGACCGCAGGGGCAGCAUGAGAGACGCGGGCGCACAAAGCUCCAGCAAGGCUUGACUGGGCGCGGGGCUCGCCAGGGGGGAAGUCGAGGCCACAGCGCGCUUGGAGAUCAGGCUUGGCGGCAGCACGGUUGUCGAAGACAGCGGAGGGGACACCGGGGGGGUCCGCUCCUUGAGAGCGGCGCCUGGAGGAGCGUGGAGAGGUCUGACGCGUCGGGCUGCGCCCCCGAGCGUCAACGCCGGCAGGGUCGGGGACGACCGACAGCUCAAGGGCGCGAACAGGCUCAGCACUGCCUGAGCCAGAGCCCCUAAGCACCAAGCCAGGACACACAGGGGGGGGGCGGCCGCAACAGCCUGGCCGCACACACGUUUGGAGCUACGAUACGAUGAACAACCCGUGCCUGGUCGAUCAGCCUGAUAUGCACAGACACAGUAACAAAAGUACCUCCAUGUCCUGCGGUAGAUGUCUCGAUCACGCAACGAGCAAAGAUUAGAGCUUGUCGAUCAUCACUCGACGUGGGCAGGGUAGUACGAUGUCCACACUCCACUCCACGGUGGCAUGAAGAAAUCUCUGCUAAUUCCAGUUUGCCUUGCCGGUGUGACCAACCGUUGCUCCCGAUCGACCGGUCUAAUAACGCUGAGUGCUACUACUAUGUUCGCACUCCACAGUCCAGUCGCAUUUUGAAGUUUCUCCUUUUAGCGUGUUGGUGUGACCGUCCGUUGCACACCAUCGACGCAUGCGUCUCAUAUUCAGUACGCAUACACAAGGCGUAACUAAUUGUGCGCGCACGGGCGGGCGUAUCCUUACUCGCAAAGUUUCCUUCCCUUGGUUACGCGCGCGUAUGCAGGACGACGGAAGCUUCUGGAUCGGCAGGAAACGAGCCAAACCGAAGACCAAGACAAAACUGACCGCGUUCAAUUGUGAGGUGCGACACGCGGUUGAGUACACGACGUGCACAUUCCAAGAGAGGAAUGAAUGAUGUUGGCACGAGACCGCACAUACGCACCGGGCCAUGCUGUUCGUGGUCGGCAUGGGCACGUCCAGGUCAAACCCAACUCCGGCCAUCUGCACACAGACAGAGCUACGAACGCGACCCUUGAUUGCUUCCUGCCGCGUCAGCACCCACUAGUACUCAUCGUCGACCUACCGACCGACCGUAGCAGCACCACAGCACGCGCUCGUAGCCCUGUCUGGCGGUUCAUUCGUCGUGUUUAGAGACAGAAGUAAAGAACAAGGACAAGAAUGAAUCGCUGUUCUCUUCAUUGAUUGAAAACUGCUCUUUAUACAAAGGGAAGAGACGCUUGUAGAAAGACGUCUGUUCGGAGGAGAUGCCUGUCCGGCAGUGAACCGACGCGGAGGAUAAGCAGGGAUUAUCCCUUCAUUAACACUCGUUAAUUAAUCCUAACACGUCCGUGCUGUGCUCUGUCCAGGGUCUGCACCCACCACACGCACGUGCUCGUCACAGAGUACAGUAUCACAGGAUCCCCAUCGCGGUUUCCAUUCCCAGUAUUCCAUUCUACCGUCUCGUCGAAUAUUUCCGAGCUAUACGGGCUCAAGAAAUAGCAGCACGUACAGGUACAGGGGCAUCCGCACCACACACAGUAGUAUGCCAUGUUCUUCCACAUCUUUUACCAUUAUAAAAGAAAUCAUUUGAUUCGAUCGAUCACGAGCCCCUCAUGCUGAAUAGCAAAGCGACUAAACAGGCAACGAAUCAACAAACUCCAACUUAUUACACAUCAAAGUCGCACAACAGUUUAACCGCAGAACGGUGAUAAAACUCAGUCUGAUAGAUGGAUCAUCAAAGAAGAAUCAACGCAUCCAGAAGCAAGGCCGGCAUAGGAGCUGUGCACCAUGCUAGGGACGUAGCCAGUCGAGGAAGUUCAGCCGGUGAUCCUCGCAACCCCCGGACGAGGACGCCACUCCUGCGAUGCACUGUAUGCUUCACCCGCCACCUGCUCCAUGACUUUUGCUCCCAGUGUCAACACCCUUUGAUUUCCCUCCUUUAUCUGCAAAAUUGCCCAAUUUGUUAUCCACCGAAAUAUCAACCCGAUAAGAGUAAUAGGGUCAUUUAUCAGCUUUCUUUCAAAAAUAAUAUCAUUUCUGCUUCUCCAAAUUGUCCCAAAGAUAGCAGUAACACCAACUAACAUCUGUUUUUCAGUUUCAUGCUGUAAACUUUUAAUCUAGCUACUAAAGUACAAACUCAGAUUAUAAGGAAUAUAUCUCAAAUGAAAAGCACAUUUAAACAAACCCCACUCUAGUUUAGCCACCAAACUCCUGAAGAAUAACUACUCAGAGCUCUCAUCAUUUUUUGGGGACCGAUCUAGCCUCUUUUCAGCAAAUUGUCUCUAGUUAAUUUGCUAUUUUGACCAUCGACCAAAGAAAGACUUUCAUUUUUGGCGGAAUUAUGUUUCCACAAAAAGGUCAAAACCCAUAAUAUUGAAUAGCUUAUAGUUUUGAUAAUAAAAAGACUGUCUACAGUUAACAUACACUUAAUAGAAUCCUUGUUGUUAGGCACAACAAUUUCCUCACAUCCUUUUUUGAUGCUAUCCACAAGAGCUAGAGUAUUACCCCACGUAGUUCUCAUAAAUCUAAAAUCCUCUCGGCCUUUCUGCAAGGUAUCAACUACAAUAAUAUUGUGGUCAAAACUAAAAUUGUGCAGUCUAGCACAAGAGAUUUUAAGAGGUUUAUCAUCCACCUACUUGUCUUCCCAAAAUCAAGUAUUUUUGCCAUUACCACUUUUUUUGGCAAGGCUGGUAGAACAUGUCUUUUAUUUUCAUGAGACUCAACUAAAAAUGGGAGUCCCCUGUCUUAGGUUUAGUUGCAGAAAAGCAACCAUUCCGAACAUGUUUGUUCGGGAGAAUUGUUUGCUAGAGACCAUUUAAAGUCUCUAACUUCCAUAACCAUUUAGCCAGGAUAGCAUUGUUCAUGAGGUCAAGAUAUCUGAUCCCUAGCCCCCCUUGGUCUUUAGGUCUAAAGCCACUGGCCCAGUUUACUAUGAGAUAUUUUUUUUCUUGUUGUCGUCUCAUGCUAAACAAACCUAGCCAUGAAGAAAUUGGCUCUUUUCUUCACACUAAUCGGGAUGGGGUAGAAAGACAUUAUAUAAGUUGAAUCCUCCCCUUAUGUUGUUAAAGAACCAAGGACAAAUCAUCCCAGCAACAAUAUUAUAAUCAAAAUCAGUGGCAUGAUUGACUUUCGUUGAAAAAUCCAGCGAAACUAUUUGAAGCAUGGAACUCACAUCUUUGAACCCUAUUUCUCGCAGCUACAAAUCCCCACAUCAUUACUUUGUACAGGAGAAUGUAAAAAUUUGUAGAGACCAACAAUCUUACUGGAAAAUGAAGUAGCAAAACGGUCGCACGAGUCCUCAUUGUCGGACUCCUCCCUGGCCAACAGCCAGAAUCGACUGCCAGCCAGGAAGACGCCUACUCAUCGGCGGCGGCGCUCUAUGUAAGUGCCUGGAUCCGUGCAGAACGCCGGGGAAACCGAGGGAAGCGACGAGGCAGCUGUGAAACCACCUGGGCAACAUUUUUCCUUGGCAACACCUGCACGUCGUUGUCAGUCAUGACGGGCAUCGCCGGACUGCGUGGCGGUGACCUCCCCGUCAUGGUCACCACCCGAACAUUAUCCCAGAUUGAAUGGGACGAAACCCAAUCGUACGGCAAGUAGCGGUACCACCGCUCGCGCCGCAUCGGAUCGCCGGACUCCGCCUCCAUCACCGCCCAAUAGAGGAUCUUGAGUGGGGUCUUCCCUGAGAUCCGACUCUGCUCCUCCUCCUAGGCCGGUUCAACCACCCGACGUGAUACUUGACACAUCUCCUCUGCAUCCAUGUAUCGCCAGUAGAUCUCGCGGAGCCUCGCCAUCUUCGCCUCAUCGCCGCCCGCGAUCGCCGCCGCAAUGGGACCCCCCCGCACCCAAGGCCCUUCCAACCCCAUCGCCGCCAUGUUCUCUUCCCACGCCCAAGGCCCUUCCAGCUCUCAGAUCUGACAUGGAAGUCAGAGGGGGAGAAGGAGGGAUUGCCAAGACCCUUGUGCUUUCGCGCGUGGAUUUAAUGUCUGCCAAACUCGUAGGUAUUCAUUGCCCGCCAUUGAUUUUUUUGGAAAGUAAUAUGUCAUAUAUCUCGAGAAAUCAUUUAUUAGGUGCCAUCCUAUCAAGAUCCCACUGCCCAAGUUGUACUUCACUAAAACCAAAAUUGGCAUCUGUCCAUCCGCGGAACGAGCACAAACCAACAAGAUUACACCAAACGUGUUGCACCAGUUUCAGUAUCCAGAGACGCUACCGUGGGAAAGCGAAGAAACUGUUGGUAAAAUGAGGCACAAACAGUGUGGUAAACAGUGUCCGGUCGAGUCUGACACACGCCGCACCACAAACGCACCAUCCAGCACCCGACAUGCGCCUCAACCGCCGAACGGGUCAGACGAACAGUCAUCUUACAAGCCGACCCCACUCGCAGCGACACCCGACACCCCCUUAUUAACCGCACACACAGCCAGACCAAUCCAAUCAUCGUCAACCUCGCCGCGUACCUCCCUCCGCUACGCGUCAUAAAAUGUUAAAACCCCAUCCCUCCUAGACAUUUCCCCGGUCCAUCCACCGGUGCCGCGACGCUGAGCCCCGACCAAGCAUGGAGUUGUUUGCGCACGCCGAGGGAAUUCUCCUUCCAGCUUGUGCCAAUAUGACAGCGACUAACCUCUUUUCGUCGAGCUUUUCACUGCCCAAGUUUUCUAUUUAUAACCUGAAUGGUGAGUAGGCUUUCCGCCACCAUGACUAUAACCAUGCUUAUAUGAACCGCAAUUUUAUUUUUUUAGAAAAAGGAGGAUUACCCCAGCCUCUGCAUCAGAGUGAUACAUGCAGCCCCGACUAUAUGAACCGCAAUGGCGAAUGUAGACAAGUAUGGAUGGAUCAAUGGAUGGAUGCUCAGGUGUUUAAUAUUUCUUCUGAGCAAUUUACUGUGUUGUGUGAUAUCGUGUUUCAGCCAUGGCAUGUUUUUUUCCUGAACAUGCUUUUCGCGUUGAGGUGUUGCCAUCAUUCAUGUCGCUUGUGGGUUUGGACUUGGAUGCUCCUGUAAAACGGUGGCGGUUUGCCUAGCCACGUUAUGCUUUCCUUCCCUUUUGUGUGAAAAGUUUCAUGUAUUUCCUUACGUAUAGAAAGAUUCCCUCAUUCGUGUAUAUACUUUUCUGCUUGGUCUGCGCGCACACUUGAGCAAGUUCCAGCUAUGGAAAGGAUAGCAAUGAUUGAUGAGGAGAUGAGGUAGUUGUACUUGUACAUGGAUAUAGUUUGCCAACACUGUUUUAAUCUGAAUUUGGCCCUCUUCAUGGGGUUGGUGGCAUUCGACGCGGAUGUUUUGUCCAUGAUUGGACUGGACAUGUUGUGUGCUACUAACCGUCCUUAGCAUUGAGCCCCAUAUAUACUCCUGAUGAUAAUGAAAGACAAGUUGCCAAUAGUUAGCUAGUACUUAUGAUUUAAGUGUGUUGUGACGUUAAUUAUAGAGGCAGGACUUUUUCCUGGAAUGUGCGAUGCAGUGCAAUUCCUUGGAUUCCAAUUGUUUGGUGGAACCACGAUUUCAGUCUUGACGUGUCCCUCCUCCCGUCCCUCCCGUCCCUCCCCCGUGCGGCGGCGCCGCCCCGCACCGGGGAGCCUCCGCCCUCCUCCUAUAGCCUCGCCCCUCCUCCGCUCCCCUCCGCCGCCGUCGCUAGGGGCGUCACAGGGCAAAGCCCUUGUGGUGUGGCGGCAGCGGCGGUUUCUUCUCGGAUCUCGAUCUGGUUGGGAGGCGGCGCUCCUCUCUGGCCAGAUCGGCGGCGGUGGCGCAGAUUGGCGGCGACAUGGAAGUGGUGCGGCAGCGGCGGGGGAGGACGGCACCAGCAACGACGGAUCUGGCCUUGACUCAUGUCGGGCUAAUUCGUUGUGCUACCGAUCUCAAUCGCCGUCGGCGGGGCACUGUUCCUGGACUUGAUCUGCAACACGAGGAUGUCUGGGCGCCGGCCCUAGGCUUGGUGGUGGUGGCCUUCUUCUUCGUCGGAGUUGGUCGGCCGGCUGGCUGUGCUCGCAUGGUCAUGCAGUGACCGGCGGCUUGGCCGGUCGGCGGCGGCGGAACUUGGCCGGUGGCAGCGGCAAAGUUCUGUCUGGAUCCCGGGGCGGCGGCCCUAGAGGGUGGAGGCCGGUGAAGCUCGGGCUUCCCGCGGCGGCAUGGCGUGGUGCAGUCCCUGUCCAAGGCGGAUCUGCGACGGCGAUCUGCUAUGGAUUGGUUCGGAUCAGAGACGGCGACGAGCGCGCGGGAUCUUUCUCGGCGGCUUUCGCGGCUUGGCGAGGCGGGGUGGGAGCCCUCCUCCUAGGCUCCAGUGGUGGCACACUCAGGCAGUGGCCGGUGCGCCAGGGGUCCCACGGUGGCACUAUUGCUGCGGUUGGUCGCCAGAUCUAGGCGGCUGGAUCUGGGGCUUUGAAAGCGGUCGAGACGGUGCACAUGUUAUUGGGUGGAUUUCGUGGGACGGAUCCUGGUGAAAACCUGAUCUUCGGUCGAUGACCGGAGACGGUGAUGACGAUGCCCUUAUCAUCGUUUCCUUCAUGAAGGCAUCAUUGAGGUGAAGCUCCCAACUCCACUCAAUACCUCCGGGGGAAACCCUAGAUCAGCUAAUCGGAUGUUGGCGGCAAUCAUGUGUUGUAACCCCCUUGGGGGCGGCAUUCUUGGAGGUGCACUCGGCUUCGUGGGACUAGCGGACGGCUUCUUUGGUGGAGCGGUGCUUCAUCCAUACAUUGAUGGCGACGGAUCUGGACGCCGUGGUGCAGUGCAGAUGCGGAGUUCGAUGUGGGAGGAUGGACUCGCGCAGGAGGAUGACGCUGUCUGGCGUCGUGGUGGCGUCGAUGGCAGAGAGACCUGGCACGGUAGAUACAACAGUACAGCUCUGAAGAUGGACUCGUGGCAGGUGGCUGCGGCGGCCCCAUACCCGGCAGGCGUCCUGGUUGAGGAGUGCGCCGGACUGGUAGGUGCCCCAUAUCAGGCAGGCGUCCUGGUUGGGACCUCAGGUCUUAGAUGUUUAGGUUUGGCUGCGAUGUCUGUUUGGUAUUAGACCCAGACUAUCAGCGUCCCUUCAUCAACUGGAUAGGUGUAGCGACAGUUGUUGCUUAGACGGUGGCUUCAGUCUUACUGUUGUAUGACUUUGUAAGAUCUUAUGAGAAUAAUUAAUAAAGUGACCGCAUGCAUCGUCCAGAUGCAGAAGCCGGGGAUCGUCCUCCUUCUCUAAAAAAAGAGGUAUUGACAGGUCUUGACGUACGUAUAUGGCUAGUGACGCAUUGCCCGGCCAAACUCUCAAUGUAAUACACGUAGGCUAGAAACUCCCCAUUCCGAAAAGGAAGAGGAAGAAGUUUGAUUUCAGGGCCCACAGAUGCAACAUCGUUCAUGUGGAAAAUUGAUCUUUCUCAACAACAACACAAACAAAAAAUGGAAAGGUUAUCCUGGCACGCACGGGUCUCUCUCGGUGACAAGCGCGUGCACCUGCUCUAUUUAGGCGACGGUGAAAGCCGCCCCAGCAAAGCAAAGGAAGUUAAGUGAUCGUGCAUCCAUCAUUCGACAUGCACCAUAACUGGCGUUUUCACACCUAAAAUAGCAUCCUUUGUCAGUGUUGCAUUCCUCUCAUGCAUUCUUAACCGUGAAACUUAUUGUAGGAACAAAUAAUUAAACAAACAAGUAAAUGGAUAGUGAAAGUUUGUUGUCUUUCAAGUACCUCGGCAGUCAGCUAACAGCAGGAGUGACCACUUGUAUCAAUCAGGUGGCGGAAGAUACGUACUCCCCUCCCGGAGAAAGACCGGGAUAGCUAGGCUAGCGAGCCGACCUAGAACGACGCACUGAAUCUCACGCGAACGCCAAGCUUUCUAGAAAUGGGCAAUGAAAAAAUCUGACACGGAUCCUGCAUGCAUGCGACGAAGCCGGCCGGAUUCGGCACGAGUGAGUGGACCGAUCGAUCGGAGAGUGUCCAGGUCAGACCGAACCUCUCGACAAGACGCGGGGGCGAAGCCGAAUGCCCUUGACAGACGCGUCCGUACGUGAGCCAGCAGCGGCAGUCGGCACAUACUACGUUUGGAGCUACGAUACGAUGAACAACCCGCGCCUGGUCGAUCAGCCUGGUCUGCACUGCACAGACAGUGACCGUGUGCUUGCACCACCAUGUCCUGUGGUAGGUGUCUCGAUCAUGCAACGAGCAACGGUUAGCGCUUGUCGAUCAUCACUCGACCUGAGCAGGAGUAGGAUGUUCACACUCCAAUCCACGGUCGCCUGAAGAAAUCUAUGCUAAUUCCAGUUUGCCUUGCCUUGUCGGUGUGACCAACCGUUGCUCUCCAUCAACCGCUCUACGCUGAGUACUAGUACUACGUUCACACUCCACAGUCCAGUCGAAUUUCGUAGUUUCUCCUUUUAGCGUGUUGGUACGUGUGACCGACCGUUGCACACCAUGGACGGACGCGUCUCAUAUGUACUCCCUUCGUUCGGAAUUACUCGUCCAAGAAAUAAAUGUAUCUAGAUGUAUUGUAGUUGUAUAUACAUUCAUUUUUAUGACAAGUAAUUCCGAACGAAGGAAGUACGUGUAUACAAGGCGUAAUUAAUUAUAAGAAAACGUUUGGGGCCGGGGCACCGGCGAAACGAUUCGGCCGGUCUCCCUCUUCCUCGCGCAGCGCACGUACAGAAGGGCACCAGAGCCGGCAGGCACCACGCGCGGGCCAGGCGACCAGCGGGCUCCUUCGAUCGCUGUCGCCAGAGAAGAGCGCCUUGUCGUCCGCGUGCGGCCGCCCCUCACCGGAUGUCGUUCGCGUGCGGCCGCCCCUCGCCGAAUCUCGUUCGCAUGCGGCCGCCCCUCGCCGGAUCUCGUCCGCCUGCGGCCGCCCCUCGCCGGACUACUACCCCUCUGCCUCUUCCUAGAAUCCGCCCCUCUCCCUGGAAUCCGCCCCGGCCGCCCCUCGCCAGACCUUGCAGCGCUCGAGCCUCCCCAGCCAUGGCAAACUACACCCCACGGUGAUUUUUUGUUAGAACCGGUUGUAGCAAAUUCAAUCGCCGGUGGUAGCAAAAAUCUACUACUGUUGCAGCAAAACGGCGUCAUCGUCAUCGCGAGCAAACACUAGACAUCGCGCUUUUUUGUUACAUGCUACAGCCUGUAUCACAUUUUGCUACAACCGGCACACCACUCAGCUACAACCGGCGCCGAGUUUUGCUACAUCGGAUAUACAGAAAGUUGCAAGCGUUCAGUGCCAUCGAGGAAAGCUACAACUGUCUACAGAAAAUGCUACAACCUUCGAUGAAAAAAGCUUCAACCAAACGAGAGAUGAAUUUUUCACCCGGACGCUGCUCAAAACGAAAAAAGUUUCAAUCGUUUACAGAAAAGCUUCCACCGUAGAGGAGAAAAGCUACAAUCGUGUCAAUUUUUUGCUACUACCGUCUGUGUGUUUUGCUACAUCCAUUCAUGCGGCCAUGGUACUUUUUUGUGACUGAGGUGUGACCGGCGACGACGAGGACGAACAUUUUUUGUUGCAACAACCUCGUUUUUUGCUACCAUUGGCGAUGUGUUUUGCUACAUCUGAUUAACAUGUUUGCUACAAUGGCGACGCUGAUGGAUUUUUUUUGUUGCAACCGUUGUCUUCAUUUGCUACGACUGACACGGGAAAAUGCUACCACGGGGCAUCUCUGUUUUUUGCUGGAACCAAUCAUCGGUGAGGCGGAGCUGCAUCCAUGGCACUCCGACGAGCAGCGGGGGCAGCGAGCGGUCGGGGCCAACCGAGUCCCGGAGCGCGGGGCGGCCCCGACGGGUGGCCGGGGCGGCGAGCGGACUUGGACGAGUUGAGUCGCGGAGCUGCAUCCAUGGCGCUCCGAUGGGCGGUCGAGGCGGUGAGCGGUCAGCUCCAACCGGCGGCCGGGGCGGCGAGCGGGCGGGGCGAGCUGAGUGCCGGAGUGUGGGGCGGCCGGCGAAGACGGACGGCGAGACGGGGUUCCUUUCCCGUCCGCGCUCGCGAGAGGAAGACGACGCCCUGGUUGGAUAAGGAUCCAACGGAUCGGAAUGGGCCGAUCUGACGGCUAGGGCUGGACCGGCCGAAGCGUCCGGCCGGUCCGCCGGCGCCUAGCAUCGCCCUUAAUUAUAUGCGCACGGGCGGGCGUAUCCUUCCUCGCAAAGUUUUCUUCCCUUGGUUACGCGCGCGUAUGCGUACACAGGAGACGGAAUAGCUUCUGGAUCGGGCAGGAAACGAGCCAAACCGGAGACCAAUACGAAACUGACGUUCCAUUGUAGGGUGCGAGUGUGCGACACACGGUAGAGUGCACAACGUGCGCUCACUGCGCGGCAGCCGAAUUCCAAGAGACGAAUGAAUGAUGUUGGUACGUAUGAGCCAUGUUUGUUCGUGCUCGGCAUGCGUCCACGUCCAGGUCAACCCCAACUCGAUCUGUACACUGACAGAGCUACGAACGAGACCCCUGAUUGUUGCAGUAGUACUCAUCGUUACAAUCGAAGGGCAAAAGAUCCUCAGUAUAAAGGGAUCUUGGUUGAGCCACACCCACACCCCCUGACAGAUUGCCUACUACUAUAAUUUGCCAAAUGAUCAGCCACACUAUUUGGUUCACGAAUAUUCUGAGGAAUAAACUCCCUCUCGGAACACAAAGCCUUUAUCUCCAAGCCAAGAUACGAGUCAAUUGCACAAAACUACCACAUUUGCGGCUAGGUUUGCAGAAAACCACCAAGUCGCUAAUCCGUUGCAAAAAUCACUGCUUUUUCACUAAACCUCUUGCAAAAACACUGAUCAUCCACUUUGGCUCAUCUAAGCGAGUUUAUGACAGAUGGGACCAGAUCGUCAGUGCUGGCUUGGCAAAAGAAAAGAUUCUUCCCCAAUCUCUUUACAUAGAGACCCCUCUAUGAAAAAAGAAAAACGCAAUCAAAUCCCGCCGUCUCUCCCUCUCUCUGGAUGGAAUGCACGGGGAGCCGGAGGCGGCCGCCGGGAGCUCGUCCUUGAAGCCACGACGGCGCCCUUUGCCUGUCGUCCGUCGGGAUGUUGUGGCCGCUCGGCGCCGUGGAUGGGGCCUAACCUCCAUGCGCUUCGGCUCCUGGCGCCGGCGGCUCCGCCCGUCUCCGGUGCCUCUUCCAGGCCCGCAGGAGAGCCCCGCCGCCCUCUGCGCACGCGCCAUCUAGCCUCGCGCCACUCCACUCGGGCUUCCCCGCAGCUAGCUGCCGCCAGUUCGCCGGUGCACCGGGCACCACCGCCGCCCCCUCUCCCUCUCCAACUUCGUUGUCUCUCUCCCUUCUCCAACACCGCUGCCUGCCACCGCGCCAGGGCCAGGCCGGCCGGCGACGGGACCUUCCCGUCCGUGCCCGUGCUGGGCGAGACGCCGCCCACCCUAGGGGACACCCUCCCUGCGAGUAGAGCCGACUAGUGGACGGUGCCAGAGGAAGAGCUCCACAAAUCAACGGCGGCCGGAGCUGGGCCACCAUGGCGUCAUCCUCGCCAGAGGAGGAGCCGUGGCUGCAGGCUGCAGCACCUCCCCUCGACGGAUCCCGUCGCAACUGAGCUCAACAGCGACAGAUCUGAGCGGAUGGAUGAGGCCAACAUCAGGAGGAGCAGACUGCGUUUGUUUUCAGAUUCCAGGGGUGUGUGUGUCAAUUUUUUGCCAAGUCAGCUCUGACGAUCUGGUCCCAUCUGUCAUAAACACGCUUAGACGAGCCAAAGUGGAUGAUCAGUGCUUUUUGCAAAAGGUUUAGUGAAAAAGCAGUGAUUUUUGCAACAGAUUAGCGACUUGGUGGUUUUCUGCAAACCUAGCCGCAAAUGUGGUGGUUUUGUGCAAUUGACUCCCAAGAUACCUAUAAGCAGAGCGAGAGAGAGCUUCAGUGGAGAACACUGCUAACGCCUCCGAGGAAUUGAGCUGUACAAUGACUGGAAAGUCCGUAUGUUGAAUAGCCUUACAUGAUCUCAUGUAACUUGACCUCCAGCGCCUCGUUGCAAUUAAAGAUAUAGCGAUAGGCUAAAGAUAGGACCGAACCAUCUUCUCUUCUCAGUAUCAUGCCUGCCGCAGCUGUGCCAUCUGCUGUAAAGAAGGAACCAUCAACCGACAGCGCGAUGUAGCCAGCGGGCGGCUAAGGCCAAUGUAGGCGUUGUGGAGGCGCAACACUCUCUUGGACGUGAACCAACUCACAUGCACGCAUCUUGCCUUUAACAUUUUCCUCCAAUCUAUACUUGUGAGAGUAAAUAAGAGACUUCAAAUAGCUAUCAAGGAAUUCUACUGUAGCCACCACUCGAGGCGUCUCUGGAGCUGCCAAAUGCACCAAAUCAACAUAAUCACCAUGUCCCGCAUGGUUGCUGUGCAAUUCAUUAGAACAUUCAGCAGCCAAUUAGUCCCACUGUCUACUAACAUGACAUCACGGGGCAAGGGCCAUAUAGCACGCAUGUGCUCCCAAAUAUUCCGAGCAUGGCCGCAGGAAACCAAUGCAUGGAAUGAACUUUAAUCUUUGAUACCGCACAUGUAUAUGUUUGAUAACCUAUAAAUAUAGGGGAUUAAUUGUGUACUUUUUCGAUAAGUAAAAGUGUCGAACCCAACGAGGAGCUAAAGAUAGAAUUAAUAUUCUCUCAAGUUCUAUCGAUCACCAAUACAACUCUACGCACACUUAAUGUUUGCUUUACCUAAAAUAAGAAUAAAACUACUUUGUAGGUGUAAUAGGAUAAGUUUGCAAGAAUAAAACUAGAAGUUCUUAGCGGGAUAAUAAAAGUUAGUCUGUUUUAGUAGAGAGUAUUUUGUAACACAAAGAUAAAGAUUGUCCAUAGGCAAUUGAAUAUAACACAAUAUAUACUUAUCGUAUGGAAUGAGGGAGAGACAUGAGCUAACAUACUUUCUCUACUUGGAUCACAUGUUCUUAUGAUUGUAACUCUAGCAUCCGCAACUACUAAAGAACAUUAAGGUAAAAGUCAACCAUAGCAUUAAGUAACAAGUCCUCUUUACUCUCAUUCCCCCUACUCAUGUUUAAGCUUCUGUCACUCGCGCAACCCACUAUAAGCGAAUUAUGAACGUAUUACAACGCCCUACAACGGUAAUCCCACACGCUUGCGCGACACGGAGGGCAUCAUAGGACAGCACCAUAUUAACAUACAACUCACAUCAAUCACACCAUACCACAAUUAACCCGUAGAACAAAACAAAUCUACUCAAACAUUAUAUGAUGCCACACGUCAUUGGACAAUGAUAACCCACAAGUAUAGGGGAUCACAACAGUUUUCGAGGGCAGAGUAUUUUGCUGGGGAACGUAGUAAUUUCAAAAAAAUUCCUACGCACCCGCAGGAUCAUGGUGAUGCAUAGCAACGAGAGGGGAGAGUGUGUCCACGUACCCUCGUAGACCGAAAGCGGAAGCGUUAGCACAACGUGGUUGAUGUAGUCGUACGUCUUCACGAUCCGACCGAUCCAAGUACUGAACGCACGGCACCUCCGAGUUCAGCACAUGUUCAACUCGAUGAUGUCCAGCGAGCUCCGAUCCAGCAGAGCUUCGCCGGAGAGUUUCGUCAGCACGACGGCGUGGUGACGGUGAUGAUGAUGCUACCGACGCAGGGCUUCGCCUAAGCACCGCUACGAUAUGAUCGAGGUGGAUUAUGGUGGAGGGGGGCACCGCACACGGCUUGGAACAAUCAACUUGUGUGUCUUUGGGUGCCCCCUGCCCCCGUAUAUAAAGGAGCAAGGGGGAGGCCGGCCAGCCUUGGUGCGCCCCAAGGAGAGGAGGAAUCCUCUUGCUACUAGAAAGAGGAUUCAUCCUUUCCUAGUCCAACUAGGAAGAGGGAAGGGGGAAGGAAAGAGAGGGAGAGGGAGAGGGAAAGAGGGGCCGCGCCCCCCUCCCCUAGUCCAAUUCGGACUCCUCAUGGGAGGGGGCGUGCAACCUCCUGGGCUGCUGCCCUCUCUCUCCCCUCAGGCCCACUAAGGCCCAAUACUUCCCCGGGGGGUUCCGAUAACCCCUUCGGCGCUCCGGUUUUCUCCGAAAUCACCCGGAACACUUCCGGUGUCCGAAUAUAGUCCCAAUAUAUCGAUCUUUACGUCUCGACCAUUUUGAGACUCCUCGUCAUGUCCGUGAUCAUAUCCGGGACUCCGAACUACCUUAGGUACAUCAAAACACAAAAACUCAUAAUACCGAUCGUCACCGAACUUUAAGCGUGCGGACCCUACGGGUUCGAGAACUAUGUAGACAUGACCGAGACACGUCUCCGGUCAAUAACCAAUAGCGGAACCUGGAUGCUCAUAUUGGCUUCACUAGUGGCUUCUCUCAAGAUAGCAUAAGUAUUACGGUGGGUGAACAAAUUACUGUCGAGCAAUUGAUAGAAUUGAGCAUAGUUAUGAGAAUAUCUAGGUAUGAUCAUGUAUAUAGGCAUCACGUCCGCGACAAGUAGACCGAAAUGAUUCUGCAUCUACUACUAUUACUCCACACACCGACCGCUAUCCAACAUGCAUCUAGAGUAUUAAGUUCAUAAGAACAUAGUAACGCUUUAAGCAAUAUGACAUGAUGUAGAGGGAUAAACUCAUGCAAUAUGAUAUAAACCCCAUCUUUUUAUCCUCGAUGGCAACAAUACAAUACGUGCCUUGCUGCCCCUACUGUCACUGGGAAAGGACACCGCAAGAUUGAACCCAAAGCUAAGCACUUCUCCCAUUGCAAGAAAGAUCAAUCUAGUAGGCCAAGCCAAACUGAUAAUUCGAAGAGACUUGCAAAGAUAACCAAUCAUACAUAAAAGAAUUCAGAGGAGAUUCAAAUAUUGUUCAUAGAUAAUCUUGAUCAUAAACCAUCGGUCUCGACAAACACACCGCAAAAAUAAGAUUACUUUUCUUGUUGUAGUAGUAAUAAUUAAAAAGAAAACCCAAAAAGAUUUCCCGUUCUUCUUUUGCUUGUUGGGAGCUUUCCCGUGUAAAUAGUUUUUAUUUCUGUCCUUUUCUUUGGGGGUCGAUAGGAGAAGACCAUAAUUAAAUUGUUGAAGUGGCUCUUAUAUGCAUUAUUGUUGAUUUAACCAAGAGCCCAUAUUGCCUUGUCUUCUCCUGUUUAUUGAAUGCUCGCAGAUUCCAGCUUAGUCCGAUGCACGUGCACUCUUAUUAUUUUCACAUCGUUCGGUCGUGCAAGUGAAAGGCAAUUAUGACGAUAUAUGAUGGACUGAUUGAGAUGAGAGAAGCUGGUAUGAACUCGACCUCUCUUGUUUUUGUAAAUAUGAUUAGUUCAUCGUUCCUAUUCAGCCUAUUAUGAAUAAAUAUGUUUGCAAUGACAAUUAGAGAUUAUAGUUGCUUGUGCCAUGCUUAAGUAGCUAUGAGUUAUAAUGGUUUACCUUGCGUGCCAACAUGCUAUUAAAAUGGUUGUGAUGUGGUAUAGUGGGGUGGUAUCCUCCUUCGAAUGAUUUAAGUGACUCGACUUGGCACAUGUUCACACAUGUAGUUGAAACAAAUCAACAUGGCCUUCAUGAUAUUUAUGUUCAUGGUGGAUUAUAUCCUACUCAUGCUUGUACUCCAUGUUUAUUAAUUUUAAUGCAUGUUCAUGACUUUUGUCGCUCUCUAGUUGGUCGCUUCCCAGUCUUUUGCUAGCCUUCACUUGUACUAAGCGGGAAUACUGCUUGUGCAUCCAAUUCCUUAAACCCCAAAGUUAUGCCAUAUGAGUCCACUAUACCUUCCUAUAUGCGGUAUCUACCUGUCGUUCCAAGUAAAUUUGUAUGUGCCAAACUCUAAACCUUCAAAUGAAAUUCUGUUUUGUAUGCUCGAAUAGCUCAUGUAUCAACUAGGUUUGUCCGUAUCUUCCAUGCUAGGCGGGUUAUUCUCAAGAGGAGUGGACUCCGCUCCUCACUCACGAGAAAAUGGCUAGUCACCGGGAUGCCCAGUCCCAUGCUUUAUGCAAAUCAAAUCAAAAUAAUUGUAAACAAAACUCCCCCGGGACUGUUGUUAGUUGGAGGCACUCGUUGUUUCGAGCAAGCCAUGGAUUGAUGCUUGUUGGUGGAGGGGGAGUAUAAACUUUACCAUUCUGUUUGGGAACCGCCUAUAGGCGUUGUUUGGAUAGGGCCGGAUACAUGGUAAACGAGUUUGUUGCCGGAUUUUAGCAAAAUCGGUUUUGCUAAUGAAUUUUUGGAUAACUAAUUUACACAGAAACACGUUUGGGUUUGGAAAGGAUAAAACUAGCUUGUACAUUUCCUUGUUUGGGUAGGAGGAUACCGAUUCACUUCCUCCCCUUGCCUUCUCUCCCUUACUUUCCCCAAGUUUGGCCAUUGACGACGACUUCCCAAAGCUUCGACUCCAGCCGCUCCAGCCUGUGAUUCCUCUUCCGUCGUUCGUCCUCACCGCCAGACACCGGUGCCCUCCUCCCGUCGGGACGGCCUCGACGACUCCGCGUGCGGAGGCUUUCCCUGGUCGCCUAUGAAGGGGAACGCGACAGAAAACAAAAAUUUUCCGACCUACGCACCAGCCCAGGACCACUAUGGAGACUGCAUACAUGGUUUGAUCUUUUUCGUUACCGACUCGUAGCGCAGCGGGAAGUAGAGUCGAUGACGAUCGGCAGUGCAGAUCCCCGCAGCUAGGAUUUACAACCUCCCAACUGCGAGGAUGUAUACCCUCAUCUGCUCCUCAGACAGCCCUCCGGGAGGCGGUCGAACAGCCCCCCGGACGGUGUCGCGGACAGCCCUUCGGGAGGACCUUCGAAACUCGAACGAUCACUCGGACAGCCCUUCGGGAGGACCUUCGAAACUCGGACGGUCACACGGACAGCCCUUCGGGAGGCACUCACGAACUAAGACCGAAACUACGAUCUCUCUACAGAGUUGCACACAUACGGUGUCAUCUAUCCGGCAGGGCUUCGCCGUCCAGAACUAGUUCCUGCCGGAACCCAGACAGCCUUACGGCUCUACGAAACUCUUUUCGUGGGAGGGAGAGAAGAAGCCAGAUAAUGCAUGGCAUGUGUAUGAGAGCAAGGGAUGAGUGUGGAGGGCUGCCCCUCCACCUCUAUUUAUAGGAAAUCCCAAGGGGGUAGGGUAGUUUCACAAAAAACCCAAAAUGCACAUGAAUGAAGUCCUUCCAUAAGGACCUAGGAGUGAAACCAAGGAACAAGAGGGUCCCCAAGGGGGGAUACCCCAUGUGGCCGGCCACACCCCCAUGAGGGGCCCAAAAAAUGGCUCCUAUCCAUCCAUGUCAUCCCCAAGAUCUUUUGGAGCAAAGCCCCAAAAGGUGGCUUUCCAUAAAGUAACCAUAAAGCUGAUUUUCACUAUUCACGACGACAUUUUUCAGCGUCUGAUCGAACUGAAAAUAUUUAUGUGGGCUAAGAACAUUUCCAGUACCCACUAAAAUGAUUUUCAACGCGUUCCGAAACAAUUCCGGUUUUAGUGAUUUUCAUCUGCGAAACGCAUCUGAAGUGGCUCCGGCAGCUCCGGAACAUUUCCGGUUUUUAUCUUAGAAAAUUCCAAAAAGCUUCCAGAAUGAUUCUGGCAUCCUCCAAGAAUUAUCAGGCAUGUGCCGAAACCAAUUUGACUUAAUGGUGUAUCCCGAAACAACUUUUCGGUAUCAUCAAAACUUAUCCGAUGACCUCUCUCUACGGUACGAUUCCGCUGUCCGAAACUUUUCGGUGUCCGAAACUUUUUCGGUGAUUUUCUCUCAGACUCCCUGUCUAGUAUUCAGCAGAUAGAUGACCCUUAAGCGUGUGACCCUAUAGGUUCGGUGAAGUAUAGACAUGACCCGGAACCCCUUCCGAUCAAUGAUCAACAUCGGAGCCGUGGACACCCAUAUUGACCCCUAUACCCACACGAAUAAAUAUUCGAGUGAACCUCCAGUUGCCGUGUGCUAUUCCUGUUGCUUCGCGAUAUGUUACAAAUACCCGAGGUGAGGCAUGUUGGCAUUCCCGUGGAUCAACAACUUGUCCACUAUGCUAGUUACCUCGUUACCGGUUUUGUUCUCUUUUCUCGUUUCGUGUUCCGGCAUCCCCGUGAUCAAAUCACAAAGUGUCUGGCCAGACGAUGAUGGACACCGUAACACCGAGAGGGCCCGAGUAUAUCUCUCCAUCGUCGGAGGAGCAAAUCCCAAUCUCGAGCUAUCAAGUCACUUAACAUACUUUCCCAUGAACCCGUAAGCCGCCGUAAUAGCCAUCCAGUUACGGAUGACGUUUAACAAACCCCAAAGUUCAUGAAGCAAGCAUGAAGAAACUCGAUACUCUCAUGGUCUAAGGAAUUAUGCAAACAUUAACCAUCUCUGUGUUAUAAACCAAUAACUUGUGAUGAAUGUAUCUCAUAGCAUAACAUCAAUUCGGGUCGAUUCAACACAAAUGUCCUUCCUGACAUUGUGCCCUCAAAAUUGCUUGGCAUAGACAUGCCCAUGAUUGGGAAAACAUAAUCAUCAUGCAACACUUGAGCUAGUCUUAGAGGCACGACUAGGAAUACAUUUUACCGUUUAUUAUUCCACACGUGCAUAUGGGUUCUCCCCAGAGCCUUUAUGGAUAUACGGGCUCGGGAACCACAGCAGUUAUAGCAUGGAACAUAAACAUAAUUAUGAACAGGGAGAUAAUCAAUAACAUUUAUUAUUGCCUCUAGGGCAUAUCUCCUACAGCCUAGGCCGACUCUGGUCAUCCCCGUACUGGCUCUGCUCGGCGAGAUCUGCUCCUCGAGCUCAUCCCGUAGGUCCGCCGCCCCUGGGCGACCUCCCACAUCGGCCCUGCACAGGCUUUGCUCGGGGAGAGGUUCUUCUCGAGCUCAUCCUAGAUGUACGCCACCCCUUGAUGCUGGCCGUCCAGCAGUGUCCGUACAUGGAAGUUCAGAUCUCAAAAGAGUGCUCGACGCCGCCCACCCUGAUAGCGGCCAUGUCGGGGCUGGAGGUCAAGCGUGAGGACGAUGAUUCGGCGGAGCAGGUAAACAUUUCAUCUUUGUUUGCAUUUCAAGGUCGAAUUAUUUGAGCUGGGAGCUUGAACAAUUCAUAUGAUGAUUCUACUUGUGUUAAUAAGAAAUGCCAUUCUACUUGCCAAGAGGAAAAAAACUUCAUAGUUUACAGGGCUUAACAAUUAGCUACAUGGUAAAGUCGUUGAUUUAAUUCUUUCCCAUAAUAGGGACGAAGUGAUAAUUUGGAGAGUGGUUUGACACAGCCUUUGCUCAUAGAGACAAAGGAGUGGCAAGUUGACAAUGCAGAGGAUAAUGAUGGUUGCUGGUCCAUACAGAUUCCUCAUGCCACAUGUGAAGGUUUUCUCGUAAUCUCUUGAAUGUGCUUAUUUUUUGUUGCUGAAUGCAUAACCUUCAUCUGCAUUGGCUAUUUUCACAAAUAUAUCAGUUUCAGUUCUUCAACUUCAUUCUCUAGUCUGCAAUGGCCAUUUUUCUUAUCGAAUGACAAAUUUAUUGCACACAGUUGUACAUAAAAUAAUUUAGCAUUACUAUCAUCUUGUAAUACAGAACGGGAAAUUUUGGAACCUAUAAAUUGAUGAAAAAUUGUAACAAUUAUUACUGUAAUGAAUCUAUAAAUAAAAUUUAAAAAAUAAUAUUGUAAUGCUCAAUCAUCUUCUGGUUGUUGAGCGGAACGCUGUUGAUGUUUACUCCACAACUGUCGAGCAAUGCCUGCACGAACUCUCUCACCAGCAGCUCGUUCAUCUUCUCUUGCUUGCCCUCUAACUUGCUGAUCACCAUGGUCAACAUGUUGUUGUGCUUCCCCAUGCUCAUAAAGCUCGAACAACUCAUCAUGAUGAUUAACCUUCCGGAUGAAGUUGUGGAUAAUACAGCAAGCCAUAACAAUUUUGACUUGUGUUUUAUAUGGAUAAGGAAUUCCUCCUUUCCUACUUAAAAUUGGAAAGCGAGCUUUUAGAACACCAAAAGUUCGCUCAACAACAUUUCGUAGUUGUGCGUGCAGAUGAUUGAACAUAUCUUUCUCACUAGUAUAUCGUCGAUUACUUCCACGAAAAGAAGCAAUAUGAUAAUGAUCUCCACGGUACGGGGCAAUAAAUUUUGGAGUAUUUUCAUAUCCAGAAUCAACAAGAUAAAAUUUACCUGCACUUAAGGUUUGAUAGCACGGUCAGAAUCUUUAUGUAAUAAGAUUAAUCAAUAUAUAGUUCAUAUGUUUGAACUUUUACCUUCAGGAACAACAAACCCCCCACUAGUAACAGCCCAUCUUAGAACUGCUUGAUCUGACGCAGAACCUUCCCAUCCAGCAGCGACAUAUGAGAAUGUCAUGUCAAAUGACACUACUGCCAUUACAUUUUGAGAGGGGUAACCAUGCCUAUUUCUAUAAGGAGUUUGCUUAUCUAGCUUGAUUUUUGCCGCAAUGUGUGUCCCAUCAAUUGCUCCUAGGCAGUUCUGUUGGGAUUUUUGUUAGUCAAACAAUGAAGUUUAAAUUUUCCAUGACAUAGUAUUUAAUCAUAUUUAAAAGUAACAUGUGUUUGCGAUAGGAAAAUACCUUGAAAUAUGGGUAGAACCUUGCAUCACCCAAUAUUUUUGCUGGGAUUUCAUUCCUUGGAUCUGUUAUGCAAACAUCACGCAACCCAUUUAUGGCAUCUAAAACAAUGUUGAAGUGUCGGCUGAUUGGUUCACCAGAAUGCUGAUAUCUAUCUUGGAUGACACGGUUCCUAACAUUGUGACCAAUGAUAUGGCUAAUUUUUUUUAAAUAAUACUUUUUUUUAAAUUACAGAAAUAAUACGCAAAAAAAGAAUUUUCAAAAAUAAUACACCGUCGGCCUACUGCAGGCCGACUGAGCCCAGUCGGCCCACAGCAGGCCGACUGGUGGCCCAUCAGUUUGCUGCUGGCCGAUUGGGCCGUCGGCCACCAGAUCAAGCCCAGUCGGCCUGCAGUUGGCCGACAGGGUCCAGUCGGCCUGCAGUACACCGAUAGGCCUGCAGUGGGCCGACUAUGCUCAGUUGGCCUGCUGUGGGCCGACUGGUGCAUGCCUAUUUUUAAUAAUACAUGAUGAUAUUUUUUAAAAGUAUAUAUUUUAACACGUUAUGAAUACAUGGUAACAUUUCUUCAAAUACAUUUUUAAUGGAAAUACCAUUUUUUUAAACCACACAACAUUUUUUAAAAUGCUUUUCUGAAAUUUUCACAAACUUUUUUUAGAAACACGCGAAUAUUUUCUUACAAUGUCAUGAUCCAUCUAAACAUUUGUUAACCCACGUGAUAUGUGAGUAUAUUGAUUGUAAUAUCAUCUUAUAUUAUGGGAUGAAGGGAGUACCAUUUUUUACAAUGUCAUGGAUAUUUUUUGGAAACACGAGAAUAUUUCCAGCAAAGGUGACGUACAUUCAUUUAGUGGCACGAACCAUUUCUUUUCAUAUUUUCCAAAAAAANNNNNNNNNNNNNNNNNNNNNNNNNNNNNNNNNNNNNNNNNNNNNNNNNNNNNNNNNNNNNNNNNNNNNNNNNNNNNNNNNNNNNNNNNNNNNNNNNNNNNNNNNNNNNNNNNNNNNNNNNNNNNNNNNNNNNNNNNNNNNNNNNNNNNNNNNNNNNNNNNNNNNNNNNNNNNNNNNNNNNNNNNNNNNNNNNNNNNNNNNNNNNNNNNNNNNNNNNNNNNNNNNNNNNNNNNNNNNNNNNNNNNNNNNNNNNNNNNNNNNNNNNNNNNNNNNNNNNNNNNNNNNNNNNNNNNNNNNNNNNNNNNNNNNNNNNNNNNNNNNNNNNNNNNNNNNNNNNNNNNNNNNNNNNNNNNNNNNNNNNNNNNNNNNNNNNNNNNNNNNNNNNNNNNNNNNNNNNNNNNNNNNNNNNNNNNNNNNNNNNNNNNNNNACCCGUUUCCCGCCACCCGUUUCCCUCCUCCCAUUUCCCGCCAACCUUUCCCGCCAUACCGCAGUCGUUCUUUCCCGCCAUUUUCUCGUCUCUACCUAUAAAACCCCCUUCAGACGGAGCUGGAUAAGCAUUGCAGUGUAGUGUAGUUGAGGUGUCCCAUUAUCCUUUCGAUCGUAGUUUUCACCCUGGGAUGAGCAGGACUCUUCUGAGGCUAGCUACCGAUUUCAGGAUGGAUAAUAGGAUAGUUCCAUGGGACGAACUCACCGGUAGUGACACCAUAAUGAAUGAGUUGGCUCACCAAUUACGUAGGUCUGGGUGGCCUGAAAGGACCUAUGAGGAGGUACGUAAAGAACUUCUUAGGUUGCAUGACAGGUGGAAGAAGGUAGUGGUGCCGAAGAGUGAAACUUUCAGAAGGAUUGCAGCAAAUAAUCCAUGUUUAUGGACUGAGGAGAGCGAGGACGAAGAUGAUAUCUUCAUGCCGCCGCUUCCGGGUUCUGCAUCGUCGAAGGGCAAGAGUUCUUCAUCAUCGAAGGGCAAGGUUUCUGCAUCGUCGAAGGGCAAGAGUUCUUCAUCAUCGAAGGGCAAGGUUUCUGCAUCGUCGAAGGGCAAGAGUUCUUCAUCGUCGAAGGGCAAGAGUUCUGCAUCGAUCGAGGAUGACGAUGAUGACUUCAUGUAGUUUUUAUGCUGUAUGUUGUGAGUUCAGUUACGUGCCAUUUAAUUUAGAUGUAGUUCUAUCUAGUUGUUUGUAAUGUCUUGUUGUAUGAAUAUUGUGUUCUAUCUAAAUAUGAUCUUGUAGAGUAGGCAUAUGUCUCGUACAUAAGUACAUAGUCAUUUGUCUCAUACAUAGAAUAGACAUAAGUCUCACACAUAAAUAGAUGGUAAUGUCUCUACUGAUACAUAGGAGCUGCAAUGACGACGUCUGGCCUGCCGGGGAGGUGGAUCUCGAAUAACAAAUUCAUCACAUAUAACUCGGUUUCCUGUAGCAAUGCAACUGAACAACCCUUUUCCAUUCCCAUUCGCUCAGCAUUUCUUGAAUCUUGCCAUCAUCAGUUAUGUCAAUCAAUUUUCUUUCCCCAGGGCCAUCUGAAUGCUUCCUGCUGACGUAGUACACAAAAUCGUCUUCCUUCAACCCUUGCUUCAACAUGAAUUUAGUCUUCAACCAAUCAAAAGUGAGGUCCACUUCACUAACUUGCACAACACUUGGAGACAAGCCUUGGACAUGAACAAUAGGGCUAAGCACCCACUGAGUACCCUCAGCCAUCUGCAACACACAAAUCGCAUUGAGUACCUACCCUACCCCUUAAUAUCCCCACUAACAAAUAUUAGACAUGUCUAUAUAUUACGAAGCCAUAUAUUACAGAAUAUUAACGGAGCAACUAAUACAAUUCACCCACCUACAAUUAUAUUACGAAUAUUUGCCGUAACAACUACAAAUAUUGACAGAUUAAUAUAUUUGACUGGACUGCCUAUAUUACGGACCUUUUUUCUGGACUCCUACAUAUACUGACACUCCUAAAUACUUGACAUCCACAUAUAGGACGGAUUAUUACCGGAGCAACUACACAUUUUUACACAACUAAUUAGUUGACAUCUAAAUAUAUUAACAAAUACUACCGGGGCACCUACGAAAAAUAAAAUGUGGGCUAAAAUAUACCCUUGAAGCGUGCGUGCGAAGGAUGAACGAUGAACGGCGGCCACCAAACUGCCGGUGCUCCGGCUCCAACGAAGAACGACGAACAACAGCUUCACCUCCACCACAGUGCCCCAACUUCACCACCCGCACACUGCAAUGCUUAUCCAGCUCCGUCUGAAGGGGGUUUUAUAGGUAGAGAGGAGAAAAUGGCGGGAAAGAACGACUGCGGUAUGGCGAGAAAGGGUUGGCGGGAAAUGGGAGGAGGGAAACGGGUCGCGGGAAACGGGUGGCGGGAAACGGGGCGGGAAAUGGGAGGAGGGAAACGGGUGGCGGGAAAAAGUUGGCGCGAACAUAUGGCGGGAAAAAGUUGGCGCGAACAUAUGACGAUGAUGACUUCAUGUAGUUUUUAUGCUGUAUGUUGUGAGUUCAGUUACGUACCAUUUAAUUUAGAUGUAGUUCUAUCUAAUUGUUUGCAAUGUCUCGUUGUAUGAAUAUUAUGUUCUAUCUAUAUAUGAUCUUGUAGUUCCGAUAACAGAGUACUAAAAUAGAGUAGGCAUAUGUCUCGUACAUAAGUACAUAGUCAUUUGUCUCAUACAUAGAAUAGACAUAAGUCUUACACAGAAAUAGAUGGUAAUGUCUCUACUGAUACAUAGAAGCGUCAGUGACGACGUCUGGCCUGGCGGGGAGGCGGAUCUGGAAUCGGGGACCAUCCCAACCUGUCGGGUGCCCUAAUGUGACGAGGAGGAAUCUCAGACUCUCCCUGGUCAUGCUGUGUAUCCUGUGUGGGGCCUGGUGGAGGAGUCGAAAACAUGUUCAUCCACUGGGUGUGCUGCGACAUCUGAGCCUGUAUGUUGUCCUCGGGAUGUUGAUCACUCCCCCACGUAUCAUGUGAUGCCGACAUAGACGCCUGAUAUCCAUAGGCCCCUACGCGAUGGAACGUUUCAUCAUGAAGAAUGAGGUCGCGUCAAUUAAUAUUGAAAACAAUAAAUAUGAAGACACAUACCUGCUGGGUGUGACGUCUGCUCUGGCUGAAACACGAAACUAGACGAGGGACCGUGCUGCUGUGGCUGUGGAGAAAACACGAAGCUCGACGAGGGACCGUGUUGCUGUGGCUGUGGAGAAAACACGAAGCUCGACGUGGGACCAUAGUGCUGCGGGUGCCACGUAGAACUGCCAGGUUGGUCAGGACGGGGUGGCCUGGUUGUCGGCUGCUGUGCUAGGCGUGGACGUGGUUGAUGUCGGUGCAUGGAGUGACGCGGCUGCUCCUGCUCGUGCUGAACAACAUCGGUUCUCCGGGUGCACGUGAUAGCCUCGUACACAGUCCGUAUCUUAUUCUGAAUUCUUUUUAAGAAGGGCUAUACCACUGGACGAUGAUGAAGAAGAGGUCCAGACGAUAGUGAUCGUCCAAAGGUGGUCACGUCGUCGUACAGUUCGCGUGUCAAGGUAGCCUGCAAAUUUCCAUGACGAUUAAUAAUGUCUGUCUCUUGCACGUCAAAGUAUGUGACAACAUUACGUAAAGAAAAAAUAUCUUACCGCGUACUGCCUAGAGCCCGAAGUAUCAUAGCUCGGGUACAUAUCCGACGGAGUAGGAUCCGGUAACUCCUCUGGGUGGGAGUACUCAACAAUGUGUAACCGUGUUCCGGUCAUGUAGCGCCGCCAAUAGAGAUUGAAUUCAUCGAGAUCGAAAUUGUGAUUCUCGUGCCAUAGAUUUGUGUUUGCUGUCUCCCAUUCUAUAACAUACGGCUCUAGUCUAACUAGCCAGUCAGCAGUUGUCCUGUUCAUGCCCUUCCUUGUCGACCUACAAUUGUGGUGUGUGUUCAACAAUUACCUAAAGCUUCGAAUGGAGUACUAUGAAAGAAAAUGCAACAUUGAAAAACUGGUUAAUAUCUGUGGAUGUGUGCUGGCACCGGGUUCUCUAUAGGGGGAGGUAGCUCCAACUGCAGAAGACCAAAUUGCCUCAUAACCCUCUGUUGUGCCAUCUCCUCAACGAAGACAUCGAAGAUGAUCUUCGAUUUUGUCAUCCAGUAAUCUCGGUCCCUUGUGCAUAGCACAGACAUACCAGCAGGGUAUCUCGCUUGUAUGGCUGCUUCCGUGUAGGGCUGCCAGAUGACCCCGGUGUACGCAUCGAACUGCUCGUUCGAUGCUAUGUAUGCCUUCCUGGUCUGAUCACUAGCAAAGCGUCUCUGCAGAGAAUAAAAGUUAGUAGCCGCUAGCAUCGAUUGAUCUCUUGUGCAGAAAAAGUUGCAUUAAACUACAACACGGUGCAUACCUUGCGACGAGUCCAACACAGACCGAAAGUAGGCAUGUCGAUGCCGUCAACAUCAAACAUGGCGUCUAUAGGCUCAUGAACACGUACAUCUGGUCGCCCUAUAGAGAACCUCUCCCACGACCACAGCUGUAGGAAUAGAGGGCAUCCAAGAAGGGCUGGCUUUCUCGAUGUAAGCUGGCAACCGUUGCACAUACCUCGGUAUGUAGCCGCUAACACCGCUGAACCCCAACUCCUCUGUCUGAUCUGAUCCGCCGUCUGAGCGCUCGCUAUCUCGAGUGCCAUAGGGAUGUAGAGGGCGCUAAUAGUGGUGACAUGGUUCUCCGUGAACAUCACCUUGCCGAAAAGCCACAGUAAGUAGGCCUCGAGGCUCCGAGUGAUCUGUUCCGCAGUCAACGGCGCCCGGAAGUUCUGGAUCUGCAUUAAGCGAAGAGAAAGUUUUAGUAAGCCGCAAUUAUUUUUUGUAAAACUUUAUGCGCGAUAACUUGAAGAGAAUAGGUAGGGGAAAUUACCCGGAAAUUUAGCAACCACUCAUACUUAGGUCCGUGAUGCUCCCAUACCGGAUCGGGAGCAUCCGGAAAAACACCGUGAAAACGUUCUGUAAGAGCUCGCUCCCAACCAGCCGGUGCGUCCAACGGUCCUACGGCAUGACCUACCAACGGUAGUCCGAGCAAAAGUGACACAUCCUCCAGAGUAGGAGCCAUCUCUCCCCAUCUGAAGUGAAACGUGUGGGUCUCUGGCCUCCAACGGUCCACUAAGCAGCUCAGCAAAGACCCAUCGAUGGCGACGCGUUUCUCACCCGGGAUAGACUCAACCAGACGCGCGAAAGGUAAAAGGCCGGCCCAUUUCAACCUUCAUCAGAGAACUUUUCAGUUAGUGUCUCCCAUUUCAACCAUUAAUAUGCAUGUCAGUGUGCAAAUUAAUAAAGCACGUACCGCUGAAGCUAUCCUGAGUGUAUCUUCCAGUUUUCCUUAGGAGUGCGAGUGACCAGAGGCUCAAGCUUGCGCUCAUACCAUAUCGCAGCACGAUGACCCCUAUCAAUGUCCCCAUUCAGCAACCACAAUCCCGACAUUCCUGCACAUACAAAAUUCAGAAUAUAGUGUCACACUUAAUAAAAAUUCAGAACAAAGUGCCACACUUAAUAAAAAUUCAUAACAUAGUGCCACACUUAAUAAAAAUUCAGAACAUACUGUCACACUUUUACAAAUUCAGAACAUAGUGCCACACUUAAUAAAAAUUUAGAACAUAGUGCCACACUUAAUAAAAAUUCAGAACAUAGUGCCACACUUAAUACAAAUUCAGAACAUAGUGCCACACUUAAUACAAAUUCAGAACAUAGUGCCACAGCACACUUAAUAUAAAUUCAGAACAAACUAGUGCUAGCUUAGCUUCUUCCUCUCGCCCUUACUCCUCUACUACCUCUACCUCCUCUUCUUCCCCGGUUGCCUCGUCCACGCCCAGUGAUGAAAGUGGGACAAUUAGUGUCCCUAUGGCCAAAUUCAUUGCAUAGAAUGCAUUGCCUAGUCGGACCUCCUGCUUCAGAUUCAUCCAUAUCAUUUCGGAUGCGCUGACACUGCCGUCUGCCUCUACUUGUACGCAUAUGCUCUGGGUUUGGAAUGUAACGCCUUUCGGCGGGGUUGACGCUGUUGAAAUUACCCAUUGAUCGAAAACCCAUCAGCUCACCUGUCCAGGUAUUGAGGACAGCCUCUUUCAGAAAAUAUGGAGACACAAAUGAUAUUGCGUCCAUUCCAAGCUGCCCGCAAGCAGCAAGUACAUGUGAGCAAGGUAGGUGAAGCAAUUUCGGUUUAUUGCAUGUGCACUCACACGUUGGCCAGGCUUCAUUGCCAAUUUUCACCUCAUGCGUCCUCAACUCAUUUGCACAUCCGAAUUUGUUGUUGGCUAAGCGGACCUCAAACCUUCUUUCUUGAUUACCGAUGGCGACUACAGUGUGUGACCUAGCUUUUUGCAUCUUGUUGUCCAUGUACUUCGUGGCUCUUUCACAGUACCGUGUGUUUGGGUUGUUCAAGAUAUGCUGCUCUGCUAUUUGACGUCUGUCUCUGAAAUACUUGACGGUGCCAUAGAAAAUACCCUCAACGAUGGCUGUAAGUGGCAAUGCCCGGUUUCCUCUGAGGACAAAGUUGUAUGUUUCCGCGAGGUUCGUUGUCAUGACACGUACCUUGCUCCAUGUGUGUCAUGUAGCAAAGACCACCUCUGCAGAGGCUCAUGCUCUAUCCACUGCUCGAAGGUUUUAAUCGACCUCCCGAGCCUUCUCCUAGUACCAGGUGGGUCAAAGCCUGGCAGGUCACAUAGCUCAACAGCCUCCUCCUCCACGGCCGCUGUUCCUGUUGCCAACCGUGCAGCUACUGCUUCAACAUGUGCCCUCACCGCUGCAUCUCUUGCAGCUUUCCUAUCCCUCACGUGUCUCUGCGUGCACACAUUAAGUCCGUCGCGUAUCAAAUUGUACUUCCAUAACUGGUUCUGCUUGCAGAGUUUUUUGAACAGAUUCAUCAGGUUCUUAUUUCUAAACUGCGAGAAGAAAUUAGCCCCGAGAUGGCGCAUGCACCAACGGCUCUGCAAGUACUGCCAUGGAACUUGUUCCUCAGGGCCUGGGUUUGUCAGUGUCCUUAUCGCACUGAGUAUACCUGCAUGCCUGUCAUGAAGGAUGCACACAUUGGGCUUCUCCUUAACAACUGAUAUUUUCAACUGCCUGAAGAACCAUGUCCAACUUUCAAUGUUCUCACUCUCCACAAAAGCAAAUGCCAGUGGGACGACUUGAUUUUGGCCAUCUUGACCUAUGGCUGUCAGGAUCUGACCCUUGUACUUGCCUAUGAGAAAAGUACCGUCAACACAUAUCACCGGUCGGCAAUGCCUGAAAGCUUCGAUGCAUACACCGAAAGAGAAGAAGAGACGAUGCAAAACCCUCACAGUUGGGAACUCUGGCAUGAACAUGUCUUGGAUAUCGAUAUAGGUGCCUGGAUUCCGCUGCUGCAGGGUGUGGAGGAGGUGGACAACAGAGUCAUAUGCAUGAAAAUAAGAACCAAAUCUCCUCUCAAGCGCUGCAUGCUUAGCCCUCCAAGCCUUGCCAUAAGAAAUUCUGUACUUCAACCUGGCGAACACUUUUGUCUGCACUGCCUUCACUUCCAUAGCUUUGCCUUGCACUAUCUCAUCGUAAAACAGUCGAGCAAUAAGCGUGGAUGAAAGGUUGGCAUGAUCUUGAGGGAUGCAGGGAAUAAGACAAGUGUGAUUAACUAAGUCACUUAUCACCCAACUUGUGCCAUACUUAGGGAGAAAGCCGUGCACCCUUGCGGGACAAUCUGCGUUCUUGCAUACCAUUGUGAGGAAUUUCUGACUGGACACCUCAGCUUUGAAAACCCUUUGCGUGGACAUUGCCCAAUUAAUUUUUGCAUCCUUCAGGGCUUGCUUGUUCGGAUACAUAGCACCCAUCGCAAUAUUGUUCUGGUGAUAUUGCUAGGCUGAAUCAUGUCCAUCAUUCACGGUCAUUGCAGAUGAUAAGUCAUGAUUCCACCAUGCAAGAUUCAGGACCUCCUCUGCAUUUUCUUCUUCAUCUGACUCGUCAGAAUCAUCGGCAUGACCCCUUUCAACAUCGGUGUCUUCUUCUUCCAUCUGGUUCUGCAUGUGCCCAUCUACCUCGUCAGCGUCCACCUCACCAUUGUAAUCACCAUCGGCAUUUCCUCCUUCUACCUGACUACUCUGCCCUGGUUCAUAACCAUAAGCAUUUCCUCCUUCUACCUGACUGCUCUGUCCUUGUCGUAACCAUAAGCAUUUCCUCCUUCUACAUGACUGCUCUGUCCUUCGUAGCCACCCUCCCCUUCAUGUGCAGUGACCUCCUUCACGACGGGAAGCACUAAAGCAACAUGAUUGCAUCCCCUUCGUUCACAACCUUGUAACCACCGCACCCAAUCGGAGUCUCCCUCUAUUGGCCUCAAAUAAAAGUAAAUUUUUGAACUUGACCGUGUCCACAAUGCAUGAACACCGACGGUGUGUGUUUCAGUAUCAAGACCUAAACUUGCCGCAAUCCAUUCUUUCAACUGACUAACAGACCAUGUUUGUGGUGCGUUGAUUGCCACCUCUAUGUGAGUAAAUUCACUCAGAUCUGCUCCCAACUCAUUUGUUUGGACAGUACCAGGACCAUAGUAAAAUCUCAACUUCACUACAUCGGACAUCUCGACUCACCUAUUUUUUUCAACAUAGAAAUACAAGUAUUAGACAUGUCUAUAUAUAUAUUACCAGGACCAUAGUAAAUUUCACGAUCAAUAUAAUUUAAUCUAUGUGGACGAUUAUGAUGAGUUGCUUCACUCUUCUUUUAAUAAUAAUAUAAUAAAUAGGCCCAUGUUUACUAAUAAUAAAUAGGCCUCAAAUAAUAAUAAUAAUAUAACCGUCAAAUAUGAUAAUUUAGUUUAUUUGAAUUAUAUGGCCCAUGUUGAUGUAUUUUUUAUUUUAAUCUAUGUUAAGAAUAAUUUAGAAAAAGGCAUGCGUCUUAUUUCUACGAUCAUGUAAAAUUCUUCCUUGCAAAGAAGUUUUUAUCCGAAGUUUUUUUUUUAAACUACAGCGUGUCCGUUUAAAAAAUAACAGUGUGGGUUAGCGGGUAAUCCGCUUCAUAUUGGCAUCGGGUACGGACUGAAACGUUUUUUAACAUGUAGUUCUACUUUUCCCAUUUUUUGUUUGCUUGUUAAAUUUCCAUCACACUGACAUGCUAUGCACAUGCCGACCCUAACUCUUUAAAAAAAACUUGUCUCUUCUUUCCAACUUUUUAUUCAUGUUUCCAACUUCUUAUCCCGCACCUGUGUACGUGUCAAGUAUUAAGCAACAACUUAUUAUCCCCACUAACAACUAAUACAAUUCACACACCUACAACUAUAUUACGAAUAUUUGCCGUAGCAACUACAAAUAUUUACGUAUACUACCGGGGCAAAUAACAAUAAUCGCACACAAAUUUAAUUUCACAUUGAACGAAGCGUGCGUGCGAACGAAUAAUAUUUACGUAUACUACCGGGGCAAAUAACAAUAUUUCUGUAUACUACCGGGCCAAAUAACAAUAAUCGCACACAAAUAUUUACGUAUACUACCGCGGCAAAUAACAAUAUUUACGUAUACUACCGGAGCACCUAUGAAAAAUAAAAUGUGGGCUGAAAUAUACCCUUGAAGCGUGCGUGAGAACGAAGAACGAAGAACGACGAACGACGAACGACGAACGACGACGAACGAAAAACUGCCGCUGCUCCGGCUCCAACGAAGAACGACGAACAACAGCUUCACCUCCACCUCACUGCCCCAACUUCACCACCACCACACUGCCCCAACUUCACCACCACCACACUGCCCCAACUUCACCACCACCACCUCCACCAAAAUGCUCACCACGACCACCACGAGCUACCCCGUCAGUAGAUCGACACCUCUUUUGGCUGCCCUAAAUGAGUUGAACCCAUUCACGGUGCCAAAAUGGCAAAAAUGUAGCUCAUUUAGGUGUACAAAUGUGUGCCAUUUUUCUGUAGAGAGAGGAGGAGGAAGAACACAGAAGAAAUGAGCCACCAGGUGGAUAGGAGAGGAAUGAGAGGAUAAGGGCGGGCACGGGAGAAGAAUAAUGGAGGAAGGAGAGGAAGGAGAGGAUAAGGGCGGGCCGGCCAGCGCGCGUCAGGUCGGCAGCACCCUGUCGGCCACCAGGUGGCCGAUCGGCGGGCGGCAGGCCGACAGGGGCGCACCACGCCGACAGGCCACUGCCUCCCCCUCGCGACGUGGCCUGACCAACCACAGGCCGCCGCGUGCCAGCCCGGCAUGCAGUCGGCCUCCUGCUAGCCGAUCGGCCUGCUGUGGGCCGACUGGGCUCAGUCGGCCUGCAGUGGGCCGACGGUGUAAUAUUUUUGUAAAUACUUUUUUCUGCGUAUUAUUUCUGUAAUUUAAAAAAAAUGUAUUAUUUAAAAAAAAUAGAAACAUGAGUAGUUGUUCGUCCACUGUCAUUCGCUUUGUAUCCUUCAGUAAGCCUCUCUCACACAAAGCAUCUCGCAGCAAGUAGAAUAUGUGCUUCUCAAGAUGAAUUUGUUCGUAAAAUUUAACUGGAUGUCCCUCUAGCAACUCUUUUGUUUUCUGGGCACCAGUUAAUAUGGAGGUGUUACGAGGUGUUUUGAAUAACCUUGUGAACAACACAUCACGAAACACGGACACUGCAGAAAUGUUAUUAAUAAGAACUUGCUCGGAAUCAGAAAAUUCAUCAUCUGGCACAUAUAAACUGUUCAUGGUUCCCUGCACAGUGUACACUAUUGAUUGUAUCAUCUCAGAAUAAUAUUUUAUAAGAUAUAUAAAAUAGUUGGAAAUGAACUUUCUCAAAAUGAAAGUACAGUUGAUCGUUGCAACACAAACUGACAGAAAAAGCAAUGGAAAUUGUUCUCUAAAUACAUAAAACGACAAUUACUGAAAUCAAAUAAUGGUGUAUUACAAAAUAACUAAGGAUCAAGAAUCCAAAGCUUUCGAGUUUCUUCAUCCAUCUCAAUGAAAAUGGUGCGUUUGUCACCAUCUGUAAAUGCUUUUACUGCUUUCAGUUUUGUGCUGGCAUCGAGGCUACCCAUACUAUUUAAUACUGACACGCAUGAUUUAACCGAGUAAGUGUCAUUUUGUUCUGCUGUUUUUUUCUUUGCUUCAGCAAUGCUGAGUGAUGCAUCUGCAAGACGAUCAAUUGCUGUUAUGGCAUCAUCAGCUAUACGUUUUUGUCCUCUUGUAGUUUCUUUUAAUCCACUUCCAGGGAAUUUCCUUUUUUCUGGCUCAAUGGCUGUCGACUUCUUAGUGAACACAACAGGGGAGCCAUUGUUUUCAUCAGACUCGAUUUCAUGUACUUCAACAUCCUUAUUGAGAUCAAUUUGAGAUGAUUUAGUUGUGCAUGAACCAUCUUUCCCUUUGCUAGAUAUAGCACCAACUCCAGAUGCCGUUGAACUAGCACAUAUUUGUUGAAGAUCUUCCCAACUAGGCCACACCUUUUCUCGAUAUUCUUGGAGUGACUUAUCCUUCUGCAAGUUGUUAAUUUUUAUUAAUAAAUACAAUAUACCAAUUUUAUAUGAAUCCUACUCGCACAAACUUACCUCAAUUAGUUCCUCCCAAGUUUCUUCUGAAGCUUUUAUCAUUUUGUCAUCAUCAUCCCAACCAAAUCCCGUCAGUUUAAGAAGUCUAUCCAUGGCAGCAUAGCAACUCCUAUAGUACUUAUGGCGAUUUUUCAAUUGUUGUAAUUCAAGUUUGUCUACUCUUGAAUCAUUGAAUUGUUCUAAGAUAUCACGCCAUGCUUUCUUUGUGUAACAUGUUCCUUCUUUCCCUCCGUGUAAAGUUUGAUCUUUCAGUAUAGUGAGAAGUAUUUUGUCCUCCGAAGAUUUCCAUACAUGCCUCUUUUUAUCUGGGUUUUCUUUCCUUUUUUUUUGGUCCCUCUGAUCAUCCAUAUUUAUCUACAAGAAAAUAAAAAAUUUAAAUGAGUAUGUGAUUGACAAACUUAAUUUCUCUUGACAUUUCAAAGCCUCCAAUUUAAAGUUGUACUUACAACAAGCCAUAUUGCAAAGUGAGUUAUUUGGUUGAGAAGAGCACUGUUAAGUGGAAGAAAUGAACAUGAUAAUAAUAUUUCAACUGCAUUCGUGUGAUCUCUUGGCGUGUAUUCUUCUGAUUGCAGUAGACAAAUGGGGGUCUAGGACUGAGCUAAUCUUUAAUGUUUUACCUAUGACAACACUUACUACUAAUUGUUUGAUUUCUACGUGUAUUCCUAUGUUCUUUUCACAAUGCAGGUCGACAAAGGAACUGAUGGCUUGUAUUUCAGUGAUCUACUGUUGGCUUACCAUUUGUUUUUAUAGAGGUAAAGCUGCAUGUGCGUGUUGAAUUUAAAUUUGAGGGCCCCUUAUAUCCAGGAGUACAUGAUUGGCCUACAUACUAGACUAUGAUACUUGUGUAUACAAUUUAGACUACAGCACAAACAUACAUACUUAUAUCGCACAGUUCAGAUUGGCCUAGUGCCUAUUAAUACCAUAUAAAUAUAUAAUUAGAGUUAGCGUGCCAUUUACUCUUCUUUCAUAUCUGGCAUUUACCUGGUUUCCAUGUACAACAGCAAGUAACUAGUGUAGUGGGUUUCUUUUAUAAUCAAACAGAGGUGUGUUUCCAAUUAGAGAGAGGAAGGGACAAAUUGCCAAGUUGGUGGUUCUAGUUUCAUCUACGAAUUGGCUAUCUCAGAUUACCGGAGUUUUUUCUUUCUGCAAAAUGAGCUUCAUUACCAAAAAAAUGAAUCGAUGAACAAUACCAUGAAUUUGUAGAUCUACGGACGAAUUUGUUGAUCAGGAUGAUUGAUCGAUGAACAAUACCAUGAAAUCUGUACAUCUAAACUCAUAUGGACCAAUUUGUUGAUCAAGAUGAUUGAUCGAUGAACAAAACCAUGAAAUUUGUACAUCUACAACUUAUAUGGACUAAUUUGUUGAUCUGGAUGAUUGAUCAAUGGACAAUAUCAUGAAAUAUGGACAUCGACUACAACUUAUAUUGACAGGAUGAUUGAUCUUACCAGGGUCGUGCAACUUGAUUGAAGAUGGGAAGAUGAUGAGAACCGCCUGAUGAAGAAGCUGCUGAGAACCAGCGCCAGCGUCUCCCAGCCAGCGCCUGUGAAUGGAAUUGACGGCCAGCCAGUUCUAUUAGCGAUGGGGCCUGUAUAUAAGCAAUGAAAAAGGCGCGAGGGCGAGCAGCAAAACGCAGAACUGGCACCAGAAAAGUUGUUGAGAAGCGAGCGGGCGGGAAAAAGUUGUGGCGAUCACGCAUAUAGCAAUCGCGUUUGUGGAAAAACGGAUAAAGCUCAUUUUUCUAUAAGCCCGAAAUCUUGGGUUGUACAGUUCCAAGUUUCCUAUAAACGUGGAUUGGUUAUAGUAGCCAAACGAGGUUUUGUUCGGUUGAACCGUUUCCCUGGUUUAUAGAGUACGGAUUCUAUAUAUAUCUUCUAUCCAAACAACGCCAUAAUGUGUGUAGCAUGGAAGAUAUCGCCAUCUCUUGGUUGUUAUGUUGACAAUGAAAGUAUGCCGCUCAAAAUAUUAUUUAUCUCUAUUUCAAAAUCGAGCUCUGGCACCUCUACAAAUCCCUGCUUCCCUCUGCGAAGGGCCUAUCUAUUUACUUUUAUGUUGAGCCAUCACCCUCUUAUUAAAAAGCACCAGCUGGAGAGCACCGCUGUCAUUUGCAUCCAUUACUAUUAGUUUAUAUUGGGUAUGACUAUGACUGGAUCUCUUUUACCAUGAAUUACAAUGUUUAGUCAGUCCUUGAUCUUUAAAGGUGCUCUGCAUUUAUGUUUUGCGGUCUCAGAAAGGGCUAGCGAGAUACCAUCUUGUUAUAUCAUAUUAUGAUUGUUUUGAGAAAGUGUUGUCAUUCGAGAUUUAUUAUUAUUGCUCGCUAGUUGAUUAUGCCAUUGAUAUGAGUAAACAUGAGACCUAAGAGUUAUUGUGAAUGUGGUUAGUCAUAAUAUUUGCUGAAAACUUGAAUGCUGGCUUUACAUAUUUACAACAACAAGAGCAAACAGAGUUUGUAAAAGUUUUUCUUUGUCACUUUCAGUUUAUCAACUGAAUUGCUUGAGGACAAGCAAAGGUUUAAGCUUGGUGGAGUUGAUACGUCUCCGUCGUAUCUACUUUUCCAAACACUUUUGCCCUUGUUUUGGACUCUAACUUGCAUGAUUUGAAUGGAACUAACCCGGACUGACGCUGUUUUCAGCAGACUUUCCAUGGUGCUAUUUAUGUGCAGAAACAAAAGUUCUCGGAAUGACCUAAAACUCCACGGAACUUAUUUUUUGGAAAAAAAAUAAAAUACUGGAAGAAGAAUCCACGUCAGGGGGGCCUCCACCUAUCCAUGAGGGUGGGGGCGCGCCCCCUGCCUUGUGGGCCCCCUGUUGCUCCACCGACCUCAACUCCAACUCCAUAUAUUCAUGUUCGGGGAGAAAAAAUUAGAGAGAAGGAUUCAUCGCGUUUUACGAUAUGGAGCUGCCGCCAAGCCCUAAAACCUCUCGGGAGGGCUGAUCUGGAGUCCGUUCGGGGCUCCGGAGAGGGGAAUCCGUCGCCAUCGUCAUCAUCAACCAUCCUCCAUCACCAAUUUCAUGAUGCUCACCGCCGUGCGUGAGUAAUUCCAUCGUAGGCUUGUUGGACAGUGAUGGGUUGGAUGAGAUCUAUCAUGUAAUCGAGUUAGUUUUGUUAGGGUUUGAUCCCUAGUAUCCAUUAUGUUCUGAGAUUGAUGUUGCUAUGACUUUGCUAUGCUUAAUGCUUGUCACUAGGGCCCGAGUGCCAUGAUUUCAGAUCUGAACCUAUUAUGUUUUCAUGAAUAUAUGUGAGUUCUUGAUCCUAUCUUGCAAGUCUAUAGUCACCUACUAUGUGUUAUGAUCCGGCAACCCCGAAGUGACAAUAAUCGGGACCACUCCCGGUGAUGACCGUAGUUUGAGGAGUUCAUGUAUUCACUAUGUGUUAAUGCUUUGGUCCGGUACUCUAUUAAAAGGAGGCCUUAAUAUCCCUUAGUUUCCAUUAGGACCCCGCUGCCACGGGAGGCUAGGACAAAAGAUGUCAUGCAAGUUCUUUUCCAUAAGCACGUAUGACUAUAUUCGGAAUACAUGCCUACAUUACAUUGAUGAAUUGGAGCUAGUUCUGUGUCACCCUAUGUUAUGACUGUUAUAUGAUGAACCGCAUCUGGCAUAAUUCUCCAUCACCGAUCCAAUGCCUACGAGAUUUUCAAAUAUUGUUCUUCGCUUAUUUACUUUUUCGUUGCUACUGUUACAAUCACUACAAAACCCAAAAAUAUUACUUUUGCUACCGUUACCGUUACUUCCGUAUUACUUUGCUACUAAAUACUUUGCUGCAGAUACUAAGUUAUCCAGGUGUGGUUGAAUUGACAACUCAGCUGCUAAUACUUGAGAAUAUUCUUUGGCUCCCCUUGUGUCGAAUCAAUAAAUUUGGGUUGAAUACUCUACCCUCGAAAACUGUUGCGAUCCCCUAUACUUGUGGGUUAUCACCAAGCCGGCGGCCAAGGCCAAUGUAGGCAUUGCGCAGGCGCAACACUCUCUUGGACGUAAACUAACUCACAUGCACGCAUCUUGCCUUUAAAAAUUUCCUUCAAGCUAUACUUGUGAGAGUAAACAAGGGACAUCAAAUAGCUAUCAAGGAAUUCCAGUGUAGCCACCACUGGAGGCAUCUCUUUGCCAUGGCACAAGUCAUUCUGCAGCUGCCAAAUGCACCAAAUCAACAUAAUCACCAUGUCCCGCAUGGUUGAAGUGCAAUUCAUUAGAACAUUCAGCAGCCAAUCAUUCUCACUGUCUACUAAGAGUACAUCCCGGGGCAAGGGCCAUAUAACACACAUGUGCUCCCAAAUAUUCCGAGCAUGGCUGCUGGAAACCAAUGCAUGGAAGGAACUUUCAUCUUCGAUACCGCACAAUGUAAAGAUUUGAUAACCCAUAAGUAUAGGGGAUCAAUUGUAGCCUUUUUUUGAUAAGUAAGAGUGUCGAACCCAACGAGGAGCUAAAGGUAGAAUUAAUAUUCUCUCAAGUUCUAUCGACCACCGAUACAACUCAACACACACUUAACAUUUGCUUUACCUAGAACAAGAAUAAAACUACUUUGUAGGUGUAAUAGGAUAAGUUUGUAAGAAUAAAACUAGAAGUACUUAGCGGGAUAAUAAAAGUUAGGUUGUUUUAAUAGAGAGCAUUUUGUAACACAAAGAGAAAGAUUGUCCAUUGGCAAUUGAAUAUAACACGAUAGAUACUUAUCAUAUGCAAUGAGGGAGAGGCAUGCGCUAACAUACUUUCCGUACUUGGAUCACAUGUUCUUAUUAUUGGAACUCUAGAAAGCAUCCGCAACUACUAAAGAUCAUUAAGGUAAAACCCAACCAUAUCAUUAAGUAACAAGUCCUCUUUACUCUCAUACGCAACAACCCCCUUUCUCGGGUUUAAGGUUAUGUCUCGCAACCCACUAUAAGCGAAUCAUGAAUGUAUUGCAACACCGUACAACGGUUAUCCCACACGCUUGCGCGACACAGAGGGCAUCAUAGGACAGCACCAUAUUAACAUUAAACUCAUAUCAGUCACACCAUACCACAAUUAACCCGUAGGACAAAAUAAAUCUACUCACAUUAUAUGAUUGCCACACAUCAUUGGAUAAUAACAUAUACUAUUAAGCACCAUGUUCAAGUACAUAAUUACAACGGGAACAGAGAGGUUACACCACUGCAUAGAGUUGUUGGUGUAGAUCGCCGUCACGAUGAUUUCCCCGGUGGAGCUCCGGCAACACCGGAAGAGAAGGGGCAGAGCCCCCCUCCUUCUUCUUCUUGCUUGGCCUCCCCCAUAGAUGGGAGGAGGGUUUUCCCACUGGUCCAUGGCCGCCAUGGCUCUCGGAGGGCAGGAGCCCCUCCGAGAUUGCAUCUCUCUCUGUGUUUCUCUUCUGUUUUUCAUUUAUUUUUGGACACCUUCACCGUUUUUUAUAUUCCCGAAGAUCCAUAACUCCAUUGGGAUGAAAUUUUUAGGGGAUUUUUGUCUAGAAAUUAUCUUUCUUGCGGCGAAAGAAGGGCUCCAAUUGAGGUAAGAGGGCGUCACAAGGCAACACAGCGCGCCCUGGGGUAUCGUCUUGCAUUGAUUCUUCUUCCCAAAAAUCACAUAUAUUCCAAAAUAAACCUUAGCAAAAUUUUAUCUUGUUUGGAAUUCAUUUGAUAUGGAUAUUCUGCGAAACAAAAAAACAUGCAAAGAAAAGGAACCGGCACUGGGCACUGGAUCAAUAUGUUAGUCCCAAAAACAAUAUUAAAUGUUGCCAAAAGUAUAUAAAAGUUGUAGAAUAUUGGCAUGAAAUAAUCAAAAAUUAUAGAUACGACAGAGACGUAUCAAGGUUCCACGUCUAGCCAGGUGCCGGUUUGCCUUGUCGAGCGUGGCCCACACACCGACAUCCACGUAGUGAUCUUCAUCUUUUGCGGUACAACUGCUUUCCAAAUACAGUUCCAUAACGACCGCUCACCAUGCGGUGAGCUACUUGAUGCACCAUGCGGUAAUCAUGUUCAGUUGUCGCUAAUCUAUAUGCACUCUUCAGACCGUGGGUAGUAACAUAUAUAGGGUUCAACUCAGCAAAUUUACUUAUGUGGUAAUGAUUUAAUGAGGAGAGAGAUGAUUUUAGUAACAUAGCUCGUUAUUUACACUAUGGGUAACACCACACAUAUCAAGACAAGAUGAGUCUAUAAUCUAAUAAAAGAAGUGUUGCAUGACACCACACUUAUGUUAGGCCCCACUAUGGGUAGUCUCACUGUAAAAUUUCCAGAUUUCUAAGGAUUCCCAGCGAAGAAGUCACUUUGUUGUCUUGGAGAUGUUCGAAUUUUUAUAAUCUCCUGAACAUCAUCACCCAAAAAUGAGUAUUAAGCAUGUCAAUGUUCCAGCUUCCGUUAUCAUCCAAGAAAUCGGCCACCCGGUUAAACCGACAAUUACGGUUCAGAGUAACUGGGCCAAAAGAGGAACACCUCGGAAUCCAUGGAUCUCGCCAAGUUCUGAUCAUGGCGCCAUUCCCAACCCUCGAAAUAAUGCCCUUCUUCACCAGCUCCAAUCCCCUUCCAAACAGCCGAGGAGGUACGUGAAAAAAAUAGUGUCCAAAAGGUUCCCAGUCGGACAGUAUUUUGCAUGGAGGAGAUGAGCACACAAACUGUUAGGUGCAUCCAGCAAACCGCCACACUUGUUUAUCAAGUAAUGCUUGGUUGAAAGCCCUAAUAUCACGGAAGCCCAUACCACCGUUAGAACUGGGUAAUAUCAUUUUUUCCCAACUAAGCUAGGCCAUCUUAUGCUUUCCCUUCUCGACCACCACCAAUAUUGCCUCAUCAAUCGUGUAAGAUCAGCACAUACUGAGGCAGGAAGACGGAACACACUCAUCACAUAUGAAGGGAUAGCUUGGGCCACCGCCUUAAUAAGAAUAUUUUUAUUUCCAGAAGACAAGUAUUGUUCACUCCAAUCCAAUGGACAUUUACUCAACACCGCUUGAACGGUUUCAAAUCUACCCUUGUGCAUCCUCCCUUCCGGCACUGCAAGGCCCAAGUACUUAGGCUCAAACACUUCAUUUGUGAUACCUAGAAUAUUUUUUAUCUCCAUGGAAAUCGUAGGUAAGCAAUUUUCAGAAAAAAUAAUAGAACAGUUGGUAGGGUUAAUGUGUUGGCCCGUGGCUGAGGCAUAAGUGCUCAAACCAUCCUUAACCAAACAUGCCUGUUGCUCAGAAGCUUGAAUGAAUAACAAUGAGUCAUCCGCAAAUAGAAGAUGUGAAAUAGUUUGCGCCCUUCGGCAUAUCAAUCCCUCCUCCGCCAUGGACUUGCUGAUCAGUGCAGACAAUGCGCCAGCAACAAAGAGAAAUAAAAACAUGGACAAAGGAUCGCCUUGGCGAAGUCCCUGCGAAGGGGUAAAAGACUCGAGUAAUUUUCCACUAAACUUUAUGCAAUAUUUCAGCGAAGUAACACAAGCCAUAAUACGAGAAAUCCAUGAUGUAGUAAAACCCCACUUACAUAGGGCUUACACAAGAAACACAUAGUCGGCGCGAUCAUAUGCCUUCAAUAGGUCAAGCUUGUAAGCACAUAAUGCCAGAUUAUCCUCUCACAGAGAUAGAAUAUGAUGAAUCACUCAAAAACAAAGAUGGAAUUAUCUGAAAUAUGUCUACGUGGAAUGAAAGCACUUUGGUUUUUAGAGAUAAGAUCCAUCAUCAAAGGCCUUAGCCUAUUCACCAUGCAUUUUGACACAAUUUUGUAAACCACAUUGCAAAGACUGAUGGGAUGAAAAUCAUUUAUGUCCUUAGGUUGCGGAACCUUUGGAAUUAUAACUAUCGCCGUAUCAUUCACUCCCAUAGGCAUAAUCCCUAUCACAAAAAAACCACUGAACAGUCGCACAACAUCUGAUUUAAGCAUUGCCCAGUUAUAAUGAUAGAAACGAGCUGGAAAACCAUCCAUACAUGGGGCCUUAAUAGGGUCGAUCUGGAAAAGAGCAUCAAAGAUCCCCUUCUCUUAGAAAGGUGCGCACAAGACCUCGUUCAUCUGCACUGUCACCUUAGGCUCAAUACACUCUAAAACUGCCUCUGGGGAGAGGGUUGGGUUGUUGGUACAAACCUCCUUGAAGUAGGAGGCUGCCAUUCGCUCCAUCUUCUAAGGAACAUAGCACCAUGUCCAAUCCAAGUUGCCCAAGCACCGAAUAUAAUUCCUCCUUGCCUGCCAAACAUCGCGAUGGUGGGGGUAUUUGGUAUUCCGCUCCCCUUCUUCCAGCCAUGUGAUACAUGAGCAUUGCAACCAUAACAUUUCCUCACGGUAUAGUAACUCAUCAAGUUGGUUUCUCUUUUUUUGCAUACUCAUACGAUCUGAUCCAUUAUAUCUAGCUCACCACAGAGCUUCUCUAUGUCAUUGUUGAUAGGAGCAAAAUUCUUUCAGCUCCAAUCCUUCAAACUAUGCAUAAGUGCUCACAACAACUCCGCUACAUAGGAGGAUAGUGGUAUCCCUAGCCCACCAGGGUUCAAGUCCUGAUACUCGCAUUUAUCCUGGAUAUAUUUCAGGAUUUCCGAUGAUGCGCGUUCAGUGGGAGGAUACGUUCCCGUCGACUACGAGGCGUCUACGAUGAGUUUGUAAAAUCUCAAGAUGAUAUGUGACUCAGUCUCCCAGAUGUGCUCAUAAGGGUAGGAUGUGUGUGUGUGCGUUCAUAGGGGUGAGUCUAUGCGCACAUAUAUGAGCGCUUAUGUCUGUACUGUGUUAAAACAAGUACUGGACAUUGUGACCUGCCUGGACAUUGUGACUCACUGGAGACCUGGCGGGCGGAUCCGAUGGACGACAAGGCCGAAGGCCCAGGAGGCUAGCUUAUACUCUGGUGGGCUGGCUUAAGGAGAAAGGGAUGACGAAUAUUUCCUUUACGAGGGAGCAAGACCCGGACUUGUAUUCAACUUGUAAGAAAAGAUAGACUAGUCCUAGUCCUACUAGGACUCCGCAUGUAACCCGCCCCUCUAACUUAUAUAAGGAGGGGCAGGGUACCCCAAAGAGGGACAAGCAAGAAACAAUAAUGUCUAGGGCUAGACACAACUAAAGGAGAGCCGGCUUAUGCGGCGUCUCCCUGAUGAGCAUAAUGAGAUCUAGCCACAAACAGCAUGUAGGGCUAUUACCGGAUGAUGUUUCCCGGGGCCUGAAGCUGUCUAAAUCCUUGUCUUGUGUUGCGUCUCUCGAUUCCAACCAACCCCUCUCAAGCUACCACAUAGAUGCACUGGCCUCGCGACUAAGUCCUGACACUAAGGACAUUUGCCGUGACAAUUCCACGACACUACCUAAGCCUUUUUCCCUUGGGAGUCGCGCUCCCGAGGGUCAUCUUUAUUUUACCCCCCUGGGCCAGUGCUCCUCUGAGUGUUGGUCUAAACUAGAGCCCUUUGCAGCGCCACCUCGGGGAAACUUGAGGCCUGGUUUUAGUUGUACGGAUUGCUCAUCUGAUGUGCCCUGAGAACGACAUAUGUGCAGCUCCUAUCGGGAUUUGUCGGCACAUUCGGGCGGCUUUGCUGGUCUUGUUUUACCAUUGUCGAAAUGUCUUGUAAACCGGGAUUCCGAGACUGAUCGGGUCUUCCCGGGAGAAGGAAUAUCCUUCGUUGACUGUGAGAGCUUAUAAUGGGCUAAGUUGGGACACCCCUGCAGGGUAUUAUCUUUCGAAAGCCUUGCCCGCGGUUAUGUGGCAGAUAGGAAUUUGUUAAUGUCCAGUUGUAGAGAACUUGACACUUGACUUAAAUAAAAUGCAUCAACCGCGUGUGUAACCGUGAUGGUCUCUUUUCGGCGGAGUCCGGGAAGUGAACACGGUUUUGGGUUAUGUUUGAACGUAAGUAGUUUCAGGAUCACUUCUUGAUCAUUGCUAGUCUCACGACCGUUCCGUUACUUCUCUUCUCGCUCUUAUUUGCGUAUGUUAGCCACCAUACAUUGCUUAGUCGCUGCUGCAACCUCACCACUUAUCCUUUCCAUACCCUUUAAGCUUUGCUAGUCUUGAUACCCAUGGUAAUGGGAUUGCUGAGUCCUCGUGGCUCAUAGAUUACUACAACAAUAGUUGCAGGUAUAGGUUUUGCGAAGAUCAUGACGCGAGAGCGAUGUUACUUGUUUUGGAGUUCUUCUUCUGCUUCUUCUUCAAUCAGGGGAUAGGUUCCAGGUCGGCAGCCUGGGCUAGCAGGGUGUAUGUUGUUUGAGUUUCUGUUUGUGUUUCAUCCGUAGUCGGAUGUUGAUCUUAUGUAUGAUGUAUUGGUGUAUUCUUGGGGCGUUUGUGCCUUUUGUAUGUUUCCCCAUCUAUUAUGUAAUGUUGAUGUAAUGAUAUCCACCUUGCAAAAAGCGUUUCAAUAUGCGGGUCUAUCCUUGGUGGGACCUUCGAGUUCCUCUCGGAUAGGGUCGCAUAUUGGGCGUGACAAGUUGGUAUCAGAGCCUCGACCGACCUUAGGAGCCCCCCUUGAUUGAUUGUAUAGUUUGGCCGUUGUUGAGUCUAGAAGAAAACUGUUUUUCGGAGUCUAGUUAUAUCGGAGAGUAGGAAUUCUUUUUACUCCUCAGCCCCUUCGUCGCUCUGGUGAGGAAUCUUGACGUAGGUGUUUCGACUUACUUCUCUUCCCCUUCAAUUUUUCUUUAGGAUCACGCGGAUAGUUUUCAUUCGUUGUCCAUCCUCUUUUCAAUCCGGCGCAUUUUUUCUUCGAGUGGUUUCGCUCCUCGCCAUCUUUUGCAAGAUCAGUCCUCAGUGCUUUCUCAACCGACGUUGUUUCCCCAUCAGAAGUUGUCCUUGUCUUUCCCACCCGCCCACCCUUCUUCUUCUUUGAGCCGGAGUCCGUGAUCGAGUAUCCAUCCUACUCGUGUGAAGCCUUUGCAUUCUUUCCUCAAGUAUUUAAACUCUUCAAGCUAUUCGUCGGUUCUCCCUUUCAAGUUGCCUUUGUUUCCCGCCCUCCCACCCUCUUUUUCCCGGAGCUUGAGUCUCUUUCGAGCAUCAAUUUCAUUCGUGUGGAGUAUCUUCAGUCUUUCCUCAGUUGUCUCAACCGGUGAAUUCUCGCCUAGUUAAUCAUUGUUCGUCUCAUUUCCUUUUCCGGUGGAUUCAAUUCCAAUUUUCGGUAGUGAUUAUAUUCUUUCCUCGGCUCAAAUGUUUCCCGUUGCUCGUUCCCCUCUCGUCAUUUAAUCGUUCCGGAGUGAUGAAGACAUCUCAGGAGAUUUGUCUGUGUUCGAAUUAAUCCGAGGUUAUCACCUCAUUCAAAUAUUUCAAUUGUUCCGGUGCAUCAUCUAUCUCUGCAACAAUAUUUUUCAACGGUGUUUCUUUUUAGUGGGCCCUAACCCACAGGUCUUUUCCCCGGAUCUUACCUGACUCUUCUGUCGUGGAAUUGUCACGGCAGAUGUCCUCGUGCAAGGACUCAGUCGUGGAGCCAUCGCAACUAGGAAGCUUAAAGGGGUUAAACGGGACAAAGGACACGAGGAUUAUACUGGUUCGGCCCUUUACGGUGAAGGUAAAAGCCUACUCCAGUUGAGGUGGAAUUACUUAGGGUUUCGAUGACCAGGGAGCUUAAUCGCUAUGCCUGGCUUUCGAUCUGAUGUUGCCUGUCCUGAACCGCCGCCGGGUCGUCUCCUUAUAUAGAGAGGUUGACGCCUAGCGGCUCUCAGAGUCCCAGCCGGCUUAUAACAGCAUCCGGCUCGGACUCUUAACUAUUCUUGCCUUACACUACAAGUCUUGCCAUAACGGCGGUUUAUCACUACGGGCCUUAAGCCGCCUCCGGGUCUUAAACCCAUUACUGAACCGCCAUCCUCAAACUUGGUACUGGGCUUCACGUGAUGAUCAUUAUGACAUAACCCGGCCCCUCCUGGGCGGGUGACUCGAAUGGUUAUAUCCUCAACAUUAGGCCCCGGAUUGAUUUGAACCGGUUCAGGUCAAUCUUCAAUACCUUUUAAAAGAAAAUCUUCCGGCUUCUGCUUGUGCGAAGGUUAUAACCCGCCGUGACGUCAUCUUCUGGAUUCUUGGUAACCCGCCAUGACGUCAUCUUCCAUUAAAUUCAUUUUUUAUUCUGCCAUAUCCCAACGGAUCUUAUCUUAAUGACCAUCCUGAGAAUCGAGGCGUUUCUGCGGCAAGAUAAUCAUGUCUUCAGCCUCGUCGUUUCUCGCGCCCAUUUACCAGCCGUCCCUUAUAAAUAGGCCCGGUCCAUAAACCUUUCGCCACUCUUCUCGAUCCAUCGUCUUCCUCCUCUGACGCACCAGAGCUCGAGCUCCUCCGCCGCCGCCGCGCCCCUCGUCUUCCUCAACCUCGGCCGCUGCAUCAUCCUGAAUCGGUCCAGAGAAACGGCGGCGACCUCCGCUGCUCAUUGGCACCAGUAAGUCCUUGCUACUUCGUACAGUAGAUUCGCAUUAGGGUUCCAUGAUUCUUCCCUGUUCUUCGUAGUUUCAUCUCGAUUUCUUCAUAGUCCCUCCACCGAGGCUCCUUUGGAUCCGAAAACGGUACAGACUCCCUGCGGUAGUAGUUUCUCACCCAUUUUUAUGCUAGUAGAUCCCUUUUGCCCGAAAAAAGACCUCAUUUAGACUUUAUGAACUCCUCUGUAUCAGUUUUUUAGGUCUAGAAAUUUUUCCUUUCUGGACGAUCGUUUGAUCCAAAGUAAUCUCUGCAAUCUGUGAAACUUGUUUGUGCAACACUUAGACAAAAACUGCAUCUGUUAGCCAUGGCGGCUCAUAUCGCCGGCUUAAAAGAGACCCUGCUUUGUAAAAUCUCCGGCUCACUCACAAGAGAGUUAAAUAACUUAAAUUGCAUCAGAUAUCCGCAGUGGCUUAGAUAACCUGACACAGUUAGUCAUAUAUCAUUAGGCCCCUUCAUAAACCGCCAUCUUGAAUACUGAACUGAAAUCUUCCUCCGGCUUAAAUUUGAACGGGGAAUUUUCUUUUGCCGUAGGCUUCCAUUUUCCACAAUGCCGCACAAGGCUCCCAAAGCGCCCAUUACAUGCAACUGGGUGAGAUCCAACAUUACUGAUAGCACCUUAGAUGACUUCGUAAAAAUGGUCUACCUGCCUAAGAAGGAGGUCAUGUCCUACCGAGCUCCUGACCCGUUCGAAGAGAGACCUCAACCAAAGGACGGAGAGGUUGUCAUAUUUGCUGACCACAUGAGCCGGGGCUUUGCUCCUUCUGGCUCAAAAUUCUUCAGAGAUGUUCUACACUUUUUCGAUCUGCGACCUCAAGACAUUGGACCCAACUCCGUGUCGAACAUUUGUAACUUUCAAGUGUUCUGUGAGGUAUACCUUGGAGAAGAACCCAGCCUGCUACUCUUUAGGGAGUUAUUUUACCUGAACCGCCAGAAUGAAUGUGCCAACGGGCCUAGCUUGGAACUUGGUGGAAUCUCAAUCCAACGACGGAGAGAUUGCUCUUUCCUUAUGCUGAGCCACCAAGCCACCCGAGGACUGGAACCAGACAUGGUUCUACUGUCAAGAUACUUCUCCGGCUGAUGAGAACCCUCUGCCCGGCUUUCGCGCCCUGCGUCUGGAGUCAAAUCACCCUCUGCCAGACAAAUUAUCUCAAGCUGAGCGUCAACCGCUUAUUCCCACCAUCAACAAAAUCAAAGCUCUUCUGGGAAACGGCCUAAACGGCAUUGAUAUAGUCCGGGUCUGGAUUGCUUGGCGGGUGAUUCCUCUAAGCCGCCGCCCCGGCUUAAUGUGUGAUUACACGGGCCGGAAGGAUGAUUCUCUUCGGCACAGCCCUGACAACUUACCUGAGGACAUCGUUGAUGACAUGACCAAGUCUCUUCUGAACGAGAGCUUAGAAGAUUGCGGGAGGACAGGCCUAAGCCCCUUGUGCAAGGCUAACCCGGCCCCGGCGGUAAGCUAUUGACCUGAACACCUUACUUUCCAUUUUAACAAUUUUCGUCUUAACUUCAAGAAACAUUUUUUGUAUUUUUCAGGCUAAUGAUAAGUUCUGGAACGUCAGGUAUGACCAUGAAGCUGCUAAAAAAGCCAGGAAGGUUAAAAAAGCCGCCAGGAGAGCCGCUCCCCGCAAGAAGGGGAGUAAGCCUAGCGCCUCAGAUCUGCUUCACCUGGAAGACACCUCUGAGUCAGAGGUAGCCCUUGAUUCUUUAGGCUCCUUUUUAACCAUCUUAUUGACACUGAUUAUCUGCAAGAGGAUACUGGAGCGAGUAACCCGGUGAUUGAAGAGGUAACUAUACUUUCCUCCGACUCGGAGCCCUUGCCAAGACUGAAAGUCCGAAGUGUAACCUGGAAAGUAAGAUUUUCACAUCCUUUAGCUUAUCAAGAUCCUCAAUUUCUUUUGAAGCGACAGAUUCAUGAGAGUCGGAGGCAGACCCGGACCAGCAAGGAUGCAGACCUCUCCUCCGGCUUACCCGAAGCAUCAAGGAAGCGCCGGACCGAGGUUAUCUCCGACUUAUAUCCUUUUCAUCCUUUGGCGGGCGUCACUCGUCAACCACUCAAUUCUUCUGAUUCAAACUAUCAGGGAACUUCACCUUCCUCUGGCGACUCCAUGCAAUCUAACUUGCCGGCCUUCAAAACCGCACCGGGUAAUGAUAGCUAGCUUCUUUUGUGCUUAUCUUACUCAUGUUUUUGCACUAACCCUUUGACUUUCAGUAUACAAGUAAAGCCCAGCAAGAGGGCGAAGAAAAGUAAGCCGACCGAAGAUCCCCAGCCCCUGAACCGCCAUCUGCACCAGCUCCAGAAACCACCACUGCCCCAUCUGAUGAGCAAGCCAUGGAGGGUUCUGAUAACCCGGAGAUCCCCAGCCCGGCUCAUCCAGAUGACCCGGACGUGGUGAUUACCCGGACCGAAUUUGUUGAACCGGGAAGACCCACCGUGCUGGCUAGGUGCUCUGCCAAGGAGGAACUUCUGGAACGCCGCAGAGCCAGGCUGGACAUUACUAACUAUGCCAAUCUGAGCAUUGAAGAUAUUGUCACUGGCUAUAUUGGCCAAGUGCACAACAGCCGGGACCUGGAGAUUGACAUGGUGAAGCAAAUACAACAAAAAUCUGAGGUACGACUCCCUUGCUUACUCCAUAGUCAUCCUUACCAUGCCAGCCCCCAAAUCUAUUACUUAUGAUGGAAUAUGUUGUAGAUUUAAUACCGGCUUAAUAAUUACUGCAAGAAGACCGGCUUCCCUGGUGACACUCACGGGCCGGAUUAAACAACAUAGUUUAACCGGUCUUUACCUUAGGUUAAUCAAGUAGUUGAGCAACUUUACACAUUAGCCCCCAAGUGCCGAGUACCUUUGCCUGCAAAGUGCUGGGGACUUACUUUCAUGAACCGGCACUGUAGAUAGAGCCUUUCAGCAUACAUUAGUCCCCAAGUGCCAAGUGUUUUUGCUUGCAAAAUGCUUGGGACUUAAUAUUGCAUUAUAAUCACCUUAACUGUAACCCGGAAUUUGUACAGGCCGCCUGUAAGAAAUUUGAAUCGGAAAUCUCUGAUCUGAAGAGCCGCCAGAAGACCCAGGAAAGUGAAACCCAAAAAGCCAACUCCAAAUUUGAACUCAGUGUAUCCGCACAAGAGAAACUGAAGAAAAAAUUUGAAGCAGAAAAGAAAGCCUGGGCAGAUGAAAAAGCUGCUUUGCUCAGCCGGGCCGAACAAGCGGAGGCCACUCUUACUGAAAGAACCACCGAGCUCUCCGGCUUAAAACGCCAUGUCUCUCAGAUGGUCUCCGCAAUCUUUGGUAAAUUUCUAACCAGUUUACAUCGUUUAGUUCCCAUAAACAUCUCAAUUGCCAACAACUCACUUGACUUGGUAAUGCAGGUCCCAGGAGUUCCAAUCUCAACCAGAGCGUGCUGACCAAGCUGAAGGCGGUUUACACCUUGGUGGAGCAACUUUACACCGGGUCACAGCGUGCUUUAGCUGUUGUGGCUCUGUCCAAUGAAGUUCCCACUCACCUGGCAGAUGUACUCAGGCGGCUUGCCAUACUUCCUCAGCGCUUCCAAGAGCUGAGACGGGCUUCUGCAAGAGCCGGAGCCAUAGCCGCUCUGAGCCGUGCCAAGGCGUUUCUACCGGAGCUAGACCCGGCUGACAUCGUCCUUGGGUAUCCCAGCUUGAAGGAAGACGGCACCCCCUUUGAACAGAAGGACUUCGCCGCCUGUGUGAAGAGCGUACGCCCUGUGGCCACUUUGAUUGGCAGUGACACAGAUCUUUCCAAAUAUCAGCCGGGCUAUGACACGGAGAAUCAGAGAAUUCCAACACCACGCUAUGAGGCAGUCAGCCUGAUUCCGCCAACUCGUAAGCAUACCUUCGCCCCUGAAGUUGACCCGGCCGGGUUAAUUGAUGAUGAGGCUCAAUUUGAAGCUUUGAGCGGCAUUGACUGGAAAUCAUCAACCUUCCAGGUCAUGGAAACAGCCGGAGGAGCGGAGAGGGAUGAGCCGGUAGCUUCAACCCAACAGGCACUUUAAUUUCUUAGGCGGCUCAUGGUUAUUCCUCAAAACAAUGCCUCACCUUUUGGACUCGGGGAGUCGUGUAAUAGAGUAGAUCGAACACUUAAUUUUGUCGUGCCAUCGUGCACGUGUGCAGCACUUAACUCUGUUUAAGCUACCCUUUUAUAUCCCUCCGGGUUACGUUUGAUCCUCUGCUUUCCUUAAGUUUAAAGAGCUGUCUGUAAUUCCUCUGCAUAGAAAACAAAUCGCAAGUCCCUAGGCGGCUUACCGCAUGGAGAGUCAUAUAUUUUACAUAUAACCCGGAAUAUGAAUCAAAGUCAUAAUAAACUGGCUCACAAUUAUAUCUUAGAGAUAACCAUAACAGCAUACCUGCGAGCUUUCAAGUGAACUUCUGGUUUAUGUAACCCGAAUAAGGAGGUUGAGAACUCAACUCCGGUUUACCAGCACCCAUAAUGCUUAUUGUGUGCUAUCAACAUUAUCAAUCAAGGUUAAACCGGUGGAAUAAGAACCAACCUUGAACACCUUUGAUAUGAUUAAAAGAACUUGUUGCAAACCAAGAGAUCAGAAACUUAAGGGCUUCUGAUUCGAAUACGACCAGAGAACCGUCCCAAAGGGGUUAAGCUAAGAUUCGAAUGCGAUCAUAUAGCCCCCAGUGGCUUUGGCGCUGCCUAUCAAGAGGGUACCGACAGCUAUGUUCUCUUUGGUUCGAAUACGACCUAUGUUUGAACAGGAAGCCCCCAAAUGACCUUGAAAUUUGUUUAACGACACUGAUUCAAAUACGAUCCACGUCGGCUCCCAAAGGGGGUUGAGCUAUGAUUCAAAUAUGAUCAAGAAAAAACUCCCCAAUGAGCUCAGCAAUAUGCCAAUCAAAUGGGUAUCGACAGCUCUGUUCUCUUUGGUUCGAAUACGACCUAUGUUUGAACAGGAAGCCCCCAAGUGAUCAUGUUUUUAACGGCGAGAUUCGAAUACGAUCAUAAGCCGGAUCAACCUCCAAGUGACCAUGUAAUGUUACAAUGAAAAUAACAACGAUACAUUUACCUUGUGAGGAAAAAAGGACAGAGGUCCUGCUUUUUUAUUUAUCACAAUAUAUACAUUGCUAUAGAAAUAUGUACAUUAUGAGAGCCGGUGGCUCAAGUGUAAUAAGGCCGAAGCUGAGCUAUGUUCCACGGGCGGCGGGUCUCCUCCUCCGACUUACGUGAAUCUCUAUGCUCUCGAACAUCGAUAAGGUAGUAUGACCCAUUGUGCAAGUUCUUGCUGACCACAAAGGGCCCUUCCCAAGGUGGGGAUAACUUGUGCGCAUCUGUUUGAUCCUGGAUGAGCCGGAGCACCAAAUCACCUUCCUGAAAGGCCCGGGACUUAACUCGGCGGCUGUGAUAGCGGCGCGGGUCUUGUUGGUAAAUCGCCGAACGAGCUGCUGCUAUGUCACAUUGUUCAUCCAACAAGUCAAGAGCUUCUUGACGCGCCUGCUCAUUGUCUGCCUCGACAUAAGCAGCCACUCGAGGCGAGUCAUGACGGAUGUCGCUAGGGAGGACCGCCUCAGCUCCGUAAACCAUGAAGAAAGGUGUGUAACCCGUAGACCAGUUAGGAGUAGUAUUGAUGCUCCAUAACACGGAAGGUAACUCCUCCACCCAACAACCUGGCGUCCGUUGCAAAGGGACCAAAAGCCGGGGCUUGAUGCCCUUCAAGAUCUCCUGAUUGACUCUCUCAGCCUGACCAUUGGAUUGAGGGUGAGCCACUAAUGAAACAUCGAGCCGAAUAUGCUCUCGUUGACAAAAUUCCUCCAUGGCGCCUUUAGACAGAUUGGUGCCAUUGUCAGUUAUAAUGCCGUGUGGAAAACCAAAGCAAAAUAUCACCCUUUUCAUGAACUGAACCGCUGUGGCCGCGCCACACUUACUAACUGGCUCUGCCUCAACCCACUUUGUGAACUUGUCGACCGCCACCAGGAGGUGGGUCUUCUUAUCCUUGGACCUUUUAAAAGGCCCAACCAUAUCAAGCCCCCAGACCGCAAAUGGCCAAGUGAUUGGAAUCAUCCUCAACUCUUGAGCCGGCACAUGAGCCCAUCGCGAGAACCUCUGACAACCGUCACAUUUACUGACCAAGUCCUCUGCAUCAGCAUGAGCCGUCAGCCAAUAAAAACCAUGACGAAAAGCCUUGGCCACAAGGGAUUUUGAGCCGGCAUGAUGGCCGCAAUCCCCCUCGUGAAUCUCACGUAAAAUUUCUUGACCUUCCUCAGGGGAAACACAACGCUGGAAAGUUCCAGUGACACUGCAACGAUGCAGCUCGCCAUUGAUAAUUGUCACUGACUUAGACCGCCGGGUUAUUUGUCUGGCCAAAGUUUCAUCCUCAGGCAAUUCUCCCCGGGUCAUGUAAGCCAAGUAUGGUACUAUCCAAUCUGGGAUAACGUGGAGAGCCGCCACCAACUGUGUUUUCGGGUCAGGAACAGCCAAGUCUUCCUCUGUAGGCAACUUAACAGAAGUGUUGAGGAUAUAGACCUUAGAGUCACCCGCAAGGAGGGGCCGGGUUACUCAUAAUGGUCAUUGCCAGAAGCCCGGCGCUAAGCUCGAAGACGGUGGGCCAAAGAUGGGCUUAAGACCCGGAUAUGGCUUAAGGCCCGUAGUUACAAUCAUUAUUAUGGUAGAACUUGUAGUGUAAGGCAAGAAUAGUUGAGAGUCCGAGCCGGACACUCUUAUGAGCCGGCCGGGACUCUGAGAGUUGCUGGGCGUCAGCCCCCUAUAUAAAGGGACGACCUGGCGGCGGUUUAGGGACAAGAAAGAUCUGACCGAGAGCCAGGCAUAGCAGUUAAGCUCCCUGGUCAACGAAACCCUAAUCAAUACCACCUCAACUGGACGUAGGCUUUUACCUUCACCGUAAGGGGCCGAACCAGUAUAAACCCUCGUGUUCCUUGUCCCGUUAACCCCUUCAAGCUUCCUAGCGGCGAUGGCUCCACGACUAAGUCCUAGCUUGAGGACAUCUGCCGUGACAAUUCCACGACAGUUGGCGCCCACCGUGGGGCCACCGCACGAUGGAUUUGAGUUCUUGAAGGGCAGCUUCGAAGGGCUCAAGGGAUACGUUGUGGGCCGGAUGACCAAGAGUCGUUGCGGCAAGCUCUACAUCGACGAUGCAAACUGGGGCCCCUACGCCGGCUCAAUUGAGUACGGGUACCGGGUCCCCUUCGGCGGAAUUCAUGUUUUCAUUGGCAAGAUUGGUGAGCCGGGCCCUGAGUCGGAUCUCUGCGCCGAUCUCAUCGAGACGGCUCAGCGCGCACGACCCGCCCGGGCCCGGCCUGCCUGAAAGCAUGCUUUUGUGGGAUGUAUCCAUGGAGGGCUCUCUGAUCGAUCUGGAUCUGGUGAUGAGACGGCCGCCGGCUCUGAUGGCGAGUCGUCCACAGAUGAGUCAAACUCGUUGUAUCAACUUCAAGAUGGCAGGCUCAUGGGUUGUUCCGAUGGUGAUAGUAUUCCGGACCCGUUUGAGCCGCCAAGUCAGAUUGGAGUCUUUAUGGCCGGUGCACAGCCUGUUCAGAACCCUGCUGCUGGAGCGGGAAACCCGGUGCCCUCGCCGGCUCAGGUGCUGAUGGAUCUCACGGACAAGAUGACGGCCCUGUUAACUGCCGCGGUUGACCCGGCGGAUCAAGCUCAGCAUGAUGCGGAGGUGGCGCAAUUAAAGUUAGAUCUAGUGAAAGCUAAGGAGGACCUGGCAGCGGAAGGGAUCAGGAUGGCUGCGGAGAGGGCGGCUCUUGACGCCCAAACACAAUUGAUCUAGGCGCAGUCUUUCCGGCUCACGAUGGAUCAGAACACGUCCAAUGAGGUCAUGAGAAGGAGGCAUCAGAAGGCCCAAUCUCGGCUCCCUCCGGUUUACGAUCCACGAAACCUCUUCAACACACCAGGUGCAGGGUCUAGUAACCCGCCAGGGGUCAUAGUGCCCGGGUCUGGGACCCCUAUUCAGCCACAAGUGAUGGGGCCUCCCCAGGUGCCCCCUGCCCCGCCUCAGUACGUGCCAAUACCACCGGGUCAUUAUGCCAACCCGCUGGAGAACAUGGUCGCCGCGGCAGCACGGCUGGCGGCUCUCCCAAUUGACGGCGACUCUCCGACGGCUAUUGAAACCCGCCGGGUCAGGGAACUCCUUCAGACAGCACUGGCGCAACAAGAGGCGUACUCCUACAGCCGGGACAGGAUCCACUCGACCCCUCGUCCAGGCCGGAGCCCGAGUUACAGCAGACACAUGGUCUCAGCGACCGGCUUAAGUAACGUCCGACGCCAUGACCCGCCCCCUACCCAUGGCCCGGCUCAUAGCGGAGCCUUUCACGCAGCAAACCAAGACAGAGUGCGGCAAGAGGCGGAGCAGGUGCCUCAGUUGACGGCUUACCAGACUCCCCCGGCUUACCCGACGACGUCUGUCGACGUGGGUAUCCCUAACAGGACUGGGGGUGUCCCUUGUUUAGUACCAGCUAUCCACAAUGAACGUCUACCCAAGGACUUCAAAGGCCCUAGGAAGGUGCCUAAUUACACGGCUGACUUACAGCCCGCAGCCUGGAUCGAGAUUUACGAGAUGGCCAUGGAACUGCUGGAGGUCAGUGAGGCGGCAAUGGCCAAGUACUUCACCAUGAUGUUAGAUGGGACUGCCCGCACUUGGUUGAAAGGGCUACCACCAAAUUCCAUCGGGUCUUGGGCUGAGCUGAAAGCCCGGUUCAUCCAAAACUUCAAGGAUACCUGUAGGCAGUCUAUGUCAAUUGUGGAUUUGAGUAACUAUAAGCAGCAGAAGGGUGAAUCCACGACACAUUGGGUUCGCCGGGUCAAGGAGAUCAUACAUUCAUCAGAUAAGAUGGAUGCCGGCUCUGCAGUCUUAAUAUUGGAGCAGAAUUGUCGUUUUGUGCCCCUGAAGAUGAAACUCGGGUGGCUUAAGCGCGACUGCAAUGAUAUGGGUACACUGAUGGCGGCUCUUGUCAAGUACGCCGAUUCUGAUGGUACCAAAGACCCCGCUUCAGAUGAUGAAAGGACAGGGAAGGGAAAGAAGAAUGGCAAUGGCAAGGGUCCUCAGCAUAACCCGGGGAAUCAAGGAUGUGAGAAGCGCAAGGCCGAUGGCAGCCUAGAGUUUGUAGCCAAUGCCAGCUCACAGGGUAAUAACCAGCGACGCAAGGGAAGGCCCCCUCCCCGAGCCGGCGGGUCAGGCCCGACGCUGGAGCAGCUGUUGAAUGAGCCUUGUCCAAGGCAUGGCUCUAGAGAGAAGCCACCUACCCAUCUAUGGAAGGAUUGUGCAAUCAUGAAGGCCUUUAAAAAUUACAAUGGCCCGGGCGGCGGCUCAGGCGCCGGCGGUUUUCAUGGCCCGGGCGGUGGCUCAAAUUCUAAUCCUCGGAACGGUCAAGGGGGUUUUAAUCAGCAGUCUGGCCAGGGUCAUCAACAGCAGCAGGGGGGUUAUCAGACCAAUCCAAAGCAGCUUAGCGGUGGACAGUAUCAUGUGUUUACCACCAGUCUGUGUAAGCGAGAUCAGAAGCCUCAUAAGAGGGCUGUGAAUGCUGUUGAGCCGGCGGUUCCACGCUACUUGCGGUGGUCUGAGCAGCCUAUAGUGUGGAGUAGGGAGGAUCAUCCUCCCCGGGUGGAUAAUCCGGGUCACUUGGCCUUGCUGGUGGCUCCUCAGGUGGGAGGAUAUAAGUUCACUAAGGUGCUCAUGGAUGGAGGCAGCAGCAUCAACAUCCUCUAUUAUGAGACGUUCCGUCGUAUGGGGUUGAUUGAUAAGAACCUCAGCUAGUCAAACACUAUUUUCCACGGUGUGGUGCCUGGUAAGUCGGCUUACCCAGCCGGCAAGAUCGAGUUGGAAGUGGCCUUUGGAGAUGAGCACAACUACAGGGUGGAAAAAUUGACCUUUGAGGUGGUCAAGAUAAGAAGUCCGUACCAUGCCAUAUUUGGGCGGCCGGCUUACGCCAAGUUCAUGGCACGGCCGUGUUACGUGUAUUUACAGCUCAAGAUGCCGGGUCAUAAUGGGACCAUUACGGUUCAUGGAAGCCGGAAGGUGGCCCUGGAGUGUGAGGAAGGCGGUGCAGCUUAUGCAGAAUCUGUUUGUGCAACAGAGGAGUUAAAGUUUUACGAAGACAACGUUGACCCAACAGAUAUGACCUCUCUGAAAAAGCCGACUACGGAGCAUGAGCUGGCAAUGAAAUUCAAGUCAGCUGAUGAGACUAAACUUGUUGAUUUCGUUCCAAGAGAUUCAUCUCAGCAGUUUAGCAUCAGUGCCAAUCUGGAUCCAAAAUAGGAAAGCCCGCUCAUCGAGUUCAUCCGUGAGAAUAGGGACAUCUUCGCGUGGAAACCUUCUGACAUGCAAGGUGUACCUAGAGAACUCGCUGAGCACACUCUCAAUGUUGAUUCGAAAUUUAAGCCGGUCAGGCAGUUCCUUCGGCGGUUCAAUGAGGAGAGGCGGGAAGCUAUUGGUGAAGAGGUGGCCCGGCUCUUGGCGGCCGGGUUUAUUGUUGAAGUCUUUCACCCAGAGUGGUUAGCUAACCCGGUCCUCGUACUCAAGAAGAACGGCACUUGGCGGAUGUGUGUGGACUACACGGACUUAAACAAGGCGUGUCCGGCUGAUCCUUUUGCCCUUCCCCGUAUUGACCAAAUUAUUGAUGCUACGACAGGUUGUGCGCGCUUAAGUUUCUUGGAUGCUUAUUCCGGUUAUCAUCAGAUCAAAAUGGCAGUUAAGGACCAGGAGAAGACGACGUUCAUCACUCCCUUUGGAGCCUUCUGCUAUGUAUCUAUGCCCUUUGGACUCAAGUGUGCACAGGCAACUUAUCAGCGUUGCGUGCAGAACUGUCUUCAUAACCAGAUUGGGUGCAAUGUUCAUGCUUAUGUGGACGAUAUUGUGGUUAAAUAUAUAAAGGAGGAAACCCUGAUAGAUGAUUUGAGGGAAACCUUUGAUAAUCUCCGGGUUUACAAGAUGAUGCUUAACCCGGCCAAGUGUGUUUUUGGUGUUCCUGCAGGCAAACUCUUGGGUUUCUUGGUUUCUGACAGAGGCAUUAAAGCUAACCCGGAGAAGAUCAAGGCCAUCACCUCCCUGGCUAAGCCGGCGUGUAUAAUGAUGUUCAGCGCUUGGCUGGUCGCAUCGCUGCUUUAAGCCGGUUUAUAAGCCGUUUGGGUGAGAAGGCCAUGCCAUUAUAUCAGUUGAUGAAGAAAACUGAUAACUUUGUCUGGAAUGGUGCAGCUGAUACUGCCUUUGAGGAUUUGAAGAAGCAGCUGGCAGAGCCCCCAGUCCUUGCUGCUCCGGUUGAUAAGGAGCCCUUAUUACUAUAUGUGGCGGCGAACACACGAGCUGUCAGUGUGGCUGUGGUGGUGGAGCGCAAGGAAGAGGGUAAGGAGCAUCCGGUUCAGCCGCCGGUUUAUUAUGUCAGCGAAGUUCUCAUCGAGUCCAAACAGCGGUAUCCACAUUGGCAGAAGCUUGUUUAUGGUGUGUUCAUGGCGAGCCGGAAGCUUAAGCAUUAUUUCCAGGGUCAUCCCAUCACUGUGGUUAGUUCGGCUCCUCUUGGUGAUAUCAUUCAAAACAGAGAGGCCACAGGAAGAGUAGCUAAGUGGGCCAUAGAGCUCGGACCUCAUGGUCUCAAAUACGUGCCACGCACUGCUGUUAAAUCUCAGGCCUUGGUGGAUUUCAUCAAUGAUUGGACAGAGUCACAAGUGCCUGAGCAAAAGCCGGAUAACACAUAUUGGACUAUUCACUUUGAUGGGUCCAGGCAGUUGGAGGGCUCGGGGGCUGGAGUCGUAUUGGCUUCCCCUAAGGGUGAUAAGUUCCAUUAUGUGCUACAAUUGAUGUUUCCUUGUACCAACAACGUAGCUGAGUACGAGGCCUUGCUCCACGGUCUUCGAAUGGCUAAGGAGAUGAGCUUGAGCCGGGUAAGGUGUUUCGGUGACUCAGACUUGGUGGCUCAACAAGUAUCAGGGAAGUGGGACUCUAAGGACCCUCUCAUGGCGGCUUAUCGCCGCGAAGUUGAUGCCAUUGCUGGGCACUUUCAGGGCUACCAAGUAGAGCACAUUGAUCGCAGGAAGAACAAGGCGACUGAUGCCCUAAGCCGGCUGGGCUCUCAGCGAAAGCCGUUGCUACUUUCCUGGAUGUCCUGUAUAACCCUUCUGUUAAGUUGCCUACAGAGGAAGACUUGGCUGUCCCUGACCCGGAGGCACGACUGGUGGCGGCUCUCCACAUCAUACCGGACUGGACAAUGACCUAUCUGGCUUACAUGACCCGGGGAGAGUUGCCUGAGGAUGAAACUUUGGCCAGAAAAAUAACCCGGCGGGCUAAGUCAAUGAUUGUUAUCAAUGGCGAGUUGCAUCACCGCAGUGUUAUGGGAGCAUUCCAGCGUUGUGUCUCCCCUGAGGAAGGUCAAGAGAUCUUGUGUGAGAUUCAUGAAGGGGAUUGUGGCCAUCACGCCGGCUCAAAAUCUCUUGUGGCCAAGGCUUUUCGUCAUGGUUUUUAUUGGCUGACGGCUCAUGCUGAUGCGGAGGACUUGGUCAGUAAAUGUGAUGGUUGCCAAAGGUUCUCACGACGGGCUCAUGUGCCAGCUCAGGAGCUGAGGAUGAUCCCAAUUACUUGGCCCUUUGCGGUCUGGGGGCUUGAUAUGGUUGGGCCUUUUAAAAGGUCCAAGGAUAAGAAGACCCACCUCUUGGUGGCAGUUGACAAAUUUACCAAGUGGGUUGAAGGGAGCAAGUUAGCAAGUGUGAUGCAGCCACGAUGGUUCAAUUUAUGAAAAAGGUGAUUUUUCGCUUUGGCUUUCCGCACAACAUUAUAACUGACAAUGGCACCAAUCUAUCCAAAGGCGCCAUGGAAGAGUUUUGUCAACGAGAGCAUAUCCAACUUGAUGUUUCCUCGGUGGCUCAUCCUCAAUCCAAUGGUCAAGCUGAGAGAGCUAAUCAGGAGAUUCUGAAGGGCAUCAAGCCCCGGCUUUUGGUCCCUUUGCAAUGGACGCCGGGUUGUUGGGUGGAGCAGUUGCCCUCCGUGUUAUGGAGCAUCAACACUACUCCUAACAGGUCUACAGGUUUUACGCCUUUCUUCAUGGUUUAUGGGGCAGAAGUAGUCCUCCCCAGUGACAUCCGUCAUGACUCGCCUCGAGUGGCGGCUUAUGUUGAGGCGGAUAAUGAGCAGGCGCGCCAAGAUGCUCUCGACUUGUUGGACGAACAGCGGGAUGUGGCAGCAGCUCGCUCAGCGAUUUACCAACAAGACCUGCGCCGUUAUCAUAGUCGCCGGGUUAAAUCCCGGGUCUUCCAGGAAGGCGAUCUCGUGCUCCGGCUCAUCCAAGAUCAAACAGAUGCGCACAAGCUAUCCCCGCCUUGGGAAGGGCCCUUUGUGGUCAGCAAGAAUUUGCACAACGGGUCAUAUUACCUCAUUGACAUUCGGGAGCACAAAGAUUCACGUAAGUCGGAGGAAGAGACCCGUCAGCCAUGGAACAUAGCUCAGCUUCGGCCUUACUACACUUGAGCCACCGGCUCUCAUAAUGUACAUAUUUCUCUCAGCCAUGUAUAUAUUAUGAUAAGCAAUAAAGCAGGACCUCUGUCCUUUUUUCUCCUCCAAAUGUGCAUGUGUUGUUUUCAUUGCAAGAUUACAUGAUAACUCGAAGGAGGAUCCGGCUUAUGAUCGUAUUCGAAUCUAGCCGUCGGUAAUAAGGUCACUUGGGGGCUUCCUGUUCAAACAUGGGUCGUAUUCGAACCAAAGAGAACAUAGCUGUCGAUACCCAUUUGAUUGGCAAAGUGCCGAGCUCAUUGGGGAGUUUUCUUUGAUCAUAUUUGAAUCUUAGUUAACCCCUUUGGGAGCCGACGUGGAUCGUAUUCGAAUCAGCGUCGUUAAACAAAUCUUAAAAUCACUUGGGGGCUUCCUGUUCAAACAUUGGUCGUAUUCGAACCAAAGAGAACAUAGCUGUCGGUACCCUCUUGAUUGGCAUCGCCACACCCACUGGGGGCUAUAUGAUCGCAUUCGAAUCUUAGCAUAACCCCUUUGGGACGGGUCUCUGGUCAUAUUCGAACUGGAAGCCCCUAAGUUUUUCUGACUUGUCACAAGUUCUUCUGAUUAUGUCAAGUAUGCACGGCCGGGUCGCACUUUGCCGGCUUAACUUUGAUUUGCAGUACUAGUCGAACACAAUUGGCGUUAGUAAGACUGGUAAACCGGAAUUGAGGUACCAACCUCAUAGCCCGGGUUAUCUAAGCCGACAGUGUACUUGCAGGCUGGUAAGUGUGUUGUUACGAUUAUAUCAAGGACAUCAUUGAGGGCCAGUCUUUGGUGAAUCAUAUUCCGGGUUAUAGGCAUAAGACUAUGAUUCUCCAUGCGGUAAGCCGCCUCGAGACUUGUGAUUUGUAUUUUCUUGCAGGGUAGUUAAAGACAACUAUUUCAGCUUAAGGAAUAUGACUGAUCAACUGUAACCCGGAGACAUAUAAGGAAGCAACUUUCAUAAGGAUUCAGCAUUCAACACGUGCACGAUGGCACAACACAGUUAAAGUGUUGACCCUAUUCUAUUACAAGACUCGUUGAGUCCAAAAGGGUGAAGCAUUGUUUCACAUAAAUCGUCUACAGAGUUAAGACGCUUGCUGGGUUGAAGUCUCCGGCUCAUCCCUCUCUUCUCCUCCGGCUGUUCCCAAGGUCUGGAAAGUCGACGACUUCCAGUCGAUGCUGCUCAGAGCUUCGAAUUGAGCUUCCACGUCAAUUAACCCCGCCGGGUCAAUCUCCGGGGCGAAGGUCUGCUUGCGAGUCGGCGGGAUUAAGCUGAGGGCCUCAUAGCGCGGAGUGGGGAUCCUCUGAUUCUCUGCAUUGUAACCCGGUUGAUACUUAGUCAGAUCUGUAUCAUUGCCAAUCAGAGUGGCCACCGGGCGUACGAUCUUCACGCAAGCUGCGAAGUCCUUCUGGUCGAAGGCGGUGCCGUCUUCCUUCAAACUGGGGUAGCCCAGAGCGAUGUCCGCCGGGUCUAGCUCUGGAAGGAACGCCUUAGCCCGGCUUAGAGCCGCUAUGGCUCCGGCUCUUGCAGAGGCCCGUCGCAGCUCUUGGAUGCAUUGAGGAAGAACGGCGAGCCGGCGAAGAACCUCAGCCAGGUGAGUCGGCACCUCGUUGGAUAGGGCCACCACAGCCAGAGCACGCUGUGACCCGGUGUAGAGUUGCUCCACCAGGGUGUACACGGCUUUCAGCUUGGUUACCACGCUUUGGUUGAGGUUGGCGCUUCUGGGACCUGUUUAACAGAAUAAGAUAAGCCGCCGACAAGGAUGAGUUAUGAGAUAUACAGAUUCUAAACUUGAUGAAAGCUGGUGAGAUGACUUACCGAAGAUUGCGGCAACCAUCUGGGACACUUGGCGCUUUAAGCCGGAGAGUUCGGCGGUCUUCUCUGAGAGAGCCUUCUCCGCCUGUUCGGCCCGGCUCACCAGAGUGGCCUUCUCUUCGGCCCAGGCUCUCCGUUCAGCAUCAAAGUCUGUCUUCAGCUUUUCUUGCGCGGCAAUGCUGGACACAAAUUUGGCGUUUGCUUUCCGGGUCUCCGUCUCUUGCGUCUUCAGACGGGUCUUGAGAUCAGCGAUGUCAGCUUCAAACUUCUUGCCAGCAUCCUGCAUAAUUUCCGGGUUAUAGCAUGAACAGUUACUAUGCAAAUUUAAAAGUCCCAAGCGUUUUCCAAGCAAAGACACUUGGCACUUGGGGGCUAAUGCGUAUCGAACGUUCCUAUCUACAAAUUUCCGGUUCAUGGAAGUAAGCCGGAACUUAAGUCUACAACAUAUUCUUUCAUAAGUCGUCGACUUGGGGGCUAGCAUGGUAAAGGUAACUAUGCAGUAAGUAAGAGGACAGAAGAGUGAUACCUCAGACUUCUGCUGAAUCUGGUUCACCAUGGCGAUCUCUAAGUCCCGGCUCUUGUGCACUUGGUUGAUAUAGCCGGAGAUGACCUCUCCGAUGCUCAGAUUGGCAUAGUCGGUGAGGUCCAGAUUGGCCUGGUGGCGCCCUAACAACUCCUCCUUAGCGGAGCACUUGGCCAGCGCAGUAGGUCUCCCCGGCUCAACAUAUUCCGUCCGGGUGAUUACUACAUCCGAGUCAUCUGCUGGUUGAGCCGAGCUGGAGGCCUCCGGGUUAGCAGAAGCUUCUGCUAUGGGCUUGUUGGUUGGAGCAGCGGCCUCAGGAGCAGAGGCAGCUGGCGGUUCUUGAGCGGCUAUCUCCGGCUCAAGCAAGUCCGGCUCAUCGGUUGGCUUGUUCUUCUUCGCCCUUUUGUUGAGUUUUGCUUGGGCACUGAAAAGACAAAAAGGUCAAGCACAAAAGUUUAAGUAAAGACAAAAUACAACAUGAGGUGAUCAUCAUUACCCGGGCACGGUCUUGAAAGCCGGAAGAUUCGACUGCAUAGAGUCGCCAGAAGAGGGGGAAGUUUCCUGAUAAUUUGAAUCAGAAGAGUUGAGCGGUUGACGUAUAACACUUGCCAAAGGAUGAAAAGGGUACAACUUUGAGAUCACCUCGGUCUGGCGUUUCUUCGAUGCGUCAGGUAACCCGGAGGAGAGGUCAGUGUCUUUGUUGUUCCGGGUGUGCCGCCGGCUUUCAUGAACCUGUCGCUUCAAAAUAAAUUGAGGAUCUUGAUAAGCUAAAGGAUGUGAAAAGCUUACUUUCCAGGUUACCCUUCGGACUUUCAGCCUUGGCAAGGGCUCCGAGUCAGAGGAAAGUGACAUUACCUCUUCAACCACCGGGUUACUUGCGCCGGUGUCAUCCUGUUGGUGAACAGUAUUGGUAAGGUGGACAGAAAUAAAUAGCAGAUAUAACAAGAGCUUACAGGUUCAGGGGUUACCUCUGACUCGGAGCUGUCGCUUAAUUGCAUCAGCUCUGAAGCAGUAGGCCUACUUCCCUUCUUGCGGGGAGCGGCUUUCUUCGCCUUCCUGGCCUUCUUGGCCGCCUCGUGGUCAUAUUUGACCUUCCAGAAUUUGUCAUCAGCCUGAAAAAUACAAUGAUGAUUUCUUAAAGAUUCAGAUGAAGGUUAUCUGCAGACGGAGAUAAAAUGUUGAAAUCAGCGGCUUACUGCUGGGGCUGGGUUGAUCUUGCAGAAGGGGGCUAACCCGGUCCUCCCGCAGUCUGCCAAGCUCUCGUUCAAAAGAGCCUUGGUCAUGUCCUCAGCAACAUCUUCAGGAAGAUCGUUGCGACUGUGUCUCUGGGGGUCAUCCUUUCAGCCCGUGUAUUCGCACAUUAAGCCGGGGCGGCGGCUCAAUGGGAUCACCCGCCACGACAUCCAGACCCGGACCAGAUCGAUUCCGUUGAGACCAUUGCCCAGGAGAGCCUUGAUCUUUUUUAUGGUGGGGAGCAGAGGUUGGCGCUCCGCCUGAGUCAACUUGUCAGACAGAGGGUGAGUUGGUUCCAGACGUGAAGGGCGAAAGCCGGGCAGAGGGCUCUCGUCAGCCGGCGACGUGUCUUGGCAAUAGAACCACGUCUGGUUCCAGUCUUUUGGGUGACUCGGCGGCUCGGCGUAAGGGAAGAGGCAGUCUCUCCGUCGCUGAAUGGAGAUUCCGCCGAGUUCCAAACUUGGCCCGUUGGCGCACUCAUUCUGGCGGUUCAGGUAGAAUAGCUCUCUGAAGAGCAGCAGGCUGGGCUCUUCUCCAAGAUAAACCUCGCAGAACACUUGGAAAUUGCAUAUGUUGGACACCGAGUUGGGUCCUAUAUCUUGUGGCCGCAGGUCAAAGAAGUUCAGCACAUCUCUAAAAAACUUUGAGCCGGGCGGUGCGAAGCCCCGGCUCAUGUGAUCCGCAAAAAUGACCACCUCCCCGUCCCUUGGCUGUGGUCUCUCCUCUGAUGGGUCGGGGGCGCGGUAGGACAUGAUGUCCUUCUUGGGUAGGUAACCUGACUUGACAAAAUCCGCUAAAGUCUCGUUGGUGACAUUGGACCUCAUCCAAUUGCAAGUGAUGGAGGCUUUAGGAGCUUUGGGAGGCAUGGUGAAAGUCGGCAGCCUAUGAUAAAAGGAAACGUCCGGUUUAAUUAUAAGCCGGAGGAAAUUUACAGUUCAAUGUUAAAGUGGCGGCUUAUGAAGGGGACUAAUGACAUAUAUCUAAGUGCACCGGGUUAUUUAAGCCGCCCGAAGUAUUGAGAGUAAUUCGAUUGUCUACGGCCUUAUCACAGAUGAGCCGGAAAAUUCUAUGGCGCAUGGUCUCUUUUGAGUCGGAAGGUUCUACGGCGCGUGGUUUCUUUAAACCGGAAAUGUAAACCGCCAUGACUCAAUGAGUGCAGUUUUUACUAAGUGUGGUGAAAACAAGUUUCACACAUUGCAGUAAAUAAUUUGGAUCAAAAUGGUCGGUCAAAAGGAAAGUUUCUAGACCUAAAAACAGACGCAGGGGAGUUCUUGAGCUCGAACGAGGCCUUUAUGCAGUAAAAAGAGGUCUACUUGCAUUUGAAAUGAGUACUAAACAGCCGCCGCACUGGUUCUAUACUGUCCUAAGAUCAAAAAGAGGCAGUAAAAAGGAAAACUACCAAGAACUCACGGGCGGCAGCGAAGAACACGGAAGAACAGGAUGAACCUACUGCAGAUCUGUUCUACGGGGCAGUCAGAACUUACAGGUGCUGGUGAGUCGCGGAGGUCGCCGCCGUUUUCUCUGGACACAACAGGUUGAUGCAGCGGCCGGAGUUGGUGAGGAGGAGGAGACCCGCGGCGGCGACGGCAACAGAGCUUGAGCGGAGGAACAGUGGCACGAGGAGGAAGAACGGGUGGCUGAAGGACCGACGGACCGGGCUAUUUAUAAGGACGAGCUCAUAAGUGGGCGCGAGAAACGAGGAGACCACGACGUGGUUAUCUCCCCAUGAAACGCCUCGAUUUUCGGGAUGGCAGUAAAGAUAAGAUCCGUUGCGGAUCUGGUGGAGUAAAAAACGGACUUAAUGGAAGAUGACGUCACGGCGGAUUACCCGGAGUCCAGAGGAUGACGUCACGCCGGGUUAUGGCCUUCACACAAUUAUAAGCCGGAGAUUUUUCUGUCGAAAGGAUUGAAAAUUGACAUGAGUCGGCUCAAAUCAAUCUGGGGCCUAAUGUUGAGGAUAUAGACCUUAGAGUCACCCGCCAGGAGGGGCCGGGUUACUCAUAAUGGUCAUUGCCAGAAGCCCGGCGCCAAGCUUGAAGACGGUGGGCCAAAGAUGGGCUUAAGACCCGGAUAUGGCUUAAGGCCCGUAGUUACAAUCAUUAUUAUGGUAGAACUUGUAGUGUAAGGCAAGAAUAGUUGAGAGUCCGAGCCGGACACUCUUAUGAGCCGGCCGGGACUCUGAGAGUUGCUGGGCGUCAGCCUCCCUAUAUAAAGGGACGACCCGGCGGCGGUUUAGGGACAAGAAAGAUCUGACCGAGAGCCAGGCAUAGCAGUUAAGCUCCCUGGUCAUCGAAACCCUAAUCAAUACCACCUCAACUGGACGUAGGCUUUUACCUUCACCGUAAGGGGCCGAACCAGUAUAAACCCUCGUGUUCCUUGUCCCGUUAACCCCUUCAAGCUUCCUAGCGGCGAUGGCUCCAUGACUAAGUCCUAGCUUGAGGACAUCUGCCGUGACAAUUCCACGACAAGAAGGGUUAUGCAAAAUGUCCAAGAAAGUAUUAGGCGGCACCGGCUUUCGCUGAGAGCCCAGCCGGCUUAAUGCAUCAGCCGCCUCGUUCUUCCUGCGAUCGAUGUGCUCUACUUGGUAACCCUGAAAAUGUCCAGCAAUGGCAUCAACUUCGCGGCGAUAAGCCGCCAUGAGGGGGUCCUUGGAAUCCCACUUGCCUGACACUUGUUGGGCCACUAAAUCUGAGUCGCCAAAGCACCUUACCCGGCUUAAGCUCAUCUCCUUAGCCAUCCGGACACCAUGGAGCAAGGCCUCGUACUCAGCUGCAUUGUUAGUACAGGGAAACAUCAACCGUAGCACAUAGCAAAACUUGUCACCUCGAGAGGAAGCUAGUACAACUCCAGCCCCCGAGCCCUCCAAUUGCCUGGACCCGUCGAAGUGAAUAGUCCAGUAUGUAUUAUCUGGCUUCUCUUCAGGCACCUGCAGCUUUGUCCAAUCGUUGAUGAAAUCCACCAAUGCUUGAGACUUGAUAGCAGUGCGUGGCACGUAUUUUAGACCAUGAGGCCCAAGCUCUAUAGCCCACUUAGCAACUCUUCCUGUGGCUUCUCGAUUUUGGAUGAUAUCUCCUAGGGGAGCAGAACUAACCACAGUGAUAGGGUGACCCUGGAAAUAAUGCUUAAGCUUCCGGCUUGCCAUGAACACCCCAUAAACAAGCUUCUGCCAAUGUGGAUACCGUUGUUUGGACUCAAUGAGUACUUCGCUGACGUAGUAAACCGGCCGCUGAACCGGAUGCUCCUUACCCGCUUCCUUACGCUCCACCACCAUAGCCACACAGACGGCUCGUGUGUUAGCGGCUACAUACAGCAAUAAAGGCUCCUUGUCAACAGGAGCAGCAAGGACUGGUGGCUCAGCUAGCUGUCUUUUCAAAUCCUCAAAAGCAGCAUUAGCAGCAUCAUUCCAGAUAAAGUCAUCUGUUUUCUUCAUCAUCUGGUACAGUGGCAUGGCCUUUUCACCCAAACGGCUUAUAAACCGACUCAAAGCAGCGAUGCGACCCGCGAGACGCUGGACGUCGUUUACACACGCCGGCUUAGCCAGAGAGGUGAUUGCCUUGAUCCUUUCCGGGUUAGCUUCAAGGCCUCUGUGAGAAACCAGAAAACCCAAGAGCUUGCCUGCGGGAACACCAAAACACACUUGGCCGGGUUAAGCAUCAUCUUGUAGACCCGGAGAUUGUCAAAGGUCUCUCUCAGCUCUUCUAUCAAGGUCUCCUUCUCCCUGGAUUUAACCACGAUAUCAUCCACAUAGGCAUGAAUGUUGCGCCCAAUCUGGUUAUGAAGACAAUUCAGCACGCAACGCUGGUAAGUCGCCUGUGCACUCUUGAGCCCAAAAGGCAUUAGACACAUAACAGAAGGCUCCAAAGGGAGUGAUGAACGCCGUCUUCUCCUGGUCCUUAACUGCCAUUUUGAUCUGAUGGUAUCCAGAGUAAGCAUCCAAAAAGCUUAAACGCUCACAACCCGCCGUAGCAUCAAUAAUUUGAUCAAUACGGGGGAGAGCAAAAGGAUCAGCCGGACAAGCUUUGUUUAAAUCCGUAUAGUCUACACACAUCCGCCAGGUGCCGUUCUUCUUGAGCACGAGCACCGGGUUAGCUAACCAUUCUGGAUGAAAAACCUCAACAAUAAACCUGGCCGCCAAGAGCCGGGCUACCUCCUCACCAAUGGCUUUCCGCCUCUCCUCAUUAAAUCGCCGGAGGAAUUGCCUGACCGGCUUAAAUUUCGGAUCAAUAUUAAGAGUGUGCACAGCGAGUUCUCUAGGUACACCCGGCAUGUCAGAAGGUUUCAAUGCAAAGAUGUCCCUGUUCUCACGGAUGAACUCGAUGAGCGCGCCUUCCUAUUUCGGAUCCAGAUUGGCACUGAUGCUGAACUGCUGAGAUGAGUCACCUGGAACAAAAUCAACAAGUUUAGUCUCAUCAGCUGACUUAAAUUUCAUUACCGGCUCAUGCUCCGUGGUUGGCUUUUUCAAAGACGUCAUAUCUGCCGGGUCAACAUUAUCCUUGUAAAACUUUAAUUCCUCUGUCGCACAAACAGAUUCAGCGUAAGCAGCGUCACCUUCCUCACAUUCCAAGGCUAUCUUUCGGCUGCCAUGAACCGUAAUGGUCCCAUUGUGACCCGACAUCUUGAGCUACAAAUACACGUAACACGACCGUGCCAUGAACUUGGCGUAAGCCGGCCACCCAAAUAGAGCAUGGUACGGGCUUUUUAUUUUAACCACCUCAAACGUGAGUUUUUCCGCUUUGUAGUUGUACUCAUCUCCAAAGGCUACUUCCAGCUCGAUCUUACCGACUGGGUAGGCCGACUUACCAGGCACCACCCCAUGGAAAACAGUAUUGGACUGGCUGAGGUUUUUAUUAGUUAGUCCCAUACGACAGCAGGUCUCAUAAUAGAGGAUGUUGAUGUUGCUGCCUCCGUCCAAGAGCACUUUAAUGAAUUUGUAUCCUCCAACCUGAGGAGCCACCACCAAGGCCAGGUGACCCGGAUUAUCAACCCGGGGAGGGUGAUCUUCCCUACUCCACACAAUAGGUUGUUCAGACCAUCUCAAAUAACGGGGAACCGCCGGCUCAACAGCAUUCACAGCCCUCUUAUGAAGCUUCUGGUCUCGCUUGCACAGACUGGUAGUAAACACAUGAUACUGCCCACCAUUAAGCUGCUUUGGAUUGGUCUGGUAUCCCCCCUGCUGCUGCUGCUGAUUACCCUGGCCAGACUGCUGAUUAAAGCCCCCUUGAAAAUUCUGAGAGUUGGAAUUUGAGCCACCGCCCGGGCCAUGAAAGCCGCCAGCUCCUGAGCCGCCGCCCUGCCCAUUGUUGCCAUUAAAAGCGUUGGAAUUUUUGAAGGCUUUCAUGAUUGCGCAGUCUUUCCAUAGAUGAGUGGCCGGCUUAUCCCUAGAGCCAUGCCUUGGACAGGGCUCAUUCAACAACUGCUCAAGCGUCGGGCCUGACCCGCCGGCUCGGGGAGGUGGUCUCCCCUUACGUCGGUGGUUGUUACCCUGCGCAUUGACGUUGGCCACAAACUCCACACUGCCAUCAGCCUUACGCUUGUUACCUCCCUGGUUCGCCGGGUUAUGCUGAGGGCCCUUGCCAUUGCCAUUCCGUUUUCCCUUCCCUGUCCUUUCAUCAUCCGACGCGGGAUCCUUGGUACUAUCCGAGUCGGCGUACUUGACCAGAGCUGCCAUCAGCGUACCCAUAUCAUUGCAAUCGCGCUUGAGCCGCCCGAGCUUCAUCUUCAGGGGCGCAAAACGACAGUUCUGCUCCAGGAUUAAGACUGCAGAGCCGGCAUCCAUCUUAUCAGAUGAAUGUAUUAUCUCUUUGACCCGGCGAACCCAAUGGGUUGUGGACUCUCCCUCUUGCUGUUUGCAGUUAGUCAAAUCCACAAUUGACAUAGAUUGCCUACAUGUAUCUUUGAAGUUCUGGAUAAACCGGGCUUUUAGCUCGGCCCAUGACCCGAUGGAGUUAGGCGGCAGUCCUUUCAACCAAGUGCGGGGAGUCCCAUCCAACAUCAUGGUGAAGUAUUUGGCCAUUGCCGCUUCACUAACCUCUAGUAACUCCAUAGCCAUCUCGUAGCUCUCGAUCCAUGCUCCGGGUUGUAAAUCAGCCGUGUAAUUAGGUACCUUCCGAGGUCCUUUAAAAUCCUUGGGCAGACGUUCAUUACGGAGAGCCGGCACCAGACACGGGACACCUCCGGCCCUUGUAGGUACGCCCGCAUCGACAGAAGCCGUCGGAUGAGCCGGGAGGGGCUGGUAAGCCGUCAACUGAGCCGCCUGUUCUGCCUCUUGUCGUGCUCUGUCAUGGUCUACCGCGUUAAAGGCUCCAUUAUGCGCCGGGCCGUGGCCAGCUGGCAAGUUACGGCGCCGGACGUUGCUUGAGCCGGUCGCUGAAUCCAUGUGCCUGCUAUAACUUGGGCUCCGGUUCGGACGAGGGGUUGAAUGAAUCCUGUCCCGGCUAUAUGAGUAUGCCUCUUGCUGCGCCAGAGCCGUCUGAAGAAGUUCUCUGACCCGGCGGGUUUCGACCGCCGUUGGAGAGUCGCCCUCAAUUGGAAGAGCCGCCAGUCGCGCCGCUGCGGCGAUCAUGUUUUCCAACGGGUUGGCAUAAUGACCUGGUGGUAUCGGUACAUACUGAGGCGGAGUAAUGUUCACACGAGGAGGCCCCAUCACUUGUGGUUGAAUCGGCGUUCCAGCCCUGGGUGCUAUGAUCUCCGGUGGGUUACUGGGCCCUGCACCUGGCGUGUUGAAGAGGUUUCGAGGAUCGUAAACCGGAGGGAGUCGGGAUUGAGCCUUCUGGUGCCUCCUUCUCAUGAUCUCAUUGGAUGCGUUCUGAUCCAUCGUGGGCCGGAAAGAUUGCGCCUGAAUCAGCUGAGUCUGGGCAUCGAGAGCCGCCCGCUCUGCAGCCAUCCUGAUCCCUUCUGCUGCCAGAUCUUCCUUGGCUCUUGCUAUAUCCAGCUUUAGCUGUGCCACCUCCGCAUCAUGUUGAGCUUGAUCCGCCGGGGCGACCAUAGCGGUUAACAGGGCCGUCAUCUUAUCUGUGAGAUCCUCAGCACCUGAGCCGGCGAGUGCACAGGGCCUCCUGCCCCAAUGGCGGAGUUUUGAACAGGUUGUGCGCCGGCCAUGAAGAUUCCAACCCGGCUCGGCGGCUCAAAGGGGUCCGGAAUACUGUCGCCAUCGGAACAACCCCAGAGCCUGCCAUCCUGAAGCUGGUAUAACAAGUUGGUCUCAUCCGUGGAUGACUCGCCGUCAGAGCGAGCGGCCGUCUCAUUGCCAGAUCCAGACCUUCAGAGAGUCCUCCAUGGACGCAUCCCACGAAAGCACUCUUCAAGGCAGGCAGAGUUCGGGCGGGUCUCGCACGCUGAGCCGUCUCGAUGAGGUUGGCGCAGAGGUCCGGCUCAGGGCCCGGCUCGCCAAUCUUGCCAAUGAAAACGUGCAUUCCGCUGAAGGGGACCCGAUACCCAUACUCGAUUGAGCCAGUGUCGGGGCCCCAGCUUGCAUCAUCGAUGUAGAGCUUGCCGCGACGACUCUUGGUCAUCCGGCCCACAGCUUAUCCCUUGAGCCCUUCGAAGUUGCCCUUCAAGAACUCAAAUCCCCCGUGCGCUGGCCCCACGGUGGGCGCCAACUGUCGUGGAAUUGUCACGGCAGAUGUCCUCGUGCAAGGACUUAGUCGUGGAGCCAUCGCAACUAGGAAGCUUAAAGGGGUUAAACGGGACAAAGGACACGAGGAUUAUACUGGUUCGGCCCCUUACGGUGAAGGUAAAAGCCUACUCCAGUUGAGGUGGAAUUACUUAGGGUUUCGAUGACCAGGGAGCUUAACCGCUAUGCCUGGCUAUCGAUCUGAUGUUGCCUAUCCUGAACCGCCGUCGGGUCGUCUCCUUAUAUAGGGAGGUUGACGCCCAGCGGCUCUCAGAGUCCCAGCCGGCUUAUAACAGCAUCCGGCUCGGACUCUUAACUAUUCUUGCCUUACACUACAAGUCUUUCCAUAACGGCGGUUUAUCACUACGGGCCUUAAGCCGCCUCCGGGUCUUAAACCCAUUACUGAACCGCCAUCCUCAAACUUGGUACUGGGCUUCACGUGAUGAUCAUUAUGACUUAACCCGGCCCCUCCUGGGCGGGUGACUCGAAUGGUUAUAUCCUCAACAUCUUCUAAGUUUCCCGGAGUUAUUCUCAAAUCCUUUUCGAAGUUUGACGUAAGUAGGAAUUUCAUCAGUCAGAUGCUUCUCCAAGAUCGCUUUCAAAUUCUUUCAUGAUCGGGUCAACCUUUUCCUCUUUUCAUUCUCCCGGAGUAUCUCAUCAAUUUUGGUGUUGUUUCUCGUCGUCAUUCUCAACAUUUGAGGACCGAAGAAGAGUUUCUUUUAAAUCUUGCCCGUUCUCUCGGAGAUUCGUGGUGCUAGCUUCAUGUUAUCCUCUCAAAUUGUUUCUAGUCGUGCAAUUCUUUUCAUCCAUCCGGAGUAUUUCAGGAGCUGUUUUCUCUCUCGAUCAUCUGAAGGCCACCUUUUCAGAAGAUUUCUUCAUCCCAAGUUUUCAGAUUCAUUCUCCAAUUAUUCUAUAUGCAUGCCCCUUCGUUCGUUUACAUAUUCUUCCGGUGCUUCGUUCAAGUAUGCUUCAAUCAGCUCAUGAUCUCUUCUUUCAAUUGCAUCUUGAUUCCCUCAAGUAUAUUCGUGCUUUUCCUAUUUUUCCGGGUGAGUCAUUCUCCUUCGUCAUUCAAUUUUGAAUUCUAACGGUGGUUCGUUCAAGACCCCUUGUCAUUUGUAAUCAUAUCAAUUAAUUCGUUCUUUCCAAAUCCUACCGGUGGUUCAUGAAGACUUUCUCAAGUUUUGCGCUAUAUCCCCCCUUAAUCUUUUCCAACGCGAAUAAGUGGUAUGCAAAUCCAUGGUAUCUCAUCAAUUUAAUUGAUGGAGGAUAGGCAUAACACAAUUCUUAUUCUUCCCCAUCAAGUUAUCUAAUCCCUCCCUUCAGAGUUGUUCAUGUUGAAUAUACUCUAAUCCCAAGUGAUUCCAUAUUACUUUCCGGAGUUCCAAGCUUCCUCGGCCAUCUCGUCGGAACCUCCAUCAGAAUCGCAAGGCUCAAACCUUAUUCUAUUCAUCCUUCAAUUCUAUCUCAGAAUCCUUUUUGCAACCAGAGUGGUUUCAAAUUCAUUCUUAUUCCUUGAGCUUUGAUUCCCAUCGUAAUCGUCGUUCCUCUUUUCUAUUCGGGUGCCCUCGACCUUGUUCUUUCUCUCUUUUUUGCUCUUAUUUCACCUCAUCUUCUUUCCCUUCCGUCUCGGUCCUAAGAUCUCGAGACGAGAUCUCUUGUUAGUGGACGAGUGUUCUAACGCCUCGGAUCCGAUGCGCCAGGUGUCUUCCAGUUUUUCGCCGUCUUUGUCAUGUCAUUUGAUUGCGUGUUGCAUUUUGCCAUGUCAUCAUCUGCAUUUAAUCUACAUGCUUUUCAAAACUUGCAUCCGGCCUUUUUCCCCGUUGUCCGUUUCGCGAUCCGACACACUCGCACGCGUCCGUCGCCCCUCUCAGACCUUGGUUCGUGAGCGGGAGAAAAAGUUCUUGGAAUGGGCCGAGAUUUGCCGAGUGGCCUUGCUAUAUCACCGGCAGACCGCCCGUCAAAUUUCGUUCCAUUUGGAGGUCGUUUGAUGCCCCAACAGUUAACCCCGUAGCCCGAAAGCCCCUUUUGUCUUGCAGCCCAACACCCCUCCAAAUCAGCCCACUAACCCAGCAAAAACCCCCUCCAUGCUCUCGGUCAUUCGAUCAUGAUUGUGUGGGCGAAAACCGCACCUCAUUUGGACUCUCCUAGCUCCCUCUACCUAUAAAUAUGUGACUUCCCCCGAAAAUCCCGGAUGAAACCCUAGCCUUCCUCUUCCUCGCGCCGCCGGACACAUCCGCCCGCCGCCGGACUUGUCCACCGCCGCCAGCCACGUUGUCGGGGAUAUACCCCGCGGUAUGACCCGGCCGGAGAUAGUACCCGGCUGGGACAUGAUCUUUCAUUGGUGACCCGGCAGACUAUAAGUCGGCGGGAACAGUUAGGCAUUGUAAGCCGGCAGGCACAGUCAUGUAACCCGGCAUACACAGUCAUGUAACCCGGCAGACAUGUCGGGUGGUUGAUGCGACAUAUGCCAAGGGAUGGCUUAUCAUUGUGGGAGCCAAUAAAACGUCGCCGGUGCCUGGAAACGGGAUGAGGCGAAGACAUGCACGCCGGCGAAUCUUACCCAGGUUCAGGGCUCUCCGAGGAGAUAACACCCCUAGUCCUGCUCUGCGGGGUCUCCGCAUGAUCACUAAAUCGAUAAAGGGUAGCUACAAUCGCUCCUAGAGCUGUUGGGAUCAAGGGAGAAGGAGCACAAGGCUAGCUCUUGCUUCUCUCUAUCUAUGUGUGCGCGUGUGUCAUCUUGGAUGCGAACCCUUUGCAUGGGUGCUCCGGGGGGUUUAUAUAGGCCUACCCCCCGGGGGUACAAUGGUAAUCCGACUGGGACCUGGCCCCAGCCGUCAGUGUCUACGCUCGCCGGCUUCUCCGCCGGCUGCUGGGUCCCGCCGGCUGGUGGGUCCCACCGGCUGCCGGAUACUCGGUCGACAGGCCGGUCCCACCGCCUAGGGUUUUGUCGGCGGCUACUUACUGUAGCCGCGCCUCGGAGGAUGAGGGCUUUGUCGAGGUGAGCGUGGCUACAGUGGGCCGCGUCGGCGGCUAUCACUGUAGCCUCACCUCGUCUUGUCUCCUUAAUGGGGCUCCUGCUUCGAGGAAGGGCAUGGCCGGCUUCUGGAGGCCGGCUAUGCUCCCGGCCGACUAGGGAAAGCCGGGCCGCCUUCACGCCUCUCUCUGGCUGAAGGGGCCCACAGUCCUUGGGUCGUGCAAGAACGGGUCGUGGAUGACGUCGAGGCUAACGUGGCUAUAGUGCCGGGCCGCACGGGAGACCUCCCUCUCGUACGGCCUCCUGUAGCCAUGCCCGCCUCGGGCUUCGGGGGUCGUGGGCCGCACUGUGGCCACGCCCCGUCAGGUCGGCGUUAAGUUGGAGUGGUUGUGGUCGUGGCCGGCUUCUAGGAGUCGGCGUCCUUCUGGGCCGGCUUCUUGGAGUCGGCGAGGCUGGGUCGUCUUCCGGGAGUCGGCUUUAGUGGUAGCCGGCCCGGGAAGGCGGCCCAAAUGCUUGGAGUGCUUGAAGGCCCAAAGGCCUGAUAAAUUUUCUGAAGAGCCAGGGGUAGCCGGUUUAGCUACCCGUGGCCACUUACUCAGACAGUAGUCCCCGAACCUGAUCGGGCUUCGAGGUGGAGUAGGGUUCGAGAAGCUCGAACAGCUUCCCAUCGCGACAAGCCGACAGCUGGGAGCCGGCCUUGGUCAGGCACGUCGCCUGAGCCGAAAUCUUCUGGAGUCGGAGGGCGGGAACCUGCUAGCAUGUGCGCCGGGCCGCGGGCCGAUGGCGCGCCACGUAGCCGGAAAGCCUGCCAGCCCACGCGCGAGACGGGACGUUGCCGCAGAGAGGGGGCCCGCCACGUCCACGCCCCGGCCCAGGCGCGGAUCUUUUGCAUCCCGGAACCGCCCGCACGUUCCAUGCGGCAGUUUCGGCUCGCACUUAUGCGUAAUAAACGCGAGACGUGGGGGGAGUGGGCGCAGUUAAUCCCACGUCUCCCCCCACGUCCGGCCUCUUCGGCCGCGUGAGGCUAUAAGUAGGGGGAGGUGGAGGGCGGUAGGCCCUCGCACGCUCCUCCUACUUCCGCCGUCUUCUUGCCUUGCUCGUUCUCGCAACAGCGCCUCGCCGCCGCGCUCUUCCUCCGCACGCUCCUCCGCCGCCGUGCUAGCUUCCGCCAUGCCUCCCCAUGUAGAGCAGCGUGGCGGGGAUUGGGACGGCUCCAUCGUCCACAACAACCACAUCGACUUCCUCCGCGACACACGGCGUCUGCCCAGUGCGGACAAAGUGGAGGUCCGCCUCGCGCCGGAGAAAAAAAUCAGGCCGGCGCCGCGGGAUGGCGAGCGGGUGGUCUUCCGCUCGCACUUCCUACGCGGCUUCGGCUUGCCAGUGAGCGCCUUCUUCCGCACCUGGCUGGACUUCUAUCAGCUCCAACCGCACCACCUCACCCCCAACGCGGUGGUGCUGCUGUCGGCCUUCGUCACCCUGUGCGAGGGCUAUCUAGGCGUCCUCCCCACCCUUGAGCUCUGGGGGGAGUUCUUCCAGUCGAAGCUGGGUACGCGCAGCCAGGGCGUGCCGGCCCACACUGGCGCCUUCAUCGCGUCGCGGAGAUCAGGCGCCGACAACCCCUUCCCCGUCAUCACGCUGAUCCAAUCGGUGAAGAAGUGGCAGAAAUCAUACUUCUACGUGCGGAACAUCGCUCCACGGGGCGACUACGUCAACCUGCCGGCUUACGUAGCCGGCCCGCCGGCGGGGAGGCUGCCCCAGUGGUCCUUCCGGGCGGUGACGCUGUCGCAGGGAGGAAACGCCACCAUCGCCCACCUGCGGGUGAUGGUCCAGACGGAGGGCCUGACGGGGCCCGACCUCCUGGCCGCGUUCGUCACACGCCGGGUCCUCCCGCUCCAGAGCCGGCCUCAUCUGAUCUGUCAGAUGAGCGGCCAGCUCGAUCCGAGCCGGAUGUGUACCAAGGAGAUGCCGCAGGCUGACGCUGCCGACAUGGUGAACUACCUCGCCAACUACCAGCUUCCCGACGACUGGCAAUUUGGCAAGGAGCCAUACAGCCGCGCCAAUCCUCCGCCUACGGUACGCUCCCCUUCUCUUUUUCUCUUUGUCGCCGAGUUCCUCCGGGCCGACUCUAACUCAGUCGGCUCACUCUUUUGACAGAAUCCUCUGCUUCGGCCGGCCGGCGGGGUGGACGUGGAGCGCCGCUUCGUCCCCGACCGGACCAAGCACGACCAGGAGGACCCCGAUCUGGGGGCGGUCCAUAUGGAGGAAGCCGCCGAGCCGGCUGGUGGCCAAGCCGCCGGCGAAGCAGGCGGCGCCGGGUUCUCCGCGACCUUCGACGAUUGGCCGGAUGAGGACGAAGCCGAAGUCGUCCCGCCCCGCCAGCCAGCCUCCGGACGCGGCGCGGGCUCCUCCGGCGCGCAGCCUGCUCGGGGUAGAGGCCAGAAACGUCGCGCCGCCCAGGGCAUGUUCGGUAGCUGGACGAAGAAGCCGAGGGGUGGGGCGGCGGCCACCAGGCAGGAAGAAGCGGCCGCGAAGGCGGCUCGCUUCCGUAAAGUGGUGAAGCAGCCGCAGGCUGUGUCAGCGUAAGCUUUCUUUCUUUCUGUGCAUUCUCCUUCUCUCUUUCUUGAGUGGUCUUCUGAACCUUUGUCUUCUUUUCUUUGAUCAGGGCUCCACUGUCGCUCGAGCGGGCGGCUGCCGGCUCCGUUGUCGAGUCGCCAGGGGGCUCUGGGAGCACCACCCGCCGCGUAGAUCCCCGCGCCGCCCUCCUGGAGGCGACGGAAAGGAACGCGCGGGAGGUGCGGGAGGAGCAGGAAGCGCGGGAGGCGGAGGCACGGAAGGCAGCCUCUGCCCAGGCAGCUCGGGACGAGGAGGCAGCGAAGGCGCUCGCCGAGGCUGCAGCCAAGGCCCAGGCAGAGGCCGAGGCCGAAGCGGCGGCAGGGGAGGCCUUGAUGGUCACCCCUCUGCGCGCCAUGGCGCCCGGGGACGCGGAUCCCUCGCCAGGGGGAGCCAGCGGUUCCCAGCCGGGUCUGGGCGGGAGCGGCGACGACGUCAUCUUCGUGAGGGAGGCGCCGGGGCCGACUCCUCCGACUAGGGCGGCUCGAGGCGGUCAGACUGAGCAUGCGCCUGCACAGUCGGCGGAAGGCGAGCCGGCCGCGGGAGCUGAGGUGGCGGUCCGGGUUCCGCCAAGCCGGCGCGCAGGGAAGGCCGCGUCGGAGCCGCAAAAGGCGGCGUCGGAGCCACGGCCGGCCGUGGGCUCCAGCUCGUCGGCCCGAGACGCGGAGGCGGCCAGCGCUACCUCCGGGUGGACGCCAGGCGGAGGGACAGCCGUGGUGAACAUCGCUGCACAAGACGUCCGGACCCGGCUCCAGAGCCAAGCCGCGACGCUGAGGCUGUUCACCGACGAAUUCCUCGCCACGCGGGCAGCCAUCCGGGUUCGUAUUCUCAAUUUCGCCCUUGAUUUUUCUCGUGGGGGAGCGUCAGCGCACCCACUGGGUGUAGUCCCCGAGUUCCGAGUCGGCUGCUGAGCAGGCGGCUUGGAACUUCUUGGUGGAUUUGCCUUUGCUAUUUUUGUUCUUACUUCGGUCUUCUGUCCAUCUUGCAGGACUACCACAACCUCCGAGCGGCCGCCUUCAACUCCCAGGCUCGGGAGCUGACGCAGAAGACCGCCGAUCUCACUGAAAGCCGAGGUAUGUGACUUGAUCUCUAUCUCAUGUGGGGGCGCGUCAGCGCACCCACUGGGUGUAGUCCCCGAGAUUCGGGCCGACUGCUGAGCAGUCGGCUCGGAUCUUCCUUGAUGAUUUCUCAUUGUUCUUCUUCUUCUGUCUCUGCAGCGGCCAACGCCAGUCUGAGGGCACAGCUGGGGGAGUCCCAGACUGCUCUUCGUGCCAAGGACGCGGAGCUCGCCGCCUUGGUGCAGAAGCGUGACCGCCUGGUCAAGAAGCUGGCCGACCAGGAGGAAAGCCACAAGGCGGCGCUGAAGGCCGCGCAAGACCGUGAAGCCGCCCUCCAGGCCGAGUUCGAGACGGAGGCGGCCGCCUGGGACGAGGCCAGGAAGACUCUGGUCUCCGGCUAUGGCCAGAUUGAGGAUCUGGUUGACGGUAAGUCGUCUACCCCUUCGUCCUUUCUUGCUAUCUGUCACUUUGACUUGUUUUUCUGAUUUGGGGUUCUUCUUUUCUUUUCUGCGCAGAGUACUUCCCCGGCUAUUCCACUGCCGCCAACCAGGCCAUCAAAGCUCGUCGCCAGGCGAAGAGGCAAGCCGACUUCGAGAUUUCGCCGACUGCCGGCCGCUCGCUGGAGGAGCAGCUCCUGGCGAUCCAGGCUCGCAUCCAGCCGGCUCACAGGCUUCUCCGCCGGCUUCAGCGUGCCGGGUCGCAGGUCCUGGCCGCCCUCUAGCCCGGCCAAGUGAUCCCGCGCACUCCUAGUCGGACCGCCGAUUGGCUGGAGGUGGCCGUCGGGCGCUUCGAGGCUUGGAAGGCAUCAGCGGCUCGCUCCGGCGUCGGGCGGGCGCUGGAGUUCGUCAAGGCCUGGUACCCAGGCCUGAAUCUGGACCAGCUGGCUACCUGGCGGCAGCAAGCCGACGCGGAGCUGGAGCCGGCGCGGCCGGCCAUCAUUCGACGGGCUUCGGCAAUCGCCGACUACACCGACACCAACGUCUUCGCCCCCGAGGUGGACGACAAUGGAGUCGCCUAGCCGGAAGAUUGGUUCGGGCUGGACCCGGCGUGCGGCGAGGACUCGGCGGAGGAGAUCGACUCCAGCGACGAGGGCGAAGAUGAGGAGGAGGAGGGUGAAGACGUCGAGCCGGCUGGUGGAGCAGCCGGCCAGCCUGACCGCGCCUCCAGCACUACGUUACGUGCGAGUGCGUCUCCUGUUGCGGGAGGCGGUCAAGCCGGGACCAGCUAGGCGGCCACUCCUUCAGCCGGCGAGCUGCCUUCACCGACCAACUCGGCCUUCGCGCCUUUGUCUUCUUUCUUUUGUUUCCUGUCUUGUUACUUUUGAACAAUGUUUUUGGUUAAGUCUGCGCAGUCCCACCCACUGGGUGUAUUGAAACUCAAGUCUGUUGCCGCCUAUCGGGGGCUUUAUGUAUAUAAGUUAUGCAAUCGGUCUUUCCUUGUACUUUCGCUUUUUGUCCUUCUGCUUUUUUCCUUUGCCGCCCUCCCUUGGUUUCCGCCUCCCUAGUCAAACAGUUGCUCUGCAAUCUGUAGCCGGGGAGUGCCUGGCCGAUUGGGGAGGGGGAAGUACUUUUAGCUCGGUCGGACUUAAGCUAAGUUUUUAGGAAGCCGGCAGGCAUAUAUGGAGGCCGUCUUUUUGCUAUAUAGGUUGGUUGUUCCUUAGCCGUUUUUUCGUGUGGGCAUCCUUUCUGUCUUCUCUCUUGCUAGCCGGACAGUCAGUUCUUUGAGCUGCGACUUUCAACAAGAGAGGACUUGGGAGCCGGCGCACUACUUUGCUGACUUUGGGAAGAACGUAGAAUAUAGCUCAAGGCGGCCAGUCCCCGGGCCGACUAGUCGGACCCGGUGCCGGACAAGAAUUCGAAAUGUAAUAAUACAUUCAUGGAUAUGACACUCGUCAUUCAUGAAUAAAUAAAAGGCAGUCCCCGAGUAGGUUUGUAACGUAAUACAAAAACAAGGGGUAGCGUGAUACAUACUGCUUUUCAGCUGUAAAAUCGUCUUAGGAGGUUUGCGUUCCAUGGUCGCUCUGACUCCUUGCCGGAGUCGUCUCUCUUGCGUGCUUUUGGCUUUUGCGCGUCGAUCAAGUAGUAGGAGUCGUUGCCGAGUGCCUUGCUGACGACGAAGGGGCCUUCCCAAGGGGCCGAGAGCUUGUGCUGGCCGUCUGUUCGCUGGAUCAGCCUGAGCACAAGGUCGCCCUCUUGGAAGGAUCUUGGCUUGACCUUGCGGUUGUAGUAGCGGCGCAGGCCUUGCUGGUAGAUGGCGGACCGGCUGAGGGCUCACAGCCGGCCUUCUUCCAGUAGGUCAACGCCGUCUUCUCUUGCUUCUUUGGCUUCCUCCUACGUGUACAUGGUGAUCCGAGGCGAGUCGAACUCGAUGUCUGUUGGGAUGACAGCCUCGGCACCGUACACGAGGAAGAAUGGAGUGAAGCCGGUUGACUUGUUAGGUGUAGUGCGCAGACUCCAGAGGACAGCCGGCAGCUCUUCGAGCCAGCAGCCGGCCAAUCGCUCCAGUGGUACAACCAGUCGGGGUUUGAUGCCGGAGAGGAUAAGUCCAUUUGCUCGCUCGACCUGGCCAUUUGACUGCGGGUGGGCAACGGACGCUAAGUCCAGUCGGAUGCUCUGUGUCGCGCAGAAAGGUGCCAGCGCGCCUUGGGCGAAGUUUGUGCCGUUGUCGGUGAUGAUGCUGUGCGGCACGCCGUACCGAGUGGUGAUGUCGGUGAUGAAUGUCACGGCAGUCGGCCCGUUCAGCUUCUUGAUGGGCUUGGCUUCGAUCCACUUUGUGAACUUGUCCACCGCAACGAGCAGGUGUGUCAUGCCACCGCGGGCUGUCUUGAAAGGGCCUACCAUGUCCAGUCCCCAGACGGCAAAAGGCCAGGUGAGGGGAAUGGUCUUGAGGGCGGAAGCCGGCAGGUGUUGUUAGGAACUGAAGACUUGACACCCUCUGCAGCUCUUUACUAUUUCUUUAGCAUCCUCCAAGGCAGUCGGCCAGAAGAACCCAUGGCGGAAAGCCUUGGCCACGAGGGAUCUUGAGGCGGCGUGGUGGCCGCAUUCGCCUUGGUGGAUGUCUUUGAGGAUUGCCACUCCUUUUUCUGGCUCGACGCAACGCUGGAAGACUCCAGUGACGCUGCGCUUCACAAGCUCCCUGUUGAUUAUUGUGUAUGCUGCGGCUCGUCGUUGCACUAGUCUUGCUGCGAUCUCAUCAGUCGGCAGCUCUCUGCUGACUAGGAACUUGAGGAUGGGCUGGGCCCAUGAGGGAGCUGUGACUUCUUCUGCUGUUGUCGUGGCCACCAUGACUCGGGUGGGUGGUUUGGGUGUUGUAUUGGAGUCGACCACUGCUUCUUGUGUCAUUGCAGUCCCCGGGCCGACUGCUGCAGUCCCCGAGCCGGGUUCUGAAGUCCCUGGGCCGGGUUCGACUACGUCAGUCCCCGGGGCAGUCGUCAACGUCCCCGUGCUGCCUGCAGGAUUUCUUGAGCCGGAUCCGGCUGUUUCUGGCGCAGGCGGUACGAAGAUGGAGUCCGACUCUGGAGACGGCUUGAUGGACGGCUUGAGGAGGCGUUGGAGGGAGACGCCAGUCGGUAUGGCUUGUCGGGUGGAGCCGAUCCGUGCUAGGGCAUCUGCUUGGUCGUUGUCGGCCCUUGGCACAUGAAGGAACUCGCACCCUUCGAAGUAUCCGCUCAUCUGCUGGACGAGGAAGCGGUAGCUCGCCAUGUUCGCGUCCUUGGCGUCCCAAUCGCCAGAUGAUUGCUGGACCACUAAGUCGGAGUCGCUGUAGCACAGGAUCCGGCGUAUGCCUAGCUCUUUGGCUAGCCGGAGCCCAUGUACGAGCGCCUCGUACUCGGCCACGUUGUUGGAGGCGGCGAAGUGGAUCUGCAGCGUGUACUUGAGCUUGUCGCCUUUGGGAGAGGUGAGGACGAUGCCGGCUCCCAAGCCGGUGCGCAUCUUGGACCAAUCAAAGUGCAUCCGCCAAUGGGUAGAGUCGGGAGCCGGCGGUAAGUACUGGGUCUCGGCCCAGUCGACGAGGAAGUCGGCCAAUGCUUGCGACUUGAUGGCGGUGCGGGCUUGAUAGAAAAUCGUGUAAGGCGCCAAGGCAAUGGCCCAUUUGGCCACCCGGCCGGAUGCAUCCCGGCUGCCUAUGAUCUCGGUGAGCGGGGCAGCGCACACGACCGUGAUGGGGUGCUCUUGGAAGUAGGGCUUCAAUUUCCUGGCAGCGAAGUACACCCCAUAGCACAUCUUCUGGUAGUGCGGGUAGUUUUGCUUUGAGCUGGAUAGUACUUCGCUGAGAUAGUAGACCGGCCUCUGGACCAGCUGGGCUCGGCCUUCCUCCGGGCGCUGGACCACAACAACAGUGCUGACGACUCGGCUUGUCGCGGCGAUGUAGAGGAGCAUGGGCUCCUUCUCAGUCGGCGCAGCCAGGACGGGUGGAGUGGUUAACAUUUUCUUCAACUCAUGGAAGGCUUGGUCGGCUUGAUCAUUCCACUCAAAGUGAGUGGACUUCUUCAUGAGUCGGUACAGGGGGAGGGCCUUCUCUCCUAGUCGGCUGAUAAAACGGUUCAGGGAGGCUAAGCAGCCAGUGAACUUCUGCACAUCUCGCAGCUUGGUGGGUAUCUCCAUCCUCUCGAUGGCCUUGAUCUUGACAGGGUUGCACUCAAUGCCGCGUUCGGAGACCAGGAAGCCUAGCAGUUGGCCGGCUGGUACUCCGAACACGCACUUCUCGGGGUUGAGCUUGAUCUGGAAUCGGCGCAAGUUGGCAAAUGUUUCCUUCAGGUCUUCCAGCAAGGUACCGCGCUUCUCUGUGUUCACCACAAUGUCGUCUACGUAGACGUGGGCAUUUCUGCCGAGUUGUUUCAAGAGACAUUUCUGCAUGCAACGCUGAAAAGUGGCACCGGCGUUUCUCAAGCCGAAUGUCAUUGUCAGGUAGCAGAAAGCUCCAAAGGGUGUGAUGAAGGCAGUCUUGAGGCGGUCAGCCGGGUCAAACUUGAUCUGAUGAUAUCCUGAGUAUGCAUCCAAUAUACUUAACAGCUCGCAUCCGGCUGUGGAGUCUAUCACUUGGUCAAUCCGUGGCAAAGCAAACGGAUCCUUUGGGCAGGCCUUGUUCAGACUUGUGUAGUCUAUACACAUGCGCCACUUGUUAUUCUUCUUCAAAACCAGAACUGGAUUGGCAAGCCAUUCUGGAAAGAACACUUCCAUGAUGAAGCCGGCUGCAAGGAGCCGGGCUAUCUCUUCUCCCACGAUUCUUCGCUUCUCUUCUGAUAGUCGGCGGAGGGGUUGCUUGACCGGCUUCGCAUCAGCUCGGACAUGUAAUUUGUGCUCGGCGAAAUCCUUCGGGACACCCGGCAUGUCCUUUGGGGACCAUGCAAAGAUGUCUCGAUUCUCACGGAGGAAGUCGGCGAGCUCGCCUUCCUAUUUACUGUCCAAGUUCGCCCCAAUCACGGCGAACCUCUCCGGGUGCUCCGGUUCUAGAGGUAUCUUCUUCGUCUCUUUUGCAGGCUGGAAGGAGCCCUGCGCGUCACAGUCCUUGGGGUUGGGGGGACAAGGCCGGCUCCUUGCCGGCCAUGGCCACAACCCGUUCCAACAUCUUCUUCUCUUUUGCCACCACAAGGGACUCGGCCAGCCGGCUGCUGGCCAUGGCACACUCGAUGGACUUCUUGUAGUCGCCGGCUAUCGUGAUGAUCCCUUUCGAGCUCGGCAUCUUCAUCUUCAGGUAGGCAUAGUGGGGCACAGCCAUGAACUUGGCCAAAGCAGGUCGGCCAAGCAGUGCAUGAUAGGGGCUUUCCAAAUCCACCACCUCGAACCAUAUUGCUUCCCGGCGAAAAUGAUCUUUGUCUCCGAAGAGAACAUCCAUCUUGAUCUUGCCGAUUGGAGAGCAAGAUAGGCCGGGUACGAUACCAUGGAAGACUGUGCGGCUCGGCAUGAGCUGCUUCGCUUUGAUGUUCAGCUUGUCCAUGGUAUCGCGGUACAGUAUGUUGAUACUGCUUCCGCCGUCUAUCAGGACGCGGGAAAAUCUGGCAGCUCGCCUCUCUGUCGCAAGGGUGACGUCCAAAACCAUAGCAUAGGAGCCAGGCGAAGGCAUCACCUCGGGGUGGUCGGCCUGGCUCCAGCUGAUGGGUUUUUCCGACCAGUGCAUGAACUCGGCGGUGCUAGAGGCGACUGCGUUUACUUCUUGGUGCUGCCGGCGUCGGCUGCGCUUGUCGUCGACUUGACUUGUGAAGACAACGUAGGCGUCGUGCGCUUCAGGGAACUCGUCUUGGAUGGCGCCGACUGCCGGCCGGGCCGCCGGCUGCGGGGGAGCUGGAGGCGGCGGGCCGGGAGGCGGAGGCGGCACCAUCCCUUCGCCCUUGGUGAUGCGGGUGAGCCAAUGGCAUUUCCGUGUUGUAUGGUUGGACGGCUUCGCGCCGCUGUGGAACUUGCAGGGAGCAUCGAGUGCUUGUUCGUAGGAGAAGGACGGCUGCCAGGGCGGCCGGCCUCCCUUCUUCUUGGGAGCAGGCCGCUCUUCGGGCUGCUCGUCUUCAAUGGUGGCCACCUGCCGACUGGAGCAAGUCGGCAUGGGGCCCUUGCGCUUGUGGUCGUUCUGGUAGGGGCGCCGGUUGGGGUCGCCAGCCGGCUGCUUGGGAGCCGGGGCGACCACUUUCCCCGAGGCGUCCACUCGGAGCUCGGUCUUCAUGGAGGAGUCGGCAGUAGCGUAUUUGUCGGCGAUGACGAGUAGCUCGUCGAGGGUGGCGGGCUCGUCGCAGAGGAGUCGGUGCUUGAGGAGGGUGCCCUCUCGGCACCCGGUAGUGAAGUAUUUGAUGGCCUGGACCUCGUGCACUCCCUCGCAGGAGUUGCGGAGCUCGGCCCAUCGCGUGAGGUAGUCGCGGGUCGACUCGUUGGGCCCCUGGACGCAGAGGGAGAGCUGGCGAGGCUUGGGAGGCCGCUUGUAGGUGCUGGUGAAGUUGCGAACGAAAGCUUCGGUGAAGUCCAGCCAACUGUUGAUGCUGUAGGGCUUGAGGCUGUUGAGCCAUGUGCGCGCCGCGCCCUACAGCAUCAGGGGGACGUACUUCACGGCAACGCGCCGGUUGCCGUUGGCGAUGCUGACGGCUGUGGAGUAGUCGAUGAGCCAAUCUUCCGGCUUCACCGAGCCGUUGUAUUUGGGCGUGUCUCUGGGGAACGAGAACCCUUUGGGAAAGGGCUCAUCGCGGAUGCGGGGGCCAAAGCAUGGCGGGCCGACAUCGUCUUCUUCUUCUAACGCCAAGGAUCAGGCCAGGCGGUCGAUCCUGUGGCGGGCGUCGCUCUCGCCGACUCCUUCUCGGCGGCCGAGUCGGCCGCCAAGGGUCGGAUGGGUGACAGGCGGUGGAGUGAGGCGUCUUUCUCUUCGCGGUGGGGGAGGAGGCAGGUUUCCCUGAUGUUCAACCGCCCGAGGGCGGCCUUCCGCGUCGCGCUCGAUAGUUAUGCGGGUCCGGCUGCGGCUGGCAGCCGGCUCCUUGUCUUUCUUCUGGCGCGCCGCUCGCAGUCGGCGAGCAGGACGUUGCCGCGUGCUCCCGGCGCGGAGGUUGACUAUCGGCACGGGCACCGGCUUCGUGCCGUUCUGCAGCCGCGUCGAUCAGCUGCUGGAUCCGUCUUGUCAUGUAGGGGAGAUCGUCGGCUCCCAGCUCAUUGAGCUCCUCUGCAGCCGCCUGAGCGGCCCGCAGAUUCUCGAGCGGGGUGGCGUAGACGGGGCGAUCUGCGCCCAACAUGCUGGCAACGGCUGCGCCGCGCUUCUGGACGAAACCGGCUCGGCUCGGGCCGCUAGGCGGCGGCGUCCCGAAGGCGGCGCGGUCAGCUUCGCGCUGGUGGGCCUCGGUGAGACGUCUCAUCGAGGCUAUCUUCUUGCCCUCCGUGAUGAGGGCAAGGCGGCGUGCCUCCAGGGUCUCGGCGUCGGCGUCGGCCGGGAUGGGGACGGAGAGGUCGUGCAUCGCCGCUCGCUGAGCGUCGCGGGCGUUCUCGCCCGAGUCGGAGACGUGGCCGAUGACCAUCACUUCGGUGACAGCGCUGCUGCCGCUGUCAGCUCGAGGGAGUGGGUCGUCGAAGACCACCACGUCGGAGGGGUAAGCGUCGAGCGACGCGGUGUCGGAGUCGAUGAGCAUCGGGUCGGUGGAGCCGACAAACUCCAUGUCCGCAGCAGGCUCGCCGGAGACGUGAAGUUGGUCGAGGAGGCUGACGAGGCAGCUCUCGGGGUAGUCGGUGCCUGCGUCGGACGCAGGCUCGUCGGAGAUGCGAGUCUCGCCGAGCUGAUCGGCGAGGCGGCUCGCUACGCAGGCGUCGCCGACGCCUUGCAGCGCGUCGGGGCAAGCGCCAUCGGGCGCAGCAGGCUGGCUGCGCUCGCGGGGAAGGAAGAAGAUUCCCGUCCAGAACAGGUCUCCGGACGACGGUGCACCUGGCCCAACGGUGGGCGCCAAAUGUCGGCUGGUUGAUGCGACAUAUGCCAAGGGAUGGCUUAUCAUUGUGGGAGCCAAUAAAACGUCGCCGGUGCCUGGAAACGGGAUGAGGCGAAGACAUGCACGCCGGCGAAUCUUACCCAGGUUCGGGGCGCUCCGAGGAGAUAACACCCCUAGUCCUGCUCUGCGGGGUCUCCGCAUGAUCAGUAGAUCGAUAAAGGGUAGCUACAAUCGCUCCUAGAGCUGUUGGGAUCAAGGGAGAAGGAGCACAAGGCUAGCUCUUGCUUCUCUCUAUCUAUGUGUGCGCGUGUGUCAUCUUGGAUGCGAACCCUUUGCAUGGGUGCUCCGGGGGGUUUAUAUAGGCCUACCCCCCGGGGGUACAAUGGUAAUCCGACUGGGACCUGGCCCCAGCCGUCAGUGUCUACGCUCGCCGGCUUCUCCGCCGGCUGCUGGGUCCCGCCGGCUGCCGGAUACUCGGUCGACAGGUCGGUCCCACCGCCUAGGGUUUUGUUGGCGGCUACUUACUGUAGCCGCGCCUCGGAUGAUGAGGGCUUUGUCGAGGUGAGCGUGGCUACAGUGGGUCGCGUCGGGGGCUAUCACUGUAGCCUCACCUCGUCUUGUCUCCUUAAUGGGGCUCCUGCUUCGAGGAAGGGCAUGGCCGGCUUCUGGAGGCCGGCUAUGCUCCCGGCCGACUAGGGAAAGCCGGGCCGCCUUCACGCCUCUCUCUGGCUGAAGGGGCCCGCAGUCCUUGGGUCGUGCAAGAACGGGUCGUGGAUGACGUCGAGGCUAACGUGGCUACAGUGCCGGGCUGCACGGGAGACCUCCCUCUCGUACGGCCUCCUGUAGCCAUGCCCGCCUCGGGCUUCGGGGGUCGUGGGCCGCACUGUGGCCACGCCCCGUCAGGUCGCCGUUAAGUUGGAGUGGUUGUGGUCGUGGCCGGCUUCUAGGAGUCGGCGUCCUUCUGGGCCGGCUUCUUGGAGUCGGCGAGGCUAGGUCGUCUUCCGGGAGUCGGCUUUAGUGGUAGCCGGCCCGGGAAGGCGACCCAAAUGCUUGGAGUGCUUGAAGGCCCAAAGGCCUGAUAAAUUUUCUGAAGAGCCAGGGGUAGCCGGUUUGGCUACCCGUGGCCACUUACUCCGACAAGACACAUUCAUGUAACCCGGCAUACACAGUCAUGUAAACCGGCAGACACAGUCAUAUAAGCCGGACAGUUAAGCCGGCAGAUGUUAAGCCAGAUGUUAAGCCAGACGGUAAGCCAGAUGGUAAGACAGAUCGUAAACCAGACCGCAAGUCAGAUUGUAAGCCAGAUUGUAGGAAACCCAAGACGUUAAGAAGCCCAUGGAGAGAGGCCCGUGAUGAGAGGUCAGAAUAGUUUAAGUCUUAGUCCGAGAUGGACUCUACAUGUAACCCGCCCCUUCAUCUUAUAUAAGGAGGGGCAGGGCUCCCCAAAGAGGGACAAGCAACAAGAAACAAUCUCUAGGGCUAGACACAAAGAGCCAGCUUACCGGCGACUCUCUCAUGAGCAUAAUGAGACCUAGCCACAAACAACAUGUAGGGCUAUUACCGGAUGAUGUUUCCCGGGGCCCGAAGCUGUGUAAAUCCUUGUCUUGUGUGCCGCGUCUCUCGUCCCGAUCAACCCCUCUCAAGCUACUACAUAGAUGCGUUGGCCUCACGACUAAGUCCUCACACUAGGACAUCUGUCGUGACAAUUCCUCGACAGUUGGCGCCCACCGUGGGGCUGUGCACGGUGGUGUUGAGUUCUUGGAGGGAUCUUUCCCAAGGUUUCAAGAAGUUCGUGAAUUUUCGGAUGAAGAAGAACCGGUUUGGAAGGGUCUACGUUUGCAAUCCGCGAGAUCUGCGUUCGAUGAAAAUUAGGGUUGCGUACAGUGCGACGGUUGAUCAUGAUCCGGCGAGUCAAAAGACGAAUCGGUAUCUGCUACAUUGAAAAUAUGGCUGUUGUGACCAGCCGUUGCGGUGACCCUUGGAGCAAGAGCCUCUGUUAAAUUUGCUGAGUCGCCGCCGGGUCAAGCCCUGCUUCCUCGCUAGGAUGUACAUGGAAGGAUUUACAUGGACUGCAAGUUCAUCAGAGAAGAUUGAAUAAAAAGGGAGGGGUCAUGGACUCGAUUUCGGCGGCCAUGGCCUGUCUCGACCUGACUUCGCCCCGUCUCGCUGGCUGCAUCGCCCUCAACCGCAGCGCCGCCUCAGCGCGCCUCCGCUCCAAGUGGCCCCAGCUGCCGACUGGUCGUCGCUGCGGUCGAGCCGCCUCCGCUGGUCGCCGUUUUUGCCUCGUCGGCCGCCCUUCCUCGCUCUGAGCCGCCUUGAGCCGCUGGAUUCUUCCGUCGCGGAUCACUUCCGCCGGCCGUCUUCAAGUCGGCAACGUUGAGCCGCCUCACGCCGCGGCCACGAUUGCCAUGCUUCAAGUCACGGCGAAUCGCCAAAUUGCCUCCGCCUUUAGAGCUGUCUGCCGGAGCUGUUGCCAUCGCCGAGAGCCGCCCAGUCUCUUUCUAUUUUCAACCCGGACUGGCCUCGCCCACCUCUGCUCUGCUCCGCGCGCGCGUGCGCGCACAGCCGUCUGGCUCACCUCUGCUGCUACCUGCUCUGAGCCGCCACUGCUGAAUCACCGGACUGCUCGUCCGCCGGGUAGCCACAGCCUCUCUCACCCCGGGUCGAGCUGCCGCGGCCGAACCGCACUACGGACUCAUAUCCGCAGCAGUCGCCUGCCUCCAUCAUUGCACGACCUGGAGGAGGUCUCAGUCAAUCAGAGUCGGCCUCUUUUCCGCGCGCUGCAUCAAGUCAUCGCCGCGCCUCCGAGCCAUUACGGCCGGCCGGGUCCCUACCGUCGCCGCCGCUGUACUUCUGAACCGCCACUGCGCCGGGUCAUCUUCCACCUCCGUCGACCUCCCGCGUCCUCGCCUUGAGACACCCACCUCUGCUGAGCCGCUCCGGGCCGAUCGUCGCCAUCGCACCCUUGUCGUUCGACUCGCCGGCGCCUCUCUGACCGCACCACGAGCAACUUCCCCUCAGCUGUGACAGGGUCGGGCCGCCCCCUACACAACCGAGCCGCCAAAUCAUCUCCGCCUUGGAUUCAAGUAACCAUCGCCACGCCAGAGUCAAUGGCCCCUGCACAACAUACGUUCGCAGCGUCUGAGCCGUCAUGGCCUGCCUGAGCCCUCGCCGAGCCGCCUGUUUAGAAUGGCUGUCAACAUACGGCCGUGUUAAAUCACCGUUGUUCCUUGCUGGGUCACUGGAGCCCCUCUGCCACUUGUGAGCCGCCACCACGGACACGACUCCGCUCCAAGUCGCCUCCGCCUUGGUCUGCCUGCUCGAACUCUGACCCCUGGGUUGUCCAUCUGCCGCGGCCGUCCCCCACGCUGGUUUUCUGUACCGCCCCGCGCGGCUCCAGCUCACGCCCGGUCUUCUCCGAUUCCCAGCUCGCUGUUCCGAGUCACUUAUGGCCUGAGUCACUGGUCUGGCCGGUUCUGGCACGCCAUGUAAGACGAAUCUCCGCAACCACAAGCGCGGAGGAAAAAUUCGCGCCGCAAUAGGGCAGCGGCAUGCUGGUCAAACUGGGAUGCAACGUCGCGUGUGAUCAAACCGCGGCUACAAAUCUCUGUUUCUUUACUUAAGAGCCAGGCGCUCUUUUCUGCUACUGCAAUUGUCGCGUGUACGAAGCAAAACAGUUCCAGGUCAAUGAAAAAUCUACCGAGGUUAGUCAAACAGGGGAGUCUAGCAGCACGAUUCAUGGGAGGACCAUCAAGUGCUUCGUCUACAGACAUCCGACAAGUCCAAAGUCUAGUUACCAUACUAGCACAUCUUACGGGAGGACCACCAGUGCUAUGUCUACGUACUGCAUCCGCCGACCACUACUGCUGAGUCGCCAUGGCCAUGUCUCACUGAGCCGUCUCUGCAUCAAAUCCGAUUGCCUACGGUCCCUCGUCAAGCCACUGUCUCACCUCGCCGGAUGCCUCCUCAAUUUCAGCAGUGCCGAGUUGAUCCGACCUGGCGCCCUUCCAAACUGCGGUGACCCGCCCCCUACAAACCGCCACCACGCUCGCCGGCUCGCAGCUCGGGCCGCCCAUGCGGUCCUUCCACGACCCUCGCCUCGCCUCGCUCUGCGCCCGGCCGCCGUCCAGGCUGGUGCCUUGCUUCACUGGCGUCACUCACUUGGCGUUUUCAAGCUGACCGGCCGCCGUUGAGCCGCCCCUGCUACGGCCGCCGUUGAGCAGCCCCCGCUGUCAUCGCUGGCCACGAACCGCCUUACCGCGUUGUUCUGUCGCGGUGUCUUGCAGCAAGUCGCCUCGGCCCCAUGCUACCGCGAGCCACCUUGCCGCCAGAACCGCUGUCAGGGCCUCCACAGGUUUGAGCCGCCCUCGCCUCUGACGCAAGUCGCCCUGUGUGGCCUCGUCCUGAGACGCCCCUGCCGGCUAUCCGUUUCGACCCCCACGACCUCAAGUUGACCUGCUUCUGAGACGCUGUGACUCAUGCUGCAAAUCGCCGCCUUUGAACUGCCGCUGCCAUUGAGAGCCUUUACCUCGCCUAACCGGGUGUUCCACCAGCACCGGCCCUUCGCGUUGCCGAGCUGCCCUUUGUUUGAAACCGCCGAGGCCGCAACCCACCGGUGCCUCCAUUGAGCCGCCGUUGCACGUCACCUCUAUCUUGGUCCGGAGCCUCUGGGCCAGCCUGUAACGCUGCUGAGUCACCACUCCGGGUUGCCUCCGUCGUCGUGCCUCGAGUUGCCAUGUUCCUCCUCCGCCUCGCCGGGGGCUUCCUUGAACCGCCUCGCUCUGCCACGGAUGCGCCACCCUGCCUUCGAGCUGCUCCAUUUGACCCGCCGGUGCGGCCUUGAGCCGUCCCUGCCGGUUGCGUUUUGCUUUAAGCCGCCCCUACUGGAGGACACCUUGCACCUUGCCGGCACGGUGCUGCAUGCCCUCUCUGUUUCAACGCAUGAGCCGCCAGAUGACAAAAGUUAUGCAAGACCAAAGCAAGGUGCCAUUAUUUCAUGCAAAAAUUGGCCAUGCAGUGAUCCCACUGGUUUGACCGGUGCUAAGUGGUACUUGAGGCUACCCACGUGGGAUUAAGCACAAAAGUACCAGCGAUUUGUGGUGAGCCACCCUGUUGUCGCCCGGCGCUUUAAACGCCUCUGUCGUCGUCUCACCCUUGCGGUGAGCCGCCGCUGCCCACUGGCCUUGACCCGCCUGUUGUCGCGCUUCAAACCGCCACCUCUGUCGUUGUUGCUGCAACCUACAGCUAAUAUUUCUUCAUAAAAAAUAUCAGAAUUCAUCAUUACAAAGGAUGCCAUCAAGCUAUGGCCCUUACCUGCACCGGAUGGGUUAAUGGACAGGGUCAAUUAUAACCCGCCAAGAAUAAACAUAUUCCAGUAAUCCAUUGGUCAUAUCAUGAUCAAGCAUGGAGAGUCUCAAGCCAACGCCUCAAGUAGUCUUAAGACUCAGGGGCUAGAAUGACAUGACUCAAAUAAACUUGCCAGUUUCAGCGGGCUCAAGAACUUCGGAUCAUUGGAGGGUAGAUAACCCGGUCCCAGAGGCUACCGCCAUAUCGGUAAAAAUUUAAGGGCCGUCAGAAAAUUUCUGGCUAAAAAUGAAGCAAUUCCGGUUUAAAAACCGGUUCAAGGGAAAUCUGUUAUGUCCCACAAAGCUCUGAAGCUCUCAAUAUCCGGCUCAACACCCGGUUCAAGAAGAAUUUAUCUUUUGCAAAAAGUUAAAGGUUGCCGAAGAGGACCUGCUGCCAUGAUGUGCAGUUCAAAAAUGGGUAUCCUGCCUAAUGGGCUUAUCACAUUAUUGGUCACUUGGGGGCUUCCUGUUCAAACAUAGGUCGUAUUCGAACCAAAGAGAACAUAGCUGUCGGUACCCUCUUGAUCAGCGCAAUGCCAAACCCACUAGGGGGCUUCUUGAUCAUAUUCGAAUCAUAGCUUAACCCCUUUUGGGUCCGACUUUGAUCGUAUUCGAAUCAGAGUCGUUAAAAAACUCUCAAGGUCCUCUGGGGGUUUCCUGUUCAAACAUAGGUCGUAUUCAAACCAAAUAGAACAUAGCUGUCGGUACCCUCUUGAUCGGCGCAACGCCAAAGCCACUGGGGGCUACAUGAUCGUAUUCGAAUCCUAGCUUAACCCCUUUGGAAUGGUUCACUGAUCGUAUUCGAAUCAGAAGCCUCGAUUUUUCUUUCUAUUUGGCUUAAGUUUUUUGAAAACAAUCUUUGAUUUUGUCUUGAGACUUUUCUGUUCAGAUCUAAGUAUAAGUGUGGUUUAAAUUUAACCCGGCUUGGUUUUGGACGAUAAGUUGCCAACAUAUGACAAACAUCAUACAUUUGGAAGUGAGUGGCUUCUAAGGAUUGGGUUAUCACCCAUACUGCACAGGUAUCCUAAACCGACAGUACGAUUCAAUAUCAUAGGAACCGGUUUUCCAAACCCGAUUAUAUUAUUCAAUUCUUUAAUAGCCAACAUGGCUGGAUUUUUAUUAUGGUUAUCAAUAGCCAGUAUUAUGAUGGAGGUCUUCAAAGUCGCUUCAGCGCAAUGACUAUUAUUUUAUCAAUGGGCAUGAUUUAUUUUACAAUCGAGGAAAUAGUCCCGAGUCGCUGCAGCUUACGACCCGGCACUUGAGGGCUACAUUAUUCAAGUUGAGAUUACAUCAAAUAUGCAAGUCUCAUGUCGCUGCGAGCAUGCACCAUGACACUUGGGGGCUAAUGCAAAGUCAUUUUUAUUGGCCUUAUUGAAGACCCGACUCAUCCCAUUGUAAUGAGCCGGCCCUUGUGGGCUACCAAUUGCUCCUGUCAAAAAUUCAAGGUACACAAGCUUCAGCCCAUUAUAUUGAAAGAUCCACUACUCAGUUGGUAGAGUACAAAGCUCUUAACCUUAUGUAUGGACAUGGGUUCAAGCCCCAUGGUGGAGAUUACACCAUAUGAUGUUAUCAUCAAUAAAUUAUAUACAAAGUCCCAGCUCAGUAUUAUCUUACUGAGCCGGCCCUUGGGGGCUACACGUUGCUACUCAAGUUUACAUGAUCAUAUUUACAAAAGUCCCUGCUCAUUAUUUCAUAAUGACCCGGCAUUUGGGGGCUACAAGUGAUAUGAAUAUAUUGGAGUUCUACAUCUUCAAGCUCGCUGAAAAUCAGAUGAGUAUUUCAUGUCCAAUGUUUUCUAUUAUGAAGCUAGUCUAUUGACUCGGAUUUUCUAGAAGAAGGAAAUACCAAGGAAUUAAGGCUGAUCAGGUGCCAGCUUACAAGAGCUUUUAACACGGAGCAUAAUCUGUCAAAAUUGUUCUUGUGUUUGUUUUACAGGAUCAGUUUAACAUGGAUGAAUCCAAAUUAAACUGGGGGCUAAUGUCGGGGAUAUACCCCGUGGUAUGACCCGGCCGGAGAUAUGACCCGGCUGGGACAUGAUGUUUCAUUGGUGACCCGGCAGACUAUAAGCCGGCGGGAACAGUUAGGCAUUGUAAGCCGGCAGGCACAGUCAUGUAACCCGGCAUACACAGUCAUGUAACCCGGCAUACACAGUGAUGUAACCCGGACAGACACAGUCAUAUAAGCCGGACAGUUAAGCCGGCAGAUGUUAAGCCAGACGGUAAGCCAGAUGGUAAGACAAAUCGUAAACCAGACCGUAAGUCAGAUUGUAAGCCAGAUUGUAAGAAGCCCAAGACGUUAAGAAGCCCAUGGAGAGAGGCCCGUGAUGAGAGGUCAGAAUAGUUUAAGUCUUAGUCCGAGAUGGACUCUACAUGUAACCCGCCCCUUCAUCUUAUAUAAGGAGGGGCAGGGCUCCCAAAAGAGGGACAAGCAACAAGAAACAAUCUCUAGGGCUAGACACAAAGAGCCAUCUUACCGGCGACUCUCUCAUGAGCAUAAUGAGACCUAGCCACAAACAGCAUGUAGGGCUAUUACCGGAUGAUGUUUCCCGGGGCCCGAAGCUGUCUAAAUCCUUGUCUUCGGUGUCGCGUCUCUCGUCCCGAUCAACCCCUCUCAAGCUACUACAUAGAUGCGUUGGCCUCACGACUAAGUCCUCACACUAGGACAUCUGCCGUGACAAUUCCACGACACACGUCGCCCCGGCCAAUGGCAGCGCACCACGUCAGCUCCGCCGCCGCCCACAACCAACCAGGAGGCGACACGUCACCCAUGCCUCGUCGGCGACCGCCGCCGCGCCUCCCCGAUCGCGUGCCCGCGCCUCCUCGCACGCCGCCUCGUUUGCCGAACCCCGUCGCCGACCGCCCCGCACCGGCGCACGAGCGCCGCCGUGUCCCGCGCCUCACCCAUCGCCGCCAGUUCAUCNNNNNNNNNNNNNNNNNNNNNNNNNNNNNNNNNNNNNNNNNNNNNNNNNNNNNNNNNNNNNNNNNNNNNNNNNNNNNNNNNNNNNNNNNNNNNNNNNNNNNNNNNNNNNNNNNNNNNNNNNNNNNNNNNNNNNNNNNNNNNNNNNNNNNNNNNNNNNNNNNNNNNNNNNNNNNNNNNNNNNNNNNNNNNNNNNNNNNNNNNNNCGCCGGCCCCAGAUCUGGACGCCGCCGUCCCGGAUCGGCUUCGCCCCCGAUCCAAACACGCGUCCCCCCCAAGAUCUCUCCAUCCCGCACGGUUCCGGCGCGAUUUCGCGGGGUGAGAUUUCUGCCAAGUCCCAACAUUCAUACAUCAUGUGUGCAUAUUCAUCAUGACAUAACUUAAUGUGCGCUGCUCCGUUUUAUGCGUGUGAUAUGUCAAAAUGUUCACCAUGAGAUGCUCUUCACCUCAUUCCAUUGUGCCAUGUUUUUUUGAGUCCAUCUUGAUGCCUUAAUCAUUGUUACAAAAGUGCUAUAUGAUGUUAACUGCUUACUGUUAUCAGAACUUGGUGAUUUGUCUUUUUCAUUGCAUUUUGUGUGUGCAUCCUAUGAGCAUGAGCUCUACACGUGUUUUGAACUACAUCAUGCCAUAUUUACAGGGGUGCUUGUCUUGAAUUUUAUUGAUAUAUGUGGUGUCUAGCACAAGCAUGCAAACUAGCCUCCUUGAUGUUGUUGAUUUCUGUGACUUGGUCAUUUCUGCUAAGUCUGUAGCUGUAACAUUGUGAUGCUAUGUAAACCUGCUGCUACCAUGAGUUCGAUGCAUAAUCUGGAGAUGUUAACUAAGGGUCUUUUGUUAUACAUGUUAUGGUGUAUCCAUCCAUGCCCUUGGUUGCAUUUAUAGCCUGCUGUAGCUUGCUUAAAACUUGCUCUCAAUUUGCUAAAUAAUGAUGCUGUCAGCCUGUUAAUAUGAAGUUCAGUUUUGACAUGUGUUUUGCUAGUGAUCCAUUCACCCUAUAAAUUUCUCUUGCCAUGCUUAGCUUCAUAAAUGUGCCUUAUUACUGUUUGUCACCUUGUCAUGCUAUGUAAUACUCUCUGGUGAGUGGUACAAGCUCACCAAAGUGCCUAGUUAUCGUUGUUGCAGCCAUGAACUGUUAUUUUCAUCGUCUGGAUCUGUUUAUGAAACUUGCUAUGUUUACAUGGGUGCCAUCAUAUCUUAUGUGCAUUUUUGGCUCAUGAUCAGUAAGAUACUUUUGUUCUAUAAAAUUAGUAGAUUCAUGCCAUCACUUUGUUUGCUACGAUAUGUUCCUGUAGCAUGUUGUUUGAUAGCUCUAAACUUAGCAACCUGAUGUUAUUUCUGCCAUGUCCAGUGAUUUCUGCUAAGUCUGUGAAACUGUUAUUAUUUGCAAUCUUGCCAUGUCCUUUUGAGCAUGCUCUAGUGAUUUCUAGAGAUAGCUCAGUGUUCAUGUUUUGUCGUGCUUUACCGGUACAUUUUGUCCAUGCCUUUUACUCUCAUGUUAGGAUGCUGUAGCAUACUGCUUUGAUGCCUGCAAAAUGCCUAGUUGCUGUUUUGGACAGAUUGUUAUUAUAUCUUGUUUGGAGUGUAUGUGUUGCACCGUUGCUCCGUUUUGAGCAUGCUCUAUAUGAAACUUGCUUAGUUUUGCAUGAGGUUCCAUAUUAUCAUGUUGCAUCCUUGUUUUGAGAGUGUUUGCUUGAUGUUUGAAUGCAUUUUGCAUCAAUGCUAUGUUUAACUUGGUUUGCUCAUAUCUUCUAGGCCGUAGGUCCGAACUAAAUGAACUUUAUAUGUAACUUGACUAGAAUUUCAUGUAGAUCAUCUUGGUGCAUCUUAACUUGCUGUUUAACAACUUGAACAUAAGGUUUAUUCCGAUCUGGACCAAUUUUGAAAUUUGCAUAUGGGGAUUUACCGGAAUUGUUAUAGGUUGUUUCCGGCCUCAUUUAAACUUUCUUUGAUGUGUUGCUCUUGUAUGCAUCAUCUCUUGCCAUGAGUAGCAUCACAUAGCCUUGUCAUGCAUCAUACUUGAUUGAGCAUCAUGCCUUGUUCAUGUGUGGUGUGUUUACCAUGUUGUGCUCCUUCUCGAUAGUUCCCGUAUCGUUGCGAUCGUGAGGAUUCGUUCGUCUACGCUUGGUUCGUCUUCGUGGCUUCAAUCUUCUUCAUGGACUCGUUCUUCUUCCUAGAGGGAGUUCAGGCAAGAUGACCGUAACCUUGGAUCUCAUUACUAUCAGUGCUAUGCUAGGUGCUUCGUUCUAUCGCUAUGCUGCGCUACCUAUCACUUGCUCUUCAAGCCUCCGAAAUUGCCAUGAAACCACGUCUAACCUUUGUCACCGUUCCUAGUAAACCAUUGUUUGGCUAUAUUACCGUUUUUGCUCAGCCCCUCUUAUAGCGUUGUUAGUUGCAGGUGAAGAUGAAGUUUUCUCCAUGUUGGAUUAUGCUUAUGUUGGGAUAUCACAAUAUCUCUUAUUUAAUUAAUGCAUCUAUAUACUUGGUAAAGGGUGGAAGGCUUGGCCUUAUGCCUGGUGUUUUGUUCCACUCUUGCCGCCCUAGUUUCUGUCAUACCGGUGUUAUGUUCCUUGAUUUUGCAUUCCUUACGCGGUUGGGUGUUAUGGGAACCCCUUGACAGUUCGCUUUGAAUAAAACUCCUCCAGCAAGGCCCAACCUUGGUUUUACCAUUUGCCUACCUAAACCUUUUUCCCUUUGGAGUCGCGCUCCCGAGGGUCAUCUUUAUUUUACGCCCCCGGGCCAGUGCUCCUCUAAGUGUUGGUCCAAACUAGAGCCCUUUGCAGCACCACCUCGGCGAAACUUGAGGCCUGGUUUUAGUUGUACGGAUUGCUCAUCCGAUGAGCCCUGAGAACGAGAUAUGUGCAGCUCCUAUCGGGAUUGGUCGGCACAUUCGGGAGGCUUUGCUGGUCUCGUUUUACCAUUGUCGAAAUGUCUUGUAAACCGGGAUUCCGAGACUGAUCGGGUCUUCCCGGGAGAAGAAUAUCCUUCGUUGACCAUGAGAGCUUAUAAUGGGCUAAGUUCGGACACCCCUGCAGGGUAUUAUCUUUCGAAAGCCGUGCCCGCGGUUAUGUGGCAGAUGGGAAUUUUUUAAUGUCCGGUUGUAGAGAACUUGACACUUGACUUAAAUAAAACGCAUCAACCGCAUGUGUAACCGUGAUGGUCUCUUUUCGGCGGAGUCCGGGAAGUGAACACGGUUUUGGGUUAUGUUUGAACGUAAGUAGUUUCAGGAUCACUUCUUGAUCAUUGCUAGUCUCACGACCGUUCCGUUGCUUCUCUUCUCGCUCUUAUUUGCGUAUCUUAGCCACCAUACAUUGCUUAGUCGCUGCUGCAACCUCACCACUUAUCCUUUCCAUACCCUUUAAGCUUUGCUAGUCUUGAUACCCAUGGUAAUGGGAUUGCUGAGUCCUCGUGGCUCAUAGAUUACUACAACAACAGUUGUAGGUACAGGCUUUGCAAUGAUCAUGACGCGAGAGCGAUGUUACUUGUUUUGGAGUUCUUCUUCUUCUUCUUCUUCGAUCAGGGGAUAGGUUCCAGGUCGGCAGCCUGCGCUAGCAGGGUGGAUGUCGUUUGAGUUUCUAUUUGUGUUUCAUCCAUAGUCGGAUGUUGAUCUUAUGUAUGAUGUAUUGGUGUAUUCUUGGGGUGUUUGUGCCUUUUGUAUGUUUCCCCAUCUAUUAUGUAAUGUUGAUGUAAUGAUAUCCACCUUGCAAAAAGCGUUUCAAUAUGCGGGUCUAUCCUUGGUGGGACAUUCGAGUUCCUCUCGGAUAGGGUCGCAUAUUGGGCGUGACAAGUUGGUAUCAGAGCCUCGACCGACCUUAGGAGCCCCCCUUGAUUGAUCGUAUAGUUUGGCCGUUGUUGAGUCUAGAAGAAAACUGUUUUUGGGAGUCUAGUUAUAUCGCAGAGUAGGAAUCCUUUUUACUCCUCAGCCCCUUCGUCGCUCUGGUGAGGAAUCUUGACGUUGGUGUUUCGACUUACUUCUCUUCCCCUUCAAUUUUUCUUUAGGAUCACGCGGAUAGUUUUCGUUCGUUGUCCAUCCUCUUUUCAAUCCGGCGCAUUUUUUCUCCGAGUGGUUUCGCUCCUCGCCAUCUUUUGCAAGAUCAGUCCUUAGUGCUUUCUCAACCAACGUUGUUUCCCCAUCCGAAGUUAUCCUUGUUUUUCCCACCCGCCCACCCUUCUUCUUCUCGGAGCCGGAGUCCGUAAUCGAGUAUCCAUCCUACUCGUGUGAAGCCUUUGCAUUCUUUCCUCAAGUAUUUAAACUCUACAAGCUAUUCAUCGGUUCUCCCUUUCAAGUUGCCUUUGUUUCCCGCCCUCCCACCCUCUUUUUCCCGGAGCUUGACUCUCUUUCGAGCAUCACUUUCAUUCGUGCGGAGUAUCUUCAGUCUUUCCUCAGUUGUCUCAACCGGUGAAUUCUCGCCUAGUUAAUCAAUGUUUGUCUCAUUUCCUUUUCCGAUGGAUUCAAUUCCAAUUUUCGGUAGUGAUUAUAUUCUUUCCUCGGCUCAAAUGUUUCCCGUUGCUCGUUCCCCUCUCGUCAUUUAAUCGUUCCGGAGUGAUGAAGACAUCUCAGGAGAUUUGUCUGUGUUCGAAUUAAUCUGAGGUUAUCACCUCAUUCAAAUAUUUCAAUUGUUCCGGUGCAUCAUCUAUCUCUGCAACAAUCUUUUUCAACGGUGUUUCUUUUUAGUGGGCCCUAACCCACAGGUCUUUUCCCAGGAUCUUACCUGACUCUUCUAAGUUUCCCGGAGUUAUUCUCAAAUCCUUUUCGAAGUUUGACGUAAGUAGGAAUUUCAUCAGUCAGAUGCUUCUCUAAGAUCGCUUUCAAAUUCUUUCAUGAUCGGGUCAACCUUUUCCUCCUUUCAUUCUCCCGGAGUAUCUCAUCAAUUUUGGUGUUGUUUCUCGUCGUCAUUCUCAACAUUUGAGGACCGAAGAAGAGUUUCGUUUAAAUCUUGCCCAUUCUCUCGGAGAUUCGUGGUGCUAGCUUCAUGUUAUCCUCUCAAAUUAUUCUAGUCGUGCAAUUCUUUUCAUCCAUCCAGAGUAUUUCAGGAGCUGUUUUCUCUCUCGAUCAUCUAAAGGCCAUCUUUUCAGAAGAUUUCUUCGUCCUAAGUUUUCAGAUUCGUUCUCCAAUUAUUCUAUAUUCGUGCCCCUUCGUUCGUUUACAUAUUCUUCCGGUGCUUCAUUCAAGUAUGCUUCAAUCAGCUCGCGAUCUCUUCUUUCAAUUGCAUCCUGAUUCCCUCAAGUAUAUUCGUGCUUUUCCUAUUUUUCCCGGUGAGUCAUUCUCCUUCGUCAUUCAAUUUUGAAUUCUAACGGUGGUUCGUUCAAGACCCCUUGUCAUUUGUAAUCAUAUCAAUUAAUUCGUUCUUUCCAAAUCCUACCGGUGGUUCAUGAAGACUUUCUCAAGUUUUGCGCUAUAUCCCCCCUUAAUCUUUUCCAACGCGAAUAAGUGGUAUGCAAAUCCAUGGUAUCUCAUCAAUUUAAUUGAUGGAGGAUAGGCAUAACAUAAUUCUUAUUCUUCCCCAUCAAGUUAUCUAAUCCCUCCCUUCAGAGUUGUUCAUGUUGAAUAUACUCUAAUCCCAAGUGAUUCCAGCUUUCUUUCCGGAGUUCCAAGCUUCCUCGGCAAUCUCGUCGGAACCUCCAUCGGAAUCAUCGCAAGGCUCAAAUCUUAUUCUAUUCAUCCUUCAAUUCUAUCCCAUAAUCCUUUUUGCAACCGGAGUGGUUUCGAAUUCAUUCGUAUUCCUUGAGCUUUGAUUCCCAUCGUAAUCGUCGUUCCUCUUUUCUAUUCGGUUGCCCUCGACCUUGUUCUUUCUCUCUUUUUUGCUCUUAUUUCACCUCAUCUUCUUUCCCUUCCAUCUCGGUCCUAAGAUCUCGGGACGAGAUCUCUUGUUAGUGGAGGAGUGUUGUAACGCCCCGGCUUCGAUGCGCCAGGUGUCUUCCAGUUUUUCGCCGUCUUUGUCAUGUCAUUUGAUUGCAUGUUUCAUUUUGCCAUGUCAUCAUCUGCAUUUCAUCUGCAUGCUUUUCAAAACUUGCAUCUGCCCUUUUUCCCCGUUGUCCGUUUCGUGAUCCGACACACUCGCACGUGCCCGUCGCCCCUCUCAGACCUUGGUUCGCGAGCGGGAGAAAAACGUUCUCGGAAUGGGCCGAGAUUUGCCGAGUGGCCUUGGUAUAUCACCGGCAGACCGCCCGUCAAAUUUCGUUCCAUUUGGAGGUCGUUUGAUUCCCCAACGGUUAACCGCAUAGCCCGAAAGCCCCUUUUGUCUUGCAGCCCAACACCCCUCCAAAUCAGCCCACUAACCCAGAAAAACCCCUCCAUGCUCUCGGUCGUUCGAUCACGAUGGUGUGGGCGAAAACCGCACCUCAUUUGGACUCUCCUAGCUCCCUCUACCUAUAAAUAUGUGACUUCCCCCGAAAAUCCCAAAUGAAACCCUAGCCUUCCUCUUCCUCGCGCCGCCGGACUUGUCCACCGCCGCCAGCCACAUCGCUCCGGCCAAUGGCAGCGCGCCAUGUCAGCUCCGCCGCCACCCACAGCCAACCAGGAGGCGACACGUCGCCCCUGCCUCGUCCCACUCCGUCGCGGCCCGCCAGGCCCAUGGGGAGCCCGCCCCAGGCCCGAUCUCGCGCCCGCUCGCCCGUGCCACUGCCGGAGAGCGCGGCCCGCUGCCUCAUCGACGACCGCCGCCGCGCCUCCUCGCCCGCUACCUCNNNNNNNNNNNNNNNNNNNNNNNNNNNNNNNNNNNNNNNNNNNNNNNNNNNNNNNNNNNNNNNNNNNNNNNNNNNNNNNNNNNNNNNNNNNNNNNNNNNNNNNNNNNNNNNNNNNNNNNNNNNNNNNNNNNNNNNNNNNNNNNNNNNNNNNNNNNNNNNNNNNNNNNNNNNNNNNNNNNNNNNNNNNNNNNNNNNNNNNNNNNNNNNNNCCGGCCCCAGAUCUGGACGCCGCUGUCCCGGAUCGGCUUCACCCCCGAUCCAAACGCGCCUCCCCGCCCGGAUCUCUCCAUCCCGCACGGUUCCGUCCCAAUUUCGCGGGGUGAGAUUUCUUCCAAGUCCCAGCGUUCAUACAUCAUGUGUGCAUAUUCAUCAUGCCAUAACUUCAUGUGCGCUGCUCCGUUUCGUGCGUGUAAUAUGCCAAAAUGUUCACCAUGAGAUGCUCUUCGCCUCAUUCCAUUGUGCCAUAUUUGUUUGAGUCCAUCUUGAUGCCUUAAUCAUCGUUGCAAUAGUGCUAUAUGAUGUUAACUGCUUACUGUUAUCAGAACUUGGUGAUUUGUCUUUUUCAUUGCAUUUUGUGUGUGCAUCCUAUGAGCAUGAGCUCUACACAUGUUUUUAACUACAUCAUGCCAUAUUUGCAGGGGUGCUUGUCUUGAAUUUUUUGGAUAUAUGUGGUGUCUAGCACAAGCAUGCAAAGUAGCCUCCAUGAUGUUGCCGAUUUCUGUGACUUCUCAUUUCUGCUAAGUCUGUAGCUGUAACAUUGUGAUGCUAUGUAAACCUGCUGCUACCAUGAGUUCUAUGCAUAAUCUGGAGAUGUUCACUAAAGGUGUUUUGUUAUACAUGUUAUCAUGUAUACAUCCAUGCCCUUGGUUGCAUUUAUAGCCUGCAGUAACUUUUUGCGAACUUGCUCUCAAUUUGCUAAAUAAUGUUGCUGUCAGCCUGUUAACAUGAAGAUCAGUUUUGACAUGUGCUUUUCUAGUGAUCCAUUCACCCUAUAAAUUUUCUUUUGCCAGGCUUAGCUUCAUAAAUGUGCCUUCUUACUUUUUGUCACCUUGUCAUGGCAUGUCAUGCUCUGUGGUGAGUGGUACAAGCUCACCAACAUGCCUACUUAUCAUUGUUUCUGCCAUGAACUGUUAUUUUCACCGUCUGAAUCUGUUUAUGAAACUUGCUAUGUUUACAUGAGUGCCAUCAUAUCUUCUGUGCCUUUUUGGCUCGUGAUCAGUAAGGGACUUUUGUUCUAUGUAAUUAGUAGAUUCAUGUCAUGCGUUUGUUUGCUAUGAUCUGUGCCUGUAGCAUAUUGUUUGAUAGCUCUAAACUUAGCAACCUGAUGUUAUUUCUGCCAUGUCCAGUGAUUUCUGCUAUCUGUGAAACUCUUAUUAUUUGCAAUGUUGUCAUGUCCUUUUGAGCAUGCUCUAUUGAUUUCUAGAGAUAGCUCAGUGUUCAUGUUUUGUCAUGCUUUACCUGUACAUCAUGUCCAUGCCUUUUUCUCUCAUGUUAGGAUGCUGUAGCAUAUUGUUUUGAUGCGUACAAAAUGUCUAUUUGCUGUUUUGGACAGAUUGUUGUUAUAUCUUGUUUGGAGUGUAUGUGUUGCACCGUUGCUCUGUUUUGAGCAUGCUCUAUAUGAAAUUUGCUUAGUUUUGCAUGAGGUUCCAUAUUAUUUUGUUGCAUCCUUGUUUUGAGAGUGUUUGCCUGAUGCUUGAAUGCAUUUUGCAUCAAUGUUAUGUUUAACUUGGUUUGCUCAUAUCUUCUAGGCCGUGGCUCCGAACUAAAUGAACUUUAUAUGUAACUUGACUAGAAUUUCGUGUAGAUCAUUUUGGUGCAUCUUAACUUGCUGUUUAACAACUUGAACAUAAGGUUCAUUCCGAUCUGGACCAAUUUUGAAAUUUGCAUAUGGGGAUUUACCGGAAUUGUUAUAGGUUGUUUCCGGCCUCAUUUAAACUUGCUUUGAUGUGUUGCUCUUGUAUGCAUCAUCUCUUGCCAUGAGUAGCAUCACAUAGCCUUGUCAUGCAUCAUACUUGAUUGAGCAUCAUGCCUUGUUCAUGUGUGGUGUGUUUACCAUGUUGUGCUCCUUCUCGAUAGUUCCCGUUUCGUUGCGAUCGUGAGGAUUCGUUCGUCUACGCUUGGUUCGUCUUCGAGGCUUCAUCUUCUUCAUGCACUCGUUCUUCUUCCUAGCGGGAGUUCAGGCAAGAUGACCGUCACCUUGGAUGUCAUUACUACCAUUGCUAUGCUAGUUGCUUUGUUCUAUCGCUAUGCUGCGCUACCUAUCACUUGCUCUUCAAGCCUCCCAAAUUGCCAUGAAACCACGUCUAACCUUUGUCACCCUUCCUAGCAAACCAUUGUUUGGCUAUGUUACCUCUUUUUGCUCAGCCCCUCUUAUAGCGUUGUUAGUUGCAGGUGAAGAUGAAGUUUGCUCCAUGUUGGAUUAUGCUUAUGUUGGGAUAUCACAAUAUCUCUUAUUUAAUUAAUGCAUCUAUAUACUUGGUAAAGGGUGAAAGGCUUGGCCUUAUGCCUGGUGUUUUGUUCCACUCUUGCCGCCCUAGUUUCCGUCAUACCGGUGUUAUGUUCCUUGAUUUUGCAUUCCUUACGCGGUUGGGUGUUAUGGGAACCCCUUGACAGUUCGCUUUGAAUAAAACUCCUCCAGCAAGGCCCAACCUUGGUUUUAUCAUUUGCCUACCUAAGCCUUUUUCCCUUGGGAGUCGCGCUCCCGAGGGUCAUCUUUAUUUUACGCCCCCGGGCCAGUGCUCCUCUGAGUGUUGGUCCAAACUAGAGCCCUUUGCAGCGCCACCUCGGGGAAACUUGAGGCCCGGUUUUAGUUGUACGGAUUGCUCAUCCGAUGUGCCCUGAGAACGAGAUAUGUGCAGCUCCUAUCGGGAUUUGUCGGCACAUUCGGGCGGCUUUGCUGGUCUUGUUUUACCAUUGUCGAAAUGUCUUGUAAACCGGGAUUCCGAGACUGAUCGGGUCUUCCCGGGAGAAGAAUAUCCUUCGUUGACCAUGAGAGCUUAUAAGGGCUAAGUUCGGACACCCCUGCAGGGUAUUAUCUUUCGAAAGCCGUGCCCGCGGUUAUGUGGCAGAUGGGAAUUUUUUAAUGUCCGGUUGUAGAGAACUUGACACUUGACUUCAAUAAAACGCAUCAACCGCGUGUGUAACCGUGAUGGUCUCUUUUCGGCGGAGUCCGGGAAGUGAACACGGUUUUGGGUUAUGUUUGAACGUACGUAGUUUCAGGAUCACUUCUUGAUCAUUGCUAGUCUCACGACCGUUCCGUUGCUUCUCUUCUCGCUCUUAUUUGCGUAUGUUAGCCACCAUACAUUGCUUAGUCGCUGCUGCAACCUCACCACUUAUCCUUUCCAUACCCUUUAAGCUUUGCUAGUCUUGAUACCCAUGGUAAUGGGAUUGCUGAGUCCUCGUGGCUCACAGAUUACUACAACAACAGUUGUAGGUACAGGUUUUGCAAUGAUCAUGACGUGAGAGUGAUGUUACUUGUUUUGGAGUUCUUCUUCUGCUUCUUCUUCGAUCGGGGGAUAGGUUCCAGGUCGGCAGCCUGGGCUAGCAGGGUGGAUGUCGUUUGAGUUUCUGUUUGUGUUUCAUCCGUAGUCGGAUGUUGAUCUUAUGUAUGAUGUAUUUGUGUAUUCUUGGGGCGUUUGUGCCUUUUGUAUGUUUCCCCAUCUAUUAUGUAAUGUUGAUGUAAUGAUAUCCACCUUGCAAAAAGCGUUUCAAUAUGCGGGUCUAUCCUUGGUGGGACCUUCGAGUUCCUCUCGGAUAGGGUCGCAUAUUGGGUGUGACAAGUUGGUAUCAGAGCCUCGACCGACCUUAGGAGCCCCCCUUGAUUGAUCGUAUAGUUUGGCCGUUGUAGAGUCUAGAAGAAAACUGUUUUUUGGAGUCUAGUUAUAUCGGAGAGUAGGAAUCCUUUUUACUCCUCAGCCCCUUCGUCGCUCUGGUGAGGAAUCUUGACGUUGGUGUUUCGACUUACUUCUCUUCCCCUUCAAUUUUUCUUUAGGAUCACGCGGAUAGUUUUCGUUCGUUGUCCAUCCUCUUUUCAAUCCGGCGCAUUUUUUCUCCGAGUGGUUUCGCUCCUCGCCAUCUUUUGCAAGAUCAGUCCUUAGUGCUUUCUCAACCAACGUUGUUUCCCCAUCCGAAGUUAUCCUUGUUUUUCCCACCCGCCCACCCUUCUUCUUCUCGGAGCCGGAGUCCGUAAUCGAGUAUCCAUCCUACUCGUGUGAAGCCUUUGCAUUCUUUCCUCAAGUAUUUAAACUCUACAAGCUAUUCAUCGGUUCUCCCUUUCAAGUUGCCUUUGUUUCCCGCCCUCCCACCCUCUUUUUCCCGGAGCUUGACUCUCUUUCGAGCAUCACUUUCAUUCGUGCGGAGUAUCUUCAGUCUUUCCUCAGUUGUCUCAACCGGUGAAUUCUCGCCUAGUUAAUCAAUGUUCGUCUCAUUUCCUUUUCCGAUGGAUUCAAUUCCAAUUUUCGGUAGUGAUUAUAUUCUUUCCUCGGCUCAAAUGUUUCCCGUUGCUCGUUCCCCUCUCGUCAUUUAAUCGUUCCGGAGUGAUGAAGACAUCUCAGGAGAUUCGUCUGUGUUUGAAUUAAUCCGAGGUUAUCACCUCAUUCAAAUAUUUCAAUUGUUUCGGUGCAUCAUCUAUCUCUGCAACAAUCUUUUUCAACGGUGUUUCUUUUUAGUGGGCCCUAACCCACAGGUCUUUUCCCAGGAUCUUACCUGACUCUUCUAAGUUUCCCGGAGUUAUUCUCAAAUCCUUUUCAAAGUUUGACGUAAGUAGGAAUUUCAUCAGUCAGAUGCUUCUCCAAGAUCGCUUUCAAAUUCUUUCAUGAUCGGGUCAACCUUUCCUCUUUUCAUUCUCCCGGAGUAUCUCAUCAAUUUUGGUGUUGUUUCUCGUCGUCAUUCUCAACAUUUGAGGUCCGAAGAAGAGUUUCUUUUAAAUCUUUCCUGUUCUCUCGGAGAUUCGUGGUGCUAGCUUCAUGUUAUCCUCUCAAAUUGUUUCUAGUCGUGCAAUUUCUUUUCAUCCAUCCGGAGUAUUUCAGGAGCUGUUUUCUCUCUCGAUCAUCUGAGGGCCAUCUUUUCAGAAGAUUUCUUCGUCCUAAGUUUUCAGAUUCGUUCUCCAAUUAUUCUAUAUUCGUGCCCCUUCGUUCGUUUACAUAUUCUUCCGGUGCUUCGUUCAAGUAUGCUUCAACUAGCGCGCGAUCUCUUCUUUCAAUUGCAUCUUGAUUCCCUCAAGUAUAUUCGUGCUUUUCCUAUUUUCCCGGUGAGUCAUUCUCCUACGUCAUUCAAUUUUGAAUUCUAACGGUGGUUCGUUCAAGACCCCUUGUCAUUUGUAAUCAUAUCAAUUAAUUCGUUCUUUCCAAAUCCUACCGGUGGUUCAUGAAGACUUUCUCAAGUUUCACGCUAUAUCCCCCCUUAAUCUUUCCAACGAGAAUAAGUAGUAUGCAAAUCCAUUGCUUCUCAUCAAUUUAAUUGGUGGAGGAUAAGCAUAACGUAAUCCUUAUUCUUCUUUCUUCAAGUGGUUUUAUCUCUUCUUUUCGGAGAUUUUUCAUCUUAUCACAUUCUCGGUUCAAAGUGUUUUCAUCUUUUCUUUUCCGGAGUUCGAAGCUUCUCGCCGAUUUCGUCGCGAACCUCCAUCCAAAUGAUCGCAAGGAUUUCAUCUUAUCCCUUUCAACCUUCAAUUUUAUCUCGUCAUUCUUUUGUUACCGGAGUUCAUCAUGGCGGCUCGUCAUGAUUUAAUUCAUUCUUCAAGUGUUCAUCAAGAUUCUUGUAGGCAUAGCUCAAGUAUCUUCUUCUUGCUUCUCAAAGUGCAAUUAAUUCUCCAUAUUCUUCUGAAGUGGAGUUUUUCAUUUCCUCGUUCUUCUCAGCUUUUCAAUCUUUUCCGCUUGUGGUAGGUUACCACCUCAUAAUUUUGAGAUGUUAUCCAUAAGUCCACAACAAUCUUAUUCUUUUGUUGUUGAUUUUCCAACAACUCCAUUCAAUGUUUCCUUCUAAGGAUGCUCUCUAUUUCAUUCAUGGUAGAAGUUGUCAUCUUCUUCCCCGUUCUUCUCAUUCCACUCAUUCAAGUCUUCCGGAGGUUUUGUGUUGUUCCUCAAGUCAAGUAUCGUUCCAUUUCUCAAGUUCAUGUUCUAUUCUUUCCUUAUUCAGCCGGAGUGCUGGAUAAAUUCCUUCAUUAUUAUUCCUUUUCUAUCUUGUCCUAACCGGAGUGGUUUCAAAUUCAGCCUUAUUCCUUGAGCUUUUGCUUCUUGUCUCAUUCAACAUUCCUCUUUCCUACUCGAGUGUUCUUAACUUUGUUCAUCCUCACUGUUUUGUUCUUAUUUCACCUCAUCCCUAUUUCCUUCCGUCUCGGUCCUAAGAUCUCGGGACGAGAUCUCUUGUUAGUGGAGGAGUGUUGUAACGCUCCGGAUCCGAUGCGCCAGGUGCAAUCCAUUUAUUCGCCGUCGUUGCCAUUUCAUUUGCUUGCGUGUUGCAUCUUGCCAUGUCAUCAUCUGCAUUUCAGCUGCAUGUUUUUCAAACCUUGCAUCCGGUCCUUUUCCGCGUUGUCCGUUUCGCGAUCCGACACUCCCACAAGCGCCCGUCGCCCCUCUCAGACCUUGUUUCGUGAGCGGGAUAAAAACCGUUCUCGGAAUGGGCCGAGAUUUGGCAAGUGGCCUUGGUAUAUGACCGGCAGACCGCCCGUCAAAUUUCGUUCCAUUUGGAGGUCGUUUGAUGUCCCAAUGGUUAACCGCGUAGCCCGAAAGCCCAUUUUGUCUUGCAGCCCAACACCCCUCCAAAUCAGCCCACUAACCCAGCAAAAACCCCUCCAUGCUCUCGGUCAUUCGAUCACGAUCGUGUGGGCGAAAACCGCACCUCAUUUGGACUCUCCUAGCUCCCUCUACCUAUAAAUAUGUGACUUCCCCCGAAAAUCCCGGAUGAAACCCUAGCCUUCGUCUUCCUCGCGCCGCCGGACACAUCCGCCCGCCGCCGGACUUGUCCACCGCCGCCAGCCACGUCGCCCGGCCAAUGGCAGCACGCCACGUCAGCUCCGCCGCCGCCCACAGCCAACCAGGAGGCGACACGUCGCCCCUGCCUCAUUCCACUCCGCCGCGGCCCGCCAGGCCCACGGGGAGCCCGCCCUGGGCCCGAUCCCACGCGCGCUCGCCCGCGCCACUGCCGAAGACCGCCGCCCNNNNNNNNNNNNNNNNNNNNNNNNNNNNNNNNNNNNNNNNNNNNNNNNNNNNNNNNNNNNNNNNNNNNNNNNNNNNNNNNNNNNNNNNNNNNNNNNNNNNNNNNNNNNNNNNNNNNNNNNNNNNNNNNNNNNNNNNNNNNNNNNNNNNNNNNNNNNNNNNNNNNNNNNNNNNNNNNNNNNNNNNNNNNNNNNNNNNNNNNNNNNNNNNNNNNNNNNNNNNNNNNNNNNNNNNNNNNNNNNNNNNNNNNNNNNNNNNNNNNNNNNNNNNNNNNNNNNNNNNNNNNNNNNNNNNNNNNNNNNNNNNNNNNNNNNNNNNNNNNNNNNNNNNNNNNNNNNNNNNNNNNNNNNNNNNNNNNNNNGCGCUGCCCGGAUCCGGCUGCCCUGCGCCGCCCCGCCGUCAUUCGGACCUCGCCGCCCCCCUCCCCCGCUCGCCGGAGCCCCGGCGCCGGCCACCUCGUCGCCGGCCCCAGAUCUGGACGCCGCCGUCCCGGAUCGGCUUCGCCCCCGAUCCAAACGUGCGUCCCCGCCCGAAUCACUCCAUCCCGCACGGUUCCGUCCCGAUUUCGCGUGGUGAGAUUUCUUCCAAGUCCCAGCAUUCAUACAUCAUGUGUGUAUAUUCAUCAUGUCGUAACUACAUGUGUGCUGCUACGUUUUGUGCGUAUAAUAUGUCAAAAUGUUCAUCAUGAGAUGCAAUUCAUUUCAUUCCAUUGUGCCAUGUUUGUUUGUGUCCAUGUUGAUGCCUUAAUCAUCGUUUCAAAAGUGUUAUAUGAUGUUAACUGCUGUCUGUUAUCAGAACUUGGUGAUUUGUCUUUUUCAUUGCAUUUUGUGUGUGCAUCCUAUGAGCAUGAGCUCUACAUGUGUUUAUAACUACAUCAUGCCAUAUUUACAGCGGUGCUUGUCUUGAAUUUUUGUGAUAUAUGUGGUGUCUAGCACAAGCAUGCAAAGUAGCCUCCAUGAUGUUGCUGAUUUCUGUGACUUAGUCAUUUCUGAUAAAUCUGUAGCUGUAACAUUGUGAUGCUAUGUAAACCUGCUGCUACCAUGAGUUCUGUGUAUAAUCUGGAGAUGUUCACUAAGGAUGUUGUGGUAUACAUGUUAUGCUAUAUCCAUCCAUGCCCUUGGUUGCAUAUAUAUCCUGUUGUAGCUUGUUGCAAACUUGCUCUCAAAUUGCUAAAUAAUGUUACUGUCAGCCUGUUAACAUGAAGUUCAGUUUUGACAUGUGUUUUGCUAGUGAUCCGUGAACCCUAUAAACUUGCUCUUGCCAUGCUUAGCUUCACAAAUGUGCCUUCUUACUGUUGGUCAUCUUUUCAUGCCAUGUAAUGCUUUGUGGUGAGUGGUACAAGCUCUUACUGUGCCUUCUUAUCGUUGUUUCUGCCAUGAACUGUUAUUUUCUGCUGUCUGAAUUUGUUUAUGAAACUUGCUAUGUUUAUAUGAGUGCCAUCAUAUCUUCUGUGCCUUUUUGGCUCGUGAUCAGUAACGGACUUUUCUUCUAUGAAAUUAGUAGCUUCAUGCCAUGCCUUUCUUUGCUAUGAUCUGUUCCUUUAGCAUGUUGUUUGAUAGCUCUAAACUUAGCAACCUGAUGUUAUUUCUGCCAUGUCCAGUGAUUUCUGCCAAGUCUGUGAAACUGUUAUUACUUGCAAUCUUGACAUGUCCUUUUGAGCAUGCUCUAAUGAUUUCUAGAGAUAGCUCAGUGUUCAUGUUUUGUCAUGCUUUACCUGUACAGCAUGUCCAUGCCUUUUUCUCUCAUGAUAGGAUGCUGUAGCAUAUUGCUUUGAUGCGUGCAAAAUGCCUAGUUGCUGUUUUGGACAGAUUAUUGUUAUAUCUUGUUUGGAGUGUGUGUUGCACCGUUGCUCCGUUUUGAGCAUGCUCUAUAUGAAACUUUCUUAGAAUUGCAUGUAGUUUCAUCUUAUCAUGUUGCAUCCUUAUCUUGAGUGUGUUUUCUUGAUGUUUGAAUGCAUUUUGCAUCAAUGCCAUGUUUGACUUGUUUUGCUCAUAUCUUCUAGGCCGUAGCUCCGAACUAAAUGAACUUUGUAUGUAACUUGACUAGAAUUUCGUGUAGAUCAUCUUGGUGCAUCUUAACUUGCUGUUUAAUAACUUGAACAUAAGGUUGAUUUAGAUCUGGACCAAUUUCGAAACUUGCAUUUAAGGACUUACCGGAUUUGUUAUAUGUUAGUUCCGCCUCAUUUAAACUUGCUUUGAUGUGUUGUCCUUGUAUGCAUCAUCUCUUGCCAUGAGUAGCUUCAUGUAGCCUUGUCAUGCAUCAUACUUGGUUGAGCAUCAUGUCUUGUUUAUGUGUUGAGUGUUUACCGUGUUGUUUGCUUUUUUCCGGGUGUGCUCCUUCUCGUUAGUUCCUGUUUCACUGCGAUCGUGAGGAUUUGUUCGUCUUCGUGGCUUCAUCUUCUUCAUGGAGUCGUUCUUCUUCCUAGCGGGAUUUCAGGCAAGAUGACCGUCACCUUGGAUCUCACUACUAUCAUUGCUAUGCUAGUUGCUUUGUUCUAUCGCUAUGUUGCGCUAUCAGUUGCUCUUCAAGCCUCCCAAAUUGCCAUGUCAGCCCCUAAGCUUUUCACCCUUCCUAGCAAACCGUUUUUUGGCUAUGUUACCGCUUUUGCUCAGCCCCUCUUAUUGCGUUGCUAGUUGCAGGUGAAGAUGAAGUUGUUCCAUGUUGGAACAUGGAUAUCAUGAACUUUGUUGGGAUAUCACAAUAUUCUCUUAUUGAAUUAAUGCAUCUAUAUACUUGGCAAAGGGUGGAAGGCUCGGCCUUAUGCCUGGUAUUUUGUUCCACUCUUGCCGCCCUAGUUUCUGUCAUGCCGAUGUUAUGUUCCUUGAUUUUGCGUUCCUUACGCGGUUGGGUGUUAUGGGGACCCCUUGACAGUUCACCUUGAAUAAAACUCCUCCAGCAAGGCCCACCCUUGGUUUUACCAUUUGCCUACCUAAGCCUUUUUCCCUUGGGAGUCGCGCUCCCGAGGGUCNNNNNNNNNNNNNNNNNNNNNNNNNNNNNNNNNNNNNNNNNNNNNNNNNNNNNNNNNNNNNNNNNNNNNNNNNNNNNNNNNNNNNNNNNNNNNNNNNNNNNNNNNNNNNNNNNNNNNNNNNNNNNNNNNNNNNNNNNNNNNNNNNNNNNNNNNNNNNNNNNNNNNNNNNNNNNNNNNNNNNNNNNNNNNNNNNNNNNNNNNNNNNNNNNNNNNNNNNNNNNNNNNNNNNNNNNNNNNNNNNNNNNNNNNNNNNNNNNNNNNNNNNNNNNNNNNNNNNNNNNNNNNNNNNNNNNNNNNNNNNNNNNNNNNNNNNNNNNNNNNNNNNNNNNNNNNNNNNNNNNNNNNNNNNNNNNNNNNNNNNNNNNNNNNNNNNNNNNGCCACCUCGGGGAAACUUGAGGCCUGGUUUUAGUUGUACGGAUUGCUCAUCCGGUGUGCCCUGAGAACGAGAUAUGUGCAGCUCCUAUCGGGAUUUGUCGGCACAUGUGGGCGGCUUUGCUGGUCUUGUUUUACCAUUGUUGAAAUGUCUUGUAAACCGGGAUUCCGAGACUGAUCGGGUCUUCCCGGGAGAAGGAAUAUCCUUCGUUGACCGUGAGAGCUUAUAAUGGGCUAAGUUGGGACACCCCUGUAGGGUAUAAACUUUCGAGAGUCGUGCCCGCGGUUAUGUGACAGAUGGGAAUUUGUUAAUGUCCGGUUGUAGAGAACUUGACACUUGACUUAAAUAAAACGCAUCAACCGCAUGUGUAACCAUGAUGGUCUCUUUUCGGCGGAGUCCGGUAAGUGAACACAGUUUUUGGGUUAUGUUUGACAUAAGUAGGAGUUCAAGAUCACUUCUUGAUCGUUGCUAGUUUCACGACCGUUCCGUUGCUUCUCUUCUCGCUCUUAUUUGCGAAUGUUAGCCACCAUACAUGCUUAGUCGCUGCUCCAACCUCACCACCUAUCCUUUCCUUACCCAUUAAGCUUUGCUAGUCUUGAUACCCAUGGUAAUGGGAUUGCUGAGUCCUCGUGGCUCACAGAUUACUACAACAACAGUUGCAGGUACAGGUAUUGCGAUGAUCAUGACGCGAGAGCGAUGUUACUUGUUUUGGAGUUCUUCUUCUGCUUCUCUUCGAUCUGGGGAUAGGUUCCAGGUCGGCAGCCUGGGCUAGCAAGGUGGAUGUCGUUUGAGCUUCUGUUUGUGUUCCAUCCAUAGUCGGAUGUUGCUCUUAUGUAUGAUGUUGUUGUAUUCAUGUGGCAUUGUAUGCCUCUUCUAUGUAUCCCCAACUAUUACGUAAUGUUGAUGUAAUGAUAUCCACCUUACAAAAGUGUGUCAAUAUGCGGUUCUAUCCUUGGUGGGACCUUCAAGUCUCUUUAGGAUAGUAUCGCAUAAUGGGCAUGACAAGUUGGUCGGGUCGCUACAAGAUGGUAUCAGAGCACACGUUGAAUGUAGGACACGACCACUAAGAAAAGCCAUAGGUCACUCUUCUCUACUCAUUUCUUACUCCUCUCCAUUUUCUACUUUUUAGGAUGGCAGACUCGAGGAAUAAGUUUGCACAACCGGAUGAAGACAUACCUUUUGGACGACACUUGAAGGAAGUCACUAGGUACCUGAACAUCGGAAUACCAAGCUUCAUCGGGACCUACACCGCCACUAUUCCAGAAGAGGAUCGAUGGAUGAUUCGAGUUCAAGUUCCAGGAAGGACAUGUAUGCCAGUUACAGAGCCCAUAGAGUUUUCCUUUGAUGCACCCACCUGGAGCCUAGGCAAGAGCAUGGCAGCCCACAUUGCUAUGGGACGUAUUGGAGAAGUCUACAAAAAGGAGCUGAAGGACACUAUCUACCAGAUAUGUGGGCGCCGAGAUGAGAAAUGGGAGAUAGUCAGCGCCAGGAGAGACAGGUCCAUUGCAACAUUCAUCCAGGAGCUAAACCAGCACAUUAGACGCCAGGAGAACCAGAUGUGCACAAGCAUGAUAGAUUUGAAGAAGGCGAUGACAAGGAUCACCGAGCUAGAAGAGGAACUUAAGUCCACGCACGACGGAUAUGAGGAGGAAAUUGCAAUACUAUUGGAGAAGAAUGACGACCUGAUAAAGAAGAUCGGCGUGUUCAUGGGAGAUCCCCCACCAGGAAGAGAUGAAGAUGAACCCUAGGAGAUUCGUUUUGAAGACUACAUCAUCAUCGACGACACCGACUCUGACUCCGAUGAUAGUGAUGAUGAUUAUGAAGACGAAGCUGGAGCGGAUAUCAUGGAGUCUUCCACCGAUCAAAAUUUCUAGAUGACCACCAUAUGACUAGAAGUAUUCCCCCUGUAUAUAGUAGUAGUCUGAGCAUUUUCAACGAUAGUUCUAGACCGAUUGUAUGCCCUUGCUUGAUUGAUUGAGUGAUAUGAUUGUGUUUGUCUCAUGUGCAUAUGGUUAGUGCCUUCUCACUAGACCUCAUUUCUAUUCUAAUCUCUCCCCUCUAAACCCAUCAGAUGCCUCCGAGACGUGACACCGGAUUUUUCUUCCCAUCGGAGAUCUCCCAAUUGAUCCAGCAGCAGAAUGCCUUGAUGCAGAUAUUAGUCCAGAACCAAGGCAACAACAACAACAACAACAACAACAACAACAACCACCCACCUCCAGUUGACAGCUUAGCCCGUUUUUUGAUGUUACAGCCGCCGGUGUUUUCUAGUAGCAUCGAGCCAAUAGUUGUGGAUGACUGGCUACGUAGGAUUGGAAGGGAGUUGACCACCACAGGUUGCACAGAUGCAGAGAAGGUGCGUUUGGCCGCACACCAGUUGGAUGGACCAGCAGCCUCAUGGUGGGAGAAUUACACAGCCACCUUCCUAUAGCCAAUAUCACUUGGGAUCAGUUUCAGCAAGCAUUCCGCACAGCUCAUGUCUCAACUGGAGCUAUGAGCAUGAAGAAGCGUGAGUUUUGCAACUUGCGCCAGGGAAAUCGUACAGUGUCUCAGUACGUAGAUGAGUUUAGUAAGUUGUCUCGUUAUGCCCUUGAUGAUGUGGCCACGGAUGCCGCGAAGCAGGGGAAGUUUAUGGAAGGGCUUAAUGAUGAGAUGAGCAUGCAGUUGAUGGUGGCAACAUUCACCAACUACCAGGAGUUGGUAGACAAGGCCCUUAUGAUUGAAGGGAAGCAGCAGCAGAUUGAGAGCCGCAAGAGGAAGUAUGGACAAGGAAGGUACAACUCAGGAGCUCAGCAGAAGCCUUGUUUAACCCCGAACUCGGGAGGAUUCACCCAUAACCAUGGAGGCCACACCCACAAUGGAGGGAGUUCUCACAACCACAAUGGCCCCAAGAAUGGCAAUGGGAAUGGAGCAAGCAGUAAUUAGAACCGCUCCAAUACAGCCACACCCGCCAAGAAGGACCUAAGUCACAUUACUUGUUUCAAGUGCGCGAAGACUGGACACUAUGCCACUGAGUGCCCUGAAGCGAAGAAUGGGAGUGGAAAUGGAAGCGCUGGGAAGAAGCCCAACCCUUUCAACAGAGGACAAGUGAACCACGUGAACGUGGAGGAGGUUGAGGAGCAGCCUGAUGCAGUUAUCGGUAAGUUUUCGGUUAAGUCAUUUACUGCAAUUGUUCUUUUUGAUACCGGUGCAUCGCAUUCAUACAUAUCAAGGGGAUUCGUGGAUAAGUAUAAGUUGCCCACUAAAGUACUAAGGACACCUAUGUUAGUAAGCUCACCAGGAGCGGAGUAUAUGGCAAGUCAAGGAUGUUUUCAGAUGCCAUUGACCAUUGGAAGCCAUGUUUUCCCCUCAGACUUGAUAAUUUUGGAGUCACAAGGAUUGGAUGUGAUACUAGGCAUGGAUUGGCUAUCGAUGUAUGGGGGCAACAUCGAUUGCAUGAGUAAGUCAAUUUUACUCACCACCCCGGAGGGAAAAAGGAUCAAGUAUGUUUCCAGGCAUACGCCGAGGAGGACCCAAGUAAAUUCUCUCAAGGGAGUUGUUCAGGAGGAAGUGCUUGUUGUGAAGGAUUACCCAGAUGUAUUUCCAGAGGAGUUACCAGGCAUGCCGCCAGAUCGAGACAUCAAGUUUUUGAUAGAACUAUUGCCAGGCACCGGGCCUAUAUCGAAGUGACCAUACCGGAUGCCCGCGAAUGGUUUGGAAAAGAUCAAGAAGCAGAUUAAGGAGUUGUUGGAGAAAGGUUACAUUCGACGAAGUUCAUCACCAUGGGGAUCCCCAGUGCUCUUGGUUGAUAAGAAGGAUGGAUCGUUAAGAAUGGUUGUUGAUUAUCGUGCGUUGAAUGAAGUAACAAUCAAGAAUAGUACCCACUGCCAAUGAUCAAUGAUUUGUUUGACCAGCUGCAAGGAGCUAAAGUGUUUUCGAAGAUCGAUCUGCGAGAAGGAUAUACCUAAAAUAGCUUUCACCACAAGGUAUGGGCUGUAUGAGUAUACGGUUCUGUCGUUUGGAUUGACCAACGCCCCUGCCUAUUUCAUGAGUAUGAUGAACAAGGUGUUCAUGGAGUUCUUGGAUAAGUUUGUCGUGGUGUUCAUUGAUGAUAUCUUGGUAUACUCGAAGAAUGAAGAGGAACACAAGGAGCAUUUGCGUUUAGUUCUCGAGAAGCUCAGGGAACAUCAGUUAUAUGCCAAGUUCAGCAAAUGUGAGUUUUAGUUGAAGGAAGUUGGAUUUCUUGGGCAUGUUAUAUCUGGGGAAGGUAUAGCAGUGGAUCCCACCAAGGUUCAGUUAGUCACUGAGUGGUUGGCACCCACCUCAGUUGGAGAGAUCCGCAGUUUUCUUGGACUCGCGGGAUAUUAUCAGAGAUUUAUUGAUAAUUUCUCCAAGAUUGCGAUGCCGAUGAUAGUAUUAUUCAAGAAGGACACCAAGUUCCAUUGGACUGAAGAAUGUGAAGCAAGUUUCCAGGAGUUGAAGAAACGUCUGACUACAGCCCCAGUGCUGAUUCUGUCGGAUAUACGCAAGGAUUUCCAAGUGUAUUGCGACGCCUCUCGCUUAGGACUUGGAGGAGUACUUAUGCAAGACGGAAGAGUUGUUUCGUAUGCCUCACGACAAUUUCGACCGCAUGAGUUGAAUUACGCCACGCAUGACCUACAGUUAGCAGCAGUAGUGCAUGCGCUUAAGACCUGGAGACAUUUUCUUAUUGGAAACCGUUGUGAUGUGUACACGGAUCAUAAGAGUUUGAAGUACAUAUUCACCCAGAAGGAGCUGAACCUCAGACAGAGGAGAUGGUUUGAGCUUAUAAAGGAUUAUGACAUGAAGUUGCACUAUCAUCCAGGUAAGGCCAAUGUCGUAGCAGACGCUUUGAGCCGGAAGAGUUAUGUCAAUACCCACGUAAGCGGAGGAAUGCCAAAGGAGUUGAUAGAAGAUCUCAGGGUUUCGCUUGGAGAUAGUCCCUAGAGGUUUUGUUGCAGCGUUGGAGGUUCAGUCAACAUUAUUGGGAAAGAUUCGAGAAGCUCAGAAAGAUGACAAAGAAAUUGCCGAAAUAAAGGAGAAGAUGAGUGAAGGGAAAGCCAAAGGUUUCCGUGAGGAUGAGCACGACACCUUGUGGUUUGUGGAACGUGUAUAUGUGCCCAAUAAUGCGGAGCUCAGGAAGUUGAUACUACAAGAAGCUCAUGACUCACCAUACUCGAUACACCCCGGCAAAACCAAGAUGUUUUUGGACUUGUUGAGGAUAUAGACCUUAGAGUCACCCGCCAGGAGGGGCCGGGUUACUCUUAAUGGUCAUCGCCAGGAGCCCGGCGCCAAGCUUAAAGACGGUGGGCCAAAGAUGGGCUUAAGACCCGGAUGUGGCUUAAGGCCCGUAGUUACAAUCAUUAUUAUGGUAGAACUUGUAGUGUAAGGCAAGGAUAGUUGAGAGUCCGAGCCGGACAAUCUUAUGAGCCGGCCGGGACUCUGAGAGCUGCUGGGCAUCAACCUCCCUAUAUAAAGGGACGACCCGGCGGCGGUUUAGGGACAAGAAAGAUCUCAUCGAGAGCCAGGGAUAGCAGUCAAGCUCCCUGGUCAUCGAAACCCUAAUCAAUACCACCUCAACUGGACGUAGGCUUUUACCUUCACCGUAAGGGGCCGAACCAGUAUAAACCCUCGUGUUCCUUGUCCCAUUAACCCCUUCAAGCUUCCUAGCAGCGAUGGCUCCACGACUAAGUCCUAGCUUGAGGACAUCUGUCGUGACAAUUCCACGACAGUUGGCGCCCACCGUGGGGCUAGCGCACGGUGGAUUUGAGUUCUUGAAGGGCAGCUUCGAAGGGCUCAAGGGAUACGCUGUGGGCCGGAUGACCAAGAGUCGUCGCAGAAAGCUCUACAUCGACGAUGCAAACUGGGGCCCCGAUGCCGGCUCAAUUGAGUACGGGUACCGGGUCCCCUUCGGCGGAAUUCAUGUUUUCAUUGGCAAGAUUGGUGAGCCGGGCCCUGAGCCGGAUCUCUGCGCCGAUCUCAUCGAGACGGCUCAGCGUGCACGACCCGCCCAGGCCCGGCCUGCCUUAAGGCAUGCUUUUGUGGGAUGUAUCCAUGGAGGGCUCUCUGAUCGAUCUGGAUCUAGUGAUGAGACGGCCGCCGGCUCUGACGGCGAGUCGUCCACCGAUGAGUCAAACUCGUUGUAUCAACUUCAAGAUGGCAGGCUCAUGGGUUGUUCCGAUGGUGAUAGUAUUCCGGACCCGUUUGAGCCGCCAAGCCGGGUUGGAAUCUUCAUGGCCGGUGCGCAGCCUAUUCAGAACCCUGCUGCUGGAGCGGGAAACCCGGUGCCCUCGCCGGCUCAGGUGCUAAUGGAUCUCACGGACAAGAUGACGGCCCUGUUAACCGCCACGGUUGACCCGGCGGAUCAAGCUCAGCAUGAUGCGGAGGUGGCGCAGUUAAAAUUGGAUCUAGUGAAAGCUAAGGAGGAUCUAGCAGUAGAAGGGAUCAGGAUGGCGGUGGAGAGGGCGGCUCUCGAUGCCCAAACCCAGUUGAUUCAAGCGCAGUCCUUCCGGCUCACGAUGGAUCAAAACGCGUCCAAUGAAGUCCUGAGAAGGAGGCAUCAAAAGGCCCAAUCUCGACUCCCUCCGGUUUACGAUCCACGAAACCUCUUCAACACGCCAGGUGCAAGGUCUAGUAACCCGCCAGGGGUCAUAGUGCCCGGGUCUGGGACCCCUAUUCAGCCGCAAGUAAUGGGGCCUCCCCAGGUGCACCCUGCCCCGCCUCAGUACGUGCCAAUACCACCGGGUCAUUAUAACAACCCGCUGGAGAACAUGGUCGCCGCGGCAGCACGGCUGGCGGCUCUCCCAGUCGACGGUGACUCUCCGACGGCUAUUGAGACCCGCCGGGUCAGGGAACUCCUUCAGACAGCACUGGCGCAGCAAGAGGCGUACUCCUACAGCCGGGACAGGAUCCACUCGACCCCUCGUCCAGGCCGGAGCCCGAAUUACAACAGACACAUGGUCUCAGCGACAGGCUCAAGUAACGUCCGACGCCAUGACCCGCCCCCUGGCCAUGGCCCGGCUCAUAACGGAGCCUUUCACGCAGCAGACCAAGACAGAGCGCGGCAAGAGCCAGAGCGGGUGCCUCAAUUGACGGCGUACCAGACUCCCCCGGCUUAUCCGACGACUUCCGUCGACGUGGGUAUCCCUACCAGGACUGGGGGUCUCCCUUGCUUAGUGCCAGCUAUCCGCAAUGAACGUCUACCCAAGGACUUCAAAGGCCCUAGGAAGGUGCCCAAUUACACGGCAGACUUACAACCCGCAGCCUGGAUCGAGAGUUAUGAGAUGGCCAUGGAACUGCUGGAGGUCAGUGAAGCGGCCAUGGCUAAGUACUUCACCAUGAUGUUAGAUGGUACUGCCCGCACUUGGUUGAAAGGGCUACCACCGAAUUCCAUUGGGUCUUGGGCGGAGCUGAAGGCCCGGUUCAUCCAAAACUUCAAGGAUACCUGUAGGCAGUCUAUGUCAAUUGUGGAUUUGACUAACUGCAAGCAGCAGGAGGGUGAGUCUACGACACAUUGGGUUCGCCGGGUUAAGGAGAUAAUACAUUCCUCGGAUAAGAUGGAUGCCGGCUCUGCAGUCUUAAUGUUGGAGCAGAAUUGUCGUUUUGUGCCCCUGAAAAUGAAACUCGGGCGGCUUAAGCGCGACAGCAAUGAUAUGGGCACACUGAUGGCGGCUCUUGUCAAGUACGCCGAUUCUGAUGGUACCAAGGACCCCGCUUCAGAUGAUGAAAGGACAUGGAAGGGAAAGAAGAACGGCAAUGGCAAGGGUCCGUCAGCAUAACCCGGGAAACCAAGGAGGAGGCAAGCGCAAGGCCGAUGGCAGCCUAGAGUUUGUAGCCAACGCCAGCUCACAAGGUAAUAACCAGCGACGCAAGGGGAGGCCCCUUCCCCGAGCCGGCAGGUCAGGCCCGACGCUGGAGCAGCUGUUGAAUGAGCCUUGUCCAAGGCAUGGCUCUAGAGAGAAGCCAGCUACCCAUCUAUGGAAGGAUUGUGCAAUCAUGAAGGCCUUUAAGAAUUACAAUAGCCCGGGCGGCGGCUCAGGCGCCGGCGGCUUUCAUGGCCCGGGCGGCGGCUCAAAUUCUAAUCCUCAGAAUGGUCAAGGGGGCUUUAAUCAGCAGGCUGGCCAGGGUCAUCAACAACAGCAGGGGGGUUAUCAGACCAAUCCAAAGCAGCUUAGCGGUGGACAGUAUCAUGUUUUUACCACCAGUCUGUGUAAGCGAGAUCAGAAGCUUCAUAAGAGGGCUGUGAAUUCUGUUGAGCCGGCGGUUCCACGCUACUUGCGGUGGUCUGAGCAGCCUCUAGUGUGGAGUAGGGAGGAUCACCCUCCCCGGGUGGAUAACCCGGGCCACUUGGCCUUAGUGAUGGCUCCUCAGGUGGGAGGAUAUAAGUUCACUAAGGUGCUCAUGGAUGGAGGCAGCAGCAUCAACAUCCUCUAUUAUGAGACGUUCCGUCGUAUGGGGUUGAUUGAUAAGAACCUCAGCCAGUCCAGCACUAUUUUCCAUGGUGUGGUACCUGGUAAGUUGGCUUAUCCAGUCGGCAAGAUCGAAUUGGAAGUGGCCUUUGGAGAUGAGCACAACUACAGGGUGGAAAAAUUGACCUUUGAGGUGGUCAAGAUAAGAAGUCCGUACCAUGCCAUAUUUGGGCGGCCGGCUUACGCCAAGUUCAUGGCACGGCCGUGUUACGUGUAUUUACAGCUCAAGAUGCCGGGUCAUAAUGGGACCAUUACGGUUCAUGGAAGCCGGAAGGUGGCCCUGGAGUGUGAGGAAGGCGAUGCAGCUUAUGCAGAAUCUGUUUGUGUAACAAAGGAGUUAAAAUUUUACAAAGACAACGUUGACCCAACAGAUAUGACCUCUCUGAAAAAGCCGACUACGGAGCAUGAGCCGGCAAUGAAAUUCAAGUCGGCUGAUGAGACUAAACUUGUUGAUUUCAUUCCAGGAGAUUCAUCUCAGCAAUUUAGCAUCAGUGCCAAUCUGGAUCCAAAAUAGGAAAGCGUGCUCAUUGAGUUCAUCCGUGAGAAUAGGGACAUCUUCGCGUGGAAACCUUCUGACAUGCAAGGUGUACCUAGAGAACUCGCUGAGCACACUCACAAUGUUGAUCCGAAAUUUAAGCCGGUCAGGCAGUUCCUUCGGCGGUUCAAUGAGGAGAGGCGGAAAGCUAUUGGUGAAGAGGUGGCCCGGCUCUUGGGGGCCGGGUUUAUUGUGGAAGUCUUUCACCCAGAAUGGUUAGCUAACCCGGUCCUCGUACUCAAGAAGAACGGCACUUGGCGGAUGUGUGUGGACUACACGGACUUAAACAAGGCGUGUCCGGCUGAUCCUUUUGCCCUUCCCCGUAUUAAUCAAAUUAUUGGUGCUACGGCAGGUUGUGCGCGCUUAAGUUUCUUGGAUGCUUCUUCCGGAUACCAUCAGAUUAAAAUGGCAGUUAAGGACCAGCAGAAGACGGCAUUCAUCACUCCCUUUGGAGCCUUCUGCUAUGUGUCUAUGCCCUUUGGACUCAAGUGUGCACAGGCGACUUAUCAGCGUUGUGUGCAGAACUGUCUUCAUAACCAGAUUGGGCGCAAUGUUCAUGCUUAUGUGGACGAUAUUGUGGUUAAGUCCAUAAAGGAGGAAACCCUGAUAGAUGAUUUAAGGGAAACCUUUGAUAAUCUCCGGGUUUACUAGAUGAUGCUUAACCCGGCCAAGUGUGUUUUUGGUGUUCCUGCAGGCAAACUCUUGGGUUUCUUGGUUUCUGACAGAGGCAUUGAAGCUAACCCGGAGAAGAUCAAGGUCAUCACCUCCCUGGCUAAGCCAGCGUGUAUAAAUGACGUUCAGCGCUUGGCGGGUCGCGUCGCUGCUUUGAGCCGGUUUAUAAGCCGUUUGGGUGAGAAGGCUAUGCCAUUAUACCAGUUGAUGAAGAAAACUGAUAACUUUGUCUGGAAUGAUGCAGCCAAUACUGCUUUUGAGGAUUUGAAGAAGCAGCUGGCCGAGCCCCCAGUCCUUGCUGCUCCAGUUGACAAGGAGCCUCUAUUGCUGUAUGUGGCUGCUAACACACGAGCCGUCAGUGUGGCUGUGGUGGUGGAGCACAAGGAAGAGGGUAAGGAGCAUCCGGUUCAACGGCCGGUUCAUUAUGUCAGCGGAGUGCUCAUUGAGUCCAAGCAACGGUAUCCGCAUUGGCAGAAGCUUGUUUAUGGGGUGUUCAUGGCAAGCCGGAAGCUUAAGCAUUAUUUCCAGGGUCAUCCCAUCACUGUGGUCAGUUCUGCCCCCCUUGGUGAUAUCAUUCAAAACAGAGAGGCCACAGGGAGAGUGGCUAAGUGGGCUAUAGAGCUCGGACCCCAUGGUCUGAAAUACGUGCCACGCACUGCUGUUAAAUCUCAGGCCUUGGUGGAUUUCAUCAAUGAUUGGACAGAGUCACAAGUGCCCGAGCAAAAGCCGGAUAACACAUAUUGGACUAUUCACUUCGAUGGGUCCAGGCAGUUGGAGGGUUCGGGGGCUGGAGUCGUAUUGGCUUCCCCUAAGGGUGAUAAGUUCCAUUAUGUGCUACAAUUGAUAUUUCCUUGUACCAACAACGCAGCUGAGUACGAGGCCUUCCUCCACGGUCUUCGGAUGGCUAAGGAGAUGAGCUUGAGCCGGGUAAGGUGUUUCGGUGACUCAGACUUGGUGGCUCAACAAGUAUCAGGCAAGUGGGACUCUAAGGACCCUCUCAUGGCGGCUUAUCGCCGCGAAGUUGAUGCCAUUGCUGGGCACUUUCAGGGCUAUCAAGUAGAGCACAUUGACCGCAGGAAGAACGAGGCGGCUGAUGCCCUAAGCCGGCUGGGCUCUCAGCGAAAGCCGGUGCCGCCUAAUACUUUCCUGGAUGUCCUGUAUAACCCUUCUGUUAAGCUGCCUAUAGAGGAAGACUUGGCUGUCCCUGACCCGGAGGCACGAUUGGUGGCGGCUCUCCACAUCAUACCGGACUGGACAAUGCCCUAUCUGGCUUACAUGACCCGGGGAGAGUUGCCUGAGGAUGAAACUCUAGCCAGACAAAUAACCCGGCGGGCUAAGUCAAUGAUUGUUAUCAAUGGCGAGUUGCAUCACCGCAGUGUUACGGGAGCAUUCCAGCGUUGUGUCUCCCCUGAGGAAGGUCAAGAGAUCUUGCGUGAGAUUCAUGAAGGGGAUUGUGGCCAUCACGCCGGCUCAAAAUCUCUUGUGACCAAGGCUUUUCGUCAUGGUUUUUAUUGGCCGACGGCUCAUGCUAAUGCGGAGGACUUGGUCAGUAAAUGUGACGGUUGCCAAAGGUUCUCACGACGGGCUCAUGUGCCGGCUCAGGAGCUGAGGAUGAUCCCAAUUACUUGGCCCUUUGCGGUCUGGGGGCUUGAUAUGGUUGGGCCUUUUAAAAGGUCCAAAGAUAAGAAGACCCACCUCUUAGUGGCAGUUGACAAAUUUACCAAGUGGGUUGAAGCGGAGCCAGUUAGCAAGUGUGAUGCAGCCACGGCGGUUCAAUUUAUGAAAAAGGUGAUUUUUCGCUUUGGCUUUCCGCACAGCAUUAUAACUGACAAUGGCACCAAUCUAUCCAAAGGCGCCAUGGAAGAGUUUUGUCAACGAGAGCAUAUCCAACUUGAUGUUUCCUCGGUGGCUCAUCCUCAAUCCAAUGGGCAAGCUGAGAGAGCUAAUCAAGAGAUUCUGAAGGGCAUCAAGCUCCGGCUUUUGGUCCCUUUGCAACGGACGCCGGGUUGUUGGGUGGAGGAGUUGCCCUCCGUGUUAUGGAGCAUCAACACUACUCCUAACAGGUCUACAGGUUUUACGCCUUUUUUCAUGGUUUAUGGGGCAGAAGCAGUCCUCCCCAGUGACAUCCGUCAUGACUCGCCUCGAGUGGCGGCUUAUGUUGAGGCGGAUAAUGAGCAGGCGCGCCAAGAUGCUCUUGACUUGUUGGACGAACAGCGUGAUGUGGCAGCAGCUCGCUCAGCGAUUUACUAACAAGACCUGCGUCGUUAUCAUAGUUGCCGGGUUAAAUCCCGGGUCUUCCAGGAAGGUGAUCUCGUGCUCCGGCUCAUCCAAGAUCAAACAGAUGCGCACAAGCUAUCCCCGCCUUGGGAAGGGCCCUUUGUGGUCAGCAAGAAUUUGCACAGCGGGUCAUAUUACCUCAUUGACAUUCGGGAGCACAAAGAUUCACGUAAGUCGGAGGAAGAGACCCCUCGGCCGUGGAACAUAGCUCAGCUUCGGCCUUACUACACUUGAGCCACCGGCUCUCAUAAUGUACAUAUUUCUCUUAGCCAUGUAUAUAUUAUGAUAAGCAAUAAAGCAGGACCUCUGUCCUUUUUUCUCCUCCAAAUGUGCACGUUUUCAUUGCAAGAUUAACAUGAUAACUUGAAGGAGGAUCCGGCUUAUGAUCGUAUUCGAAUCUAGCCGUAGGCAAUAAGGUCACUUGGGGGCUUCCUGUUCAAACAUGGGUCGUAUUCGAACCAAAGAGAACAUAGAUGUCGAUACCCAUUUGAUUGGCAAAGUGCCGAGCUCAUUGGGGAGUUUUCUUUGAUCAUAUUUGAAUCAUAGUUUAACCCCUUUGGGAACCGACGUGGAUCGUAUUUGAAUCAGCGUCGUUAAACAAUUCUUAAAAUCACUUGGGGGCUUCCUGUUCAAACAUAGGUCGUAUUCGAACCAAACAGAACAUAGCUGUCGAUACCCUUUUGAUUGGCAUCGCCACACCCACUGGGGGCUAUAUGAUCGUAUCCGAAUCCUAGCAUAACCCCUUUGGGACGCGUCUCUGGUCGUAUUCGAACUGGAAGCCCCUAAGUUUUUUCUGAUUUAUAGCGAGUUUUUCUGGUUAUUUCAAAGUGUAUACGGCCGGGUUUCACUUUGCCGGUUUAAACUUUGAUUUACAGGGUUAAUCGAAUACAACCGGUGUCAUUAAGACUGGUAAACCGGAAUUGAAGUACCAAUCUUAUUGCCCGGGUUAGCUAAGCCGGAAAUGUGCUUGCAGGCUGGUAAGUGUGUUAUUACGGUUAUAUCAAGGACAUAACUGAGGAACAGUCUUUUUUGAUUCAUAUUCCGGGUUAUAUGUUUAAAACUAUGCUUCUCAGUGCGGUAAGCCGCCUAGAGACUUGUGAUUUGUCCUUCUAUGCAGGAUAGUUAAAGGCAAUUAUUUUGAGCUUAAGGAAAAUGAAUAAUCGAUUAUGACCCGAGGAAAUAUAGAGGAGACAACUUCAAUGGACUUCAGCAUUCAACGCGUGCACGAUUGCACGGCAAAUUUAAAGUAUUGAGUCCAAAAGGGUGGAGCAUUGUUUUAUAAGCCGCCUGCAGAAUUAAGAUGCUUGCUGGGUUGACGUCUCCGGCUCAUCCCUCUCUUCUCCUCCGGCUGUUCCCAAGACCUGGAAAGUUGAUGACUUCCAGUCGAUGCCGCUCAGAGCUUCGAAUUGAGCUUCCUCGUCAAUUAACCCGGCCGGGUCAAUCUCCGGGGCGAAGGUGUGCUGACGAGUUGGCGGGAUUAAGCUGAGGGCUUCAUAGCGCGGGGUGGGGAUCCUCUGAUUCUCCGCAUUGUAACCCGGCUGGUACUUGGUCAGAUCUGUGUCGUUUCCAAUAAGGGUGGCCACCGGGCGCACGAUCUUCACGCAGGCGGCAAAGUCCCUUUGGUCGAAGGUUGUGCCGUCUUCCUUCAAACUUGGAUAACCGAGGGCGAUGUCCGCCGGGUCUAACUCUGGAAGGAAAGCCUUGGCCCGGCUCAGCGCGGCGAUCGCUCCGGCUCUUGCAGAGGCCCGUCGCAGCUCUUGGAUACGUUGAGGCAGAACGGCGAGCCGGCGAAGCACUUCCGCCAGGUGAGUCGGCACCUCAUUGGAUAGGGCCACCACAGCCAAGGCACGCUGUGACCCGGUGUAGAGUUGCUCCACCAGGGUGUACACAGCCUUCAGCUUGGUUACCACACUCUGGUUAAGGUUGGCGCCUCUCGGACCUGUUUAACAAAGUAAGAUAACCCGCCGACAAGGAUGAGUUAUGAGAUAUGAAGAUUCUAAACUUGAUGAAAACCGGUGAAAUGACUUACCGAAGAUUGCGGCAACCAUCUGGGACACUUGGCGCUUUAAGCCGGAGAGUUCGGCGGUCUUCUCUGAGAGAGCCUUCUCCGCCUGUUCAGCCCGGUUCACCAGAGCAGCCUUCUCUUCGGCCCAGGCUCUCCGUUCAGCGUCGAAGUCCGUCUUCAGUUUUUCUUGCGCAGCAAUACUGGACACAAAUUUAGCAUUUGCUUUCCGGGUCUCCGUCUCUUGCGUCUUCAGACGGGUCUUGAGAUCAGAGAUGUCAGCUUCAAAUUUCUUGCCAGCAGCCUGCAUAAUUUCCGGGUCAUAAGAUGAACAGUUACUAUACAAUCUUAAAAGUCCCAAGCACUUUCCAAGCAAAGGUACUUGGCACUUGGGGGCUAAUGCAUAUUGAACGUUUCUAUCUACAAAUUGCCGGUUCAAUUGAGUAAGCCGGAACUUAAGUCUACAGCAUAUUCUAUCAUAAGUCGUAGUCUUGGGGGCUAGAGCAUGGUAAAGGUAAAUAUGCAGUAAGUAAGAAGACAGAAGAAUAAUACCUCAGACUUCUGCUGAAUCUGGUUCACCAUGGCAAUCUCAGCAUCCCGGCUCUUGUGCACUUGGCUGACGUAGCCGGAGACGAGCUCUCCAAUGCUCAGGUUGGUGUAGUCGGUGAGGUCCAGAUUAACCCGGCGGGGCUGAAGCAGCUCCCCCUUGGCAGAACACUUGGCCAGUGCAGUAGGUCUCCCCGGCUCAACAAAUUCCGUCCGGGUGAUUACCACAUCCGGGUCAUCUGCUGGUUGAGCCGAGCUGGAGGCCUCCGGGUUAACAGAAGCUUCUGCUAUGGGCUUGUUGGUUGGAGCAGCAGCCUCAGGAGCAGAGGCAGCUGGCGGUUCUUGUGCGGCUACCUCCGGCUCAGGCAGGUCCGGCUCAUCGGCCGGCUUGUUCUUCUUCGCCCUUUUGCUGAGUUUUGCUUGGGCACUGAAAAGAUAGAAAGGUUAAGCACAAAAGUGUAAGUAAAGACAAAGUACAACAUAAGAUGACCAUUAUUACCCGGGCACAGUCUUGAAAGUCGGCAGGUUCGACUGCAUAGAGUCGCCCGAAGAGGGGGAAGUCUCCUGAUAAUUUGAGUCAGAAGAAUUGAGCGGUUGACGUAUAACACCCGCCAAAGGAUGAAAAGGGUACAAGUUGGAGAUAACCUCAGUUCAGCGCUUCCUCGAUGCGUCAGGUAACCUGGAGGAGAGGUUGGCGUCCUUGUUGGUCCGGGUGUGACGCCGGCUCUCAUGAACCUGUCGCUUCAAAAUAAAUUGAGGAUCUUGAUAAGCUAAAGGAUGUGAAAAGCUUACUUUCCGGGUUACCCUUCGGACUUUCAGCCUUGGCAAGGGCUCCGAGUCGGAGGAAAGUGACAUUACCUCUUCAACCACCGGGUUACUUGCGCCGGUGUCAUCCUGUUGAGGAAUAGUAUUGAUAAGGUGGACAGAAAUAAAUAGCAGAUAUAGCAAGAGCUUACAGGUUCAGGGGUUACCUCUGACUCGGAGCUGUCGCUUAAUUGCAUCAGCUCUGAAGCAGUAGGCCUACUUCCCUUCUUACGGGGAGCGGCUUUCUUGGCGGCUUUCUUCGCUUUUCUGGCCUUCUUGGCCGCUUCAUGGUCAUAUUUGACCUUCCAGAACUUGUCAUCAGCCUGAAAAAUACAAGGAUGAUUUCUUAAAGAUUCAGAUGACGGUUAUCUACAGAAGAAGAUAAAAUGUACAGAUCUGCGGCUUACCGCUGGGGCUGGGUUGGUCUUGCAGAAGGGGGCUAACCCGGUCCUCCCGCAGUCUGCCAGGCUCUCGUUCAAAAGAGCCUUGGUCAUAUCCUCUGCAACAUCUUCAGGAAGAUCGUUGCGGCUGUGUCUCUGGGGGUCAUCCUUUCGGCCCGUGUACUCGCACAUUAAGCCGCGGCGGCGGCUCAAUGCGAUCACCCGCCAGGAGAUCCAGACCCGGACCAGAUCGAUUCCGUUGAGACCAUUGCCCAGGAGAGCCUUGAUCUUGUUGAUGGUGGGGAGCAGAGGUUGGCGCUCUGCCUGAGUUAACUUGUCAGACAGAGGGUGAGUCGGCUCCAGACGUGAAGGGCGAAAGCCGGGCAGCGGGCUCUCGUCAGCCGACGACGUGUCUUGGCAAUAAAACCACGUCAGGUUCCAGUCCUUUGGGUGACUCCGCGGCUCGGUGUAAGGGAAAAGGCAGUCUCUCCGUCUCUGAAUGGAGAUGCCGCCUAGCUCCAAACUUGGCCCGUUGGCGCACUCGUUCUGGCGGUUCAAGUAGAAGAGCUCUCUGAAGAGCAGCAGGCUGGGCUCUUCUCCAAGGUAAACCUCGCAGAACACUUGGAAAUUGCAUAUGUUGGACACUGAGUUGGGUCCUAUAUCUUGUGGCCGCAAGUCAAAGAAAUUCAGUACAUCCCUGAAGAACUUUGAGCCGGGCGGUGCGAAGCCCCGGCUCAUGUGAUCCGCAAAAAUGACCACCUCCCCGUCCUUUGGCUGUGGUCUCUCCUCUGACGGGUCAGGGGCACGGUAGGACAUGACAUCCUUCUUGGGCAGGUAGCCUGAUUUGACAAAAUCUGCUAAUGUCUCGUUGGUGACAUUGGACCUCAUCCAAUUGCAAGUGAUGGAGGCUUUAGGAGCUUUGGGAGGCAUGGUGAAAGUCGGCAGCCUAUGAUAAAAGGAAAUGGCCGGUUUAAUUAUAAGCCGGAGGAAAUUUACAGUUCAAUGUUAAAGUCGCGGCUUACGGAGGGGACUAAUGACAUAUAUCUAGGUGCAUCAGGUUAUUUAAGCCACCCAAGGUGUUGAGAGUAAUUUGAUUGUCUACGGCCUUAUCACAGAUGAGCCGGAAAAUUCUAUGGCGCGUGGUCUCCUUUGAGUCGGAAGGUUCUACGGCGUGUGGUUGCUUUAAACGGGAAACGUAAGCCGCCAUGGCUCAACGAGUGCAGUUUUUUACUAAGUGUGGUGAAAACAAGUUUCACACAUUGCGGUAAAUAAUUUGGAUCAAGUGGUCGGCAGAAAAAGAAAAUUUCUAGACCUAAAAACAGACACGAGGGAAGUUCUUGGGCUUGAAUGGGGCCUUUAGGCAGUCAAAAGAGAUCUGCUUGCAUUUGAAAUGAGUGCCAAACAGCUACCGUGGCAGGUCUAGACAGGUCUAAGAUCAAGAAGGGCAGUAAAAACCAAAUCUACCGAAGGCCCGCGAUGAACUACGAAGAACAGAGGUAGAACUACGGAGCCCUAGUGCGGAUCUGCCCUAUGGAGUAACGAGGACUCACCGGUGCUGAAGAGAUGCGGAGGUUGCCGCCGUUUGUCUGGACCGACUCAGGGUGAUGCAGCGGCCAAGGUUGACGAAGACCGGGGGCGCGGCAGCGGCGGCGGAGUUCGAGCUCGAGCGGAGGAACAGUGGCGCGAGGAGGAAGAAGAGUGGCUGAAGGCCCGUCGGGCCGGGCUAUUUAUAAGGGCGAGCUCAUAAGUGGGCGCGAGAAACGAGGAGACCACGGCGUGGUUAUCUCCCCAUGAAACGCCUCGAUUUUCGGGAUGGCAGUAAAGAUAAGAUCCAUUGCGGAUCUGGUGGAGUAAAAAACGGGAUUAAUGGAAGAUGACGCCACGGCGGAUUACCCGGAGUCCAGAGGAUGACGUCACGCCGGGUUAUGGCCUUCACACAAAUGGCAAGCCGGAGAUUUUUUCUGUCAAAAGAAUUGAAGAUUGACAUGAGCCGGCUCAAAUCAAUCUGGGGCCUAAUGUUGAGGAUAUAGACCUUAGAGUCACCCACCAGGAGGGGCCGGGUUACUCUUAAUGGUCAUCGCCAGGAGCCCGGCGCCAAGCUUAAAGACGGUGGGCCAAAGAUGGGCUUAAGACCCGGAUGUGUCUUAAGGCCCGUAGUCACAAUCAUUAUUAUGGUAGAACUUGUAGUGUAAGGCAAGGAUAGUUGAGAGUCCGAGCCGGACACUCUUAUGAGCCGGCCGGGACUCUGAGAGCUGCUGGGCGUCAACCUCCCUAUAUAAAGGGACGACCCGACGGCGGUUUAGGGACAAGAAAGAUCUCAUCGAGAGCCAGGGAUAGCAGUCAAGCUCCCUGGUCAUCGAAACCCUAAUCAAUACCACCUCAACUGGACGUAGGCUUUUACCUUCACCGUAAGGGGCCGAACCAGUAUAAACCCUCGUGUUCCUUGUCCCAUUAACCCCUUCAAGCUUCCUAGCGGCGAUGGCUCCACGACUAAGUCCUAGCUUGAGGACAUCUGCCGUGACAAUUCCACGACAGGAAUUGAAGGAGCGUUUCUGGUGGACUGGUAUGAAGAAGGAUAUUGCCGAGUAUGUAGCCAUAUGUGAGGUAUGUCAGAGAGUGAAGGCAGAAAAUCAGAAGCCAGCAUGAUUACUGCAGCCUAUGCCAAUAACCGAAUGGAAGUGGGACAAGCUUGGCAUGGAUUUUAUCACCGGAUUGCCCAGGACCCGAUCGGGAUAUGAUUCUAUCUGGGUAGUAGUGGAUCGCCUGACCAAAGUAGCUCACUUUAUCCCAGUGAAAACCACUUAUACAAGUGUGAAGUUGGCCAAGAUAUAUAUGACCAGGAUCGUAUGUCUGCACGGAGUUCCGAGGACCAUCAUAUCAGAUAGAGGAUCACAGUUUACUUCAAAGUUUUGGCACCAGCUGCACCAGACCUUGGGAACUAGGCUAGAGUUCAGCACUGCUUUUCACCCGCAGACAGAUGGACAGACUGAGAGAGUCAAUCAGAUUCUGGAGGACAUGUUAAGAGCUUGUGCGCUAGAUUAUGGAUCUAGUUGGGAUGACAACUUGCACUAUGCCGAGUUCUCGUACAACAAUAGCUACCAGGCCAGUUUGAAGAUGGCACCGUUCGAAGCCCUGUAUGGAAGAAGGUGCAGAACACCGUUGAUGUGGGAUGAGGUUGGAGACCAUGAGUUUUUUGGACCAGAUUUGAUUAAGGAGUCUGAAGAGAAGGUUAAGCUGAUUCGAGAUAGGCUGAAGGUAGCCCAGUCCCGACAGAAGAGUUAUGCAGACUCGAAACGCAAGGAGGUAGUCUAUGAAAUCGGAGACAGAGUAUAUCUGCGAGUGUCACCCUUGCGAGGAGUUAAGCAUUUUGGAGUCAAGGAAGUUAGCCCGAGAUUUGUAGGACCGUACCGUGUUUUGGAGCGUAUGGGAGAGGUAGCCUACAAGUUGGAGUUACUCCAAGGACUGUCAGGAGUUCAUGAUGUGUUUCACGUUUCCCAGUUGAAGAAGUGUCAUGCUGAGAUGGCUGACAUACCUCUAAGAGAUACAGUGCAUCUGGAAGCAAUUCAGUUGGAUAGUGAUUUGACAUAUGAGGAGAAACCUGUCAAGAUUCUUGAAUUUGCCAGCCGCGUUACUUGCAGCAAGGUUAUCAAGUUUUGCAAAGUUCAGUGGAGCCACCAUACCGAGGAUGAAGCCACCUGGGAACGAGAGGAUGAUCUACGCAAAGACCACCCACACCUAUUUUCUAGCCAACCCGAAUCUCGAGGACGAGAUUCAUCUUAAGGGGGGUAGGUUUGUAACAUCCCAAAUUUUCAAUUUGGAAUGUUAUACAUAGGUCAUUCAUGCAUAUCAUAUUUUAUUGCAUUUCGUUUCUCGAUCCUCGAAAUUCUAAGCAACUCAAGGACCCUCGUAGAGAGUUGGGGAUUUCACCGUUUUCAUAUUUGAAUAUUAUCAAAUAUUGAAACAAGGAUCAUUUUGGUUUUAAUGAUUUUUCUCUCCGAAAAUAUUUCGAAUUAAAAUAUAUGAGAGGAGAUAAUAUGACUUCUCCAAAAUAAAUGAAAUAUUGGAGGAAAAAUAUUAAAAUCCAAUAAAUGAUUUUAUUUGGUUUUAUUGCAAUUUUAUUUGAAUUAGGAAAAAAUAUGCGUUUUUCAAAAAUUGUAUUAGAGGCCCAAAUAAAUGUUCACUUUGUCCGGAAUAUUUUUAGAGGACGGCGAAAAUUUAUUUCAGGAUUUUUGUAGUCCGUUUAGUAUUUCUUUUCUUUGUUUUUCUCCGCGUCAGAAUAUUAAAAAAAACGACCUACCGGGCCGUGUCCGCCUGGGACACCGACCCGGCCAGCCUCUUAUAAGCCGCGGCCCGCCAGCCCCCCCCCCAAACCUAGCCACCCCAAGCCCCGCACCCCAGCCGCCGCCGCCUUCUGCCAUCGCCGCCUCGCCACCGCCCCCGCCGCCGUCACGAUUGCCGAGGUAGCCGCCACUUUUUUUUAACUGUUCGGUUUUAUUUCGAAAACCUAGAUUCGUUUUUUAGAUUAGAUCGGUUCGGUAUUCCGUCGGUUUACUUAUUUUGCGGACGUUCGUCCGUACGUUCGUUUUAACGAACGCCGUUCACCCGUUAGCCACAGACAGCGAACGUUCGUUCGUUAGCCUGUUCGUCAGUUUUUCUUUUUCCAGGGUUUUCCGCGAUUAUUUUUCGAUCACGAUUUCUGCCCUAAUUUUCAUUUUAGUAUAACUUCUCGCUCGUUUAUCGAAAUCAGGCGAUUCAAGCGCCUAGAUCUUCGUCUCGAAACCCUCUUUCUGUUUAAACAACUUGAACAAGAUUUUGUUACUGUAAAAUUUGACUUUAGUCCAGAUUCGUAAACGGAUCUUGUUUCUUUCGCAGUUGUAGUUUCGUUGCUCCGUUUGAUUUGAUUCUUUUUGCAAACCGGAGUUCUUAAGUUGAACUUUCUGGUUAGAUCUCUUUAUUUGAGUUUUACCCGUGCAUCUUUGCUUGAUUGCUUAUGUAUGCUAUUUUUUGUUUGCGAUAGAAUUCCCGGAGUGCGAAGCGUGCUACUACGAGUCCCUAGGUUUUGCAGAUCAUCAGCAAGGCAAGUAACACAUUGAUCAUACCCCUUUAUUACCAGUUUUUAUGCAUUAGUUACAAUCCUCACACAUUGCAUGAGUAGGAUCUCUUAACAUGUGGGUUUGGGAAGUAGAUGUUGAGGUAGAACCUAUUACCUGUUUUAUUAUCAAACCCUUGGGAGUUACUUCUGCGUUAUGCUUAUUGCCAUGCCAUGCUCGUAGACGUGGAUUGGGUUUGAGUGUAUCCAUGACAGAUGUGAGAUUGUUAAUUAAUGGUUCAACUUAAGGUGGCAACUUUAAUACACAUCUGGGUGGAUUGCUUGUGGGCACCUGGAGAAUCCAGUAUUGUCUUAGGAUAUCCCGGAGUACCCGUGUGAUCAUCCUACGGUCCGCCACCCAGGCUCAAAGGGAUCAUAAGAUUAUUCAUGCUAGAAACUUCCGUGUGCAGCCACAAGCCAUUAUGGGCUCUGGCAUAGUUGAGCAUGUUGUGUGACCUCUUUCAGUGGUGGGCUAGCAGAUGUAGAGGGAAAGUAGGUGUAACUGUGCACCCAGAGUAAAGAGUUAAUGCUACUGAAAGACUGUGUCUCGGUCAUCCGUUUCUCAGACAUCAUGUAGUGCGAGAAAUCAAACGGAGGAGAUCGAGUCUUGUGGGGAAAAGUGUGCAAACCUCUGCAGAGUGUAUAAACUAAUCAUGGUUAGGCGUGUCCCUGGUUAUGGACAUCUUGAGUAUCUGGUAGUUGAAUUAUUGAUUUGAUCUCAUCACUCUAAAUUAAUUUGUUGGGUUGUUAAUGAUUACUUUAAUUGGGAUUGAGUUGGAGGAACCUUCUCAAUGUUGUUCAACUACCAUGAUAGUUAAAUAAAAUUUAUUCCUUUGUUGUAGGGAAAAAUUGGCUUUUCGCAAAAACCAUAUAACCAUAGAGCCUCCACCAGCCAUAUAUGCAUGUAGUGAUAGCAUUUAUCUGUUCAUUGCUCUACUGUGUUAUAUUGCCAGCAUAUUCCAUGUGCUGACCCGUUUUCGGGCUGCAACGUAUUAUGUUGCAGACUUUUCAGACGAGGAGUAAGGUUCGCUAGGUCGUUUGUCACGCACUCAGCUAUGCCGUUGGAGUUGAUGGACUCACUUUAUCUUCCAAGCCUUCCGAUGUUAUCGUUUUAGAUGGCCUUAAGCCAUAUUUAUUGUGAUAAGUUCUCUUUUGAGACAUUCGAUGUAAUAAGUGUGUGAUUGGUACUCUGCUAUAAAUCCAUUCGAGUACUGUGUGUGUCAGCAUUACCGAUCCAGGGAUGACACUGAAGCACAGAGACUUGACCGUUUGAGGUCGGGUCGCUACACGUUGUAUGUGAACGUAGAGCUUAUCACACCCGAUCAUCACGUGGUGUCUCGGCACGAUGAACUGUAGCAAUGAUGCAUACUCAGGGAGAACACUUGUACCUUGAAAUUUAGUGAGGGAUCAUCUUAUAAUGCUACCGCCGUUCUAAGCAAAAUAAGAUGCAUAAAGGAUAAACAUCACAUGCAAUCAAAAUAAGUGAUAUGAUAUGGCCAUCAUCAUCUUGUGCCUUUGAUCUCCAUCUCCAAAGCACCGUCAUGAUCACCAUCGUCACCGGCUUGACACCUUGAUCUCCAUCGUAGCAUCAUUGUCGUCUCGCCAACUAUUGCUUCUACGACUAACGCUACCGCUUAGUGAUAAAGUAAAGCAAUUACAUGGCGAUUGCAUUUCAUACAAUAAAGCGACAACCAUAUGGCUCCUGCCAGUUGCUGAUAACUGUUACAAAACAUGAUCAUCUCAUACAACAAUUUAUAUAUCAUCACGUCUUGACCAUAUGACAUCACAACAAGCCCUGCAAAAACAAGUUAGACAUCCUGUACUUUGUUGUUGCAAGUUUUACAUGGCUGCUACGGGCUUCUAGCAAGAACCAUUCUUACCUACGCAUCAAAAAACACAAAGAUUUUCCUCAAGUGUGCUGUUUUAACCUUCAACAAGGACCAGGCAUAGUCAAACUCGAUUCAACUAAAGUUGGAGAAACAGACACCCGCUAGCCACCUGUGUGCGAAGCACGUCGGUAGAACUAGUCUCAUGAACGUGGUCAUGUAAUGUCAGUCCGGGCCACUUCAUCCAACAAUACCACCGAAUCAAAGUAAGACGUUGCUGGUAAGCAGUAUGACUAUUAUCGCCCACAACUCUUUGUGUUCUACUCAUGCAUAUAACAUCUACGCAUAGACCUGGCUCGGAUGCCACUAUUGGGGAAUGCAGUAUUUCAAAAAAUUUACCUACGAUCACGCAAGAUCUAUCUAGGAGAUGCAAAGCAAUGAGCGGGAAGAAUGUGUCCACGUACCCUCGUAGACCGAAAGCGGAAGCGUUUAGUAACGCGGUUGAUGUAGUCGAACGUCUUCACGAUCCAACCAAUCCAAGCACCGAACGUACGGCACCUCCGCGUUCAGCUCGAUGACGUCCCUCGAACUCUCGAUCUAGUUGAGGCCGAGGGAGAGUUCCGUCAGCACGACGGCGUGGUGACGGUGAUGAUGAAGUUACGGACGCAGGGCCUCACCUAAGCACUACGACGAUGUGACCGAGGUGUGUAACGGUGGAGGGGGGCACCGCACAGGGCUAAGAGAAGACUUGGUGUGUCUUUGGGGUGCCCCCCUCCCACGUAUAUAAAGGGGGGAGGAGAGGUGGCCGGCUCAAGGGGGGGCGCCAGGUGUGGGGAGUCCUACUAGGACUCCCUAGUCCAAGUAGGAUUCCCCUCUCCUUUUUCCUUUUUCGGAAUAGCAAAGAGGGAAAGCGAGGAGGAGGAGGAGAGGGAAAGGGGGGGGCGCCGCCCCCACCCCUUGUCCAAUUCGGGCUGGGCAAGGGGCGCGCGCCACCUCCCUGGAUGGCCCUCUCUCCUCCGCUAAGGCCCAUGUAUGGCCCAAUAACUUCCUGGGGGGGUUCCGGUAACCCCUGGUACUCCGAAAUUCAUCCGAUAUGACCCGAACCAUUCCGGUGUCCGAAUGUAACCUUCCAAUAAUGAAUCUUUAUCUCUUGACCAUUUCGAGACUCCUCGUCAUGUCUGUGAUCUCAUCCGGGACUCCGAACAAACUUUGGUUCAUCAAAACACAUAACUCAUAAUACAAAUCAUCAUCGGACGUUAAGCGUGCGGACCCUACGGGUUCGAGAACUAUGUAGUCAUGACCGAGACACAUCUCCGGUCAAUAACCAAUAGCGGAACCUGGAUGCUCAUAUUGGCUCCUACAUAUUCUACGAAGAUAUUUAUCGGUCAAACCACAUAACAACAUACGUUGUUCCCUUUGUCAUCGGUAUGUUACUUGUCCGAGAUUCGAUCAUCGGUAUCAUCAUACCUAGUUCAAUCUCGUCACCGGCAAGUCUCUUUACUCGUUCUGUAAUGCAUCAUCCUGUAACUAAAUCAUUAGUCACAUUGCUUGCAAGGCUUAUAGUGAUGUGCAUUACCGAGAGGGCCUAGAGAUACCUCUCUGAUACACGGAGUGACAAAUCCUAAUCUCGAUCUAUGCCAACUCAACAAACACCAUCGGAGACACCUGUAGAGCAUCUUUAUAAUCACCCAGUUAUGUUGUGACGUUUGAUAGCACACAAGGUGUUCGUCCGGUAUUCGGGAGUUGCAUAAUCUCAUAGUCUGAGGAACAUGUAUAAGUCAUGAAGAAAGCAAUAGCAAUAAAACUAAACGAUCAUUAAUGCUAAGCAAACGGAUGGGUCUUGUCCAUCACAUCAUUCUCUAAUGAUGUGAUCCCGUUCAUCAAAUGACAACACAUGUCUAUGGCUAGGAAACUUAACCAUCUUUGAUUAACAAGCUAGUCAAGUAGAGGCAUACUAGGGACACUCUGUUUGUCUAUGUAUUCACAGAUGUACUAAGUUUCCGGUUAAUACAAUUCUAGCAUGAAUAAUAAACAUUUACCAUGAUAUAAGGAAAUAUAAAACAACUUUAUUAUUGCCUCUAGGGCAUAUUUCCUUCAUCUUGAUCCGGAUACGGUGGCAAGUGAGCGAGGAUCGGGUCGUCGCAUCCUUAGUGGCGCGCUACAUCGGCGCCCGGAUGUAGUGGAAAAUGAGCAAGGGUCUUCGCAUUUGACUCGACGAGUGCGAAGGGUAAGGAAGCUAGCUGAGCCUAGGAGGAUUCGCUUAGGUAGCUGGAACGUAGGGUCUCUGACAGGGAAGCUUCGGGAGCUAGUUGAUGCAGCAGUGAGGAGAGGUGUUGAUAUCCUUUGCGUCCAAGAAACCAAAUGGAGAGGACAGAAGGCGAAGGAGGUGGAGGAUACCGGCUUCAAGCUAUGGUACACGGGGACGGCUGCAAACAGAAAUGGCGUAGGCAUCUUCAUCAACAAGAGCCUCAAGUAUGGAGUGGUAGACGUCAAGAGACGUGGGGACCGGAUUAUCCUGGUCAAGCUGGUAGUUGAGGACUUGGUUCUCAAUGUUAUCAGCGCCUAUGCCUCACAAGUAGGCCACAAUGAGAACACCAAGAGGGAGUUCUGGGAAGGCCUGGAAGACAUGGUUAGGAGUGUACCAAUUGGUGAGAAGCUCUUCAUAGGAGGAGACCUCAAUGGCCACGUGGGUACAUCUAACACAAGUUUUGAAGGGGCGCAUGGGGGCUUUGGCUAUGGCAUCAGGAAUGAAGAAGGAGAAGAUGUCUCAAGCUUUGCUCUAGCCAACAACAUGAUUGUAGCUAACACCCUCUUUAGAAAGAGAGAAUCACAUCUAGUGACUUUUAGUAGUGGCCAACACUCUAGCCAGAUUGACUUCAUCCUCUCGAGAAGAGAAGAUAGGCGUGCGUGCCUAGACUGUAAGGUGAUACCUGGAGAGAGUGUUGUACCCCAGCAUAAGCUGGUGGUUGCUGACUUCCGCUUUCGGAUUCAUGUCCAACGGGAUAAGCGUGCCAAAGUCGCUAGAACGAAGUGGUGGAAGCUCAAGGGGGGAGGGUAGCUCAGGCGUUCAAGGAGAGGGUCAUUAAGGAGGGCACUUGGGAGGAAGGAGGGGAUGCGGACAAUGUGUGGAUGAAGAUGGCGACUAGCAUUCUUAAGGUGGCCUCAGAGGAGUUUGGAGUGUCCAGGGGAAGGAGAAGCGAAGAUAAGGAUACCUGGUGGUGGAAUGAUGAUGUCCAGAAGGCGAUUAAAGAGAAGAAAGAUUGCUUCAGACGCCUAUACCUGGAUAGGGGUGCAGACAACAUAGAGAAGUACAAGAUGGUGAAGAAGGCUGCAAAGCGAGCUGUUGGUGAAGCAAGGGGUCGGGCAUAUGAGGACCUCUACCAAAGGUUAGGCACGAAGGAAGGCGAAAGGGACAUCUAUAAUAUGGCCAAGAUCCGAGAGAGAAAGACGAGGGAUAUUGGCCAAGUCAAAUGCAUCAAGGAUGGAGCAGGCCAACUCUUGGUGAAGGACGAGGAGAUUAAGCAUAGAUGGCGGGAGUACUUCGACAAGCUGUUCAAUGGGGAGAAUGAGAGUUCUACCAUUGAACUGAACGACUCCUUUGAUGAGACCAGCAUGCGUUUUGUGCGGAGAAUCCAGGAGUCUGAGGUCAAGGAGCAGUAUAAGGGAAAACCCUAGUAGUAGCGCGGCUUUCGAGGCUAUCAGCAACGCGGGCAGCCGCGCUACUAAUAAGGCGCUACAACUAACUGUUACUAGUAGUGCGGUCUGUACCCCCGCUACUAAUAUUGACUAUAUCAGCAGCACUUUUCCAGAACACGCUACUGUUAGUUAGCUGUAGCGCUUUCCUAGCCCCGCGCUACUUCUAUGUGUUUCAUCAUUCCCCCCAGCUUCCUACCCAGUUUUAGUUUCAAUAAACUGCAAUUUCCAGAUACUAGGUACUCCUAGAUAUCAAUUUCAUAAAGCAUUAUAGGUAUUAGGUAGUACUAUCUCGGUCCCAAAUUACUCGUCGUCGUUUUAGUUCAAAUUUGAACUAAAACCACGAUGAGUAAUUUGGAACGGAGGGAGUACUAGAUAACAAUUUCAUAUAUAGUCAACAUGCAUCCUCAAGCUGUACAAGGUGAUAUCGACGAUGAUCAUCAUAUGUAGUUCUAGAUGAUAUCGACGACGAUCAUCAUAUGUAGUUCUACAUGACAUCGACGACGAUCAUCAUAUGUAGUUCUAGAUGAUAUAGCCACACACACACAUAUGUAGUUCUAGGUGAUAUCGACGACGAUCAUCAUCCUCAAGCCUGGGCGAUGGGUGUUCCUGAUAGUAAUUAGGAUGGCAUGUCCAACACGAAGAUUCUUGCCAACGAGGAAUCUCUUCCACCCAACCGAGUUUAAGUGUGUGCGACCGUCUGUGUCCAUGCGGUAAGUACAGGUGGUGACGGAGCCCCAUGCGGUAAGGCGUAGUCCAGCUGAGCCUUCUUCAUCAGGCUCGAUACCACAACUCACCAAUAGGUUCUUUGGCAAUUUUUGAAUAAGAAAAACAUAUCAAUUAAUAAAUAGCCUCGCACAUACUCUUGCAAAUAUAUUUCUAUUAAGUAUAGAUUUCUACACUAUCCAAAGACAUAGUACUACACAUUUGUACUAAUUAAGCAUUAAUUCUACUAAUAAGUAUAUAUGGAUUAUCUACACUAUUAAUAGUUCCUUGGAUUCUACACUAAUAAGCAUGUGAUCAGACUCUACACUAAAGCAUAUCAUCGACUAGAUUCCACACAGCAUAUCUUGGACUCUACACUAAGAAUAUCAUCGUAUUCACUAAGCAUAUCAUCGGAUAAUUUGCAUUUGUAAGUAUGACAAUAAAGCAUAUAUAUAUAUAUAUAUAUAUAUAUAUAUAUAUAUAUAUAUAUAUAUAUCAUCAAAUUACUACAGUCAGUAUAACAUACCAUUUCAUGCCGAUCGACCAUGGUACUUGUCAGGCGGGUCACGAAUGGCACCCCGACAAAGUCAUCACGUGGCGGAAUUAUGUCCCAUAGGUUGCACACCUCCUCCUCGCUCAGCCUCAUUCUUUGAGCAAUGAUGGCUUCAUGAAGUGGGUUCUCAUCAUCUUCAUUGAGUGGGUCCUCAUUAUCUUCAUCAUCUUCGUCAUCUUCAUCAUCUUCGUCAUCAUCAUCUUCCACCAGGUUUAUAUAAAUGACAACCAGCUUGGGUCUUUCUGCUCUGAAGGAGAAGCUGGUCAACUCACCACCAGUAAGACACAUGCGGGCGAGGAAACGGGCCCAUCCAUCUCCUCCAAUCUGUGAUAUUACGUCCUUUCUCGGCCUGCAUAGUGUACGGCCCCCAGGAGCCUCAAAUGUCACAGUGUCUCCUGUCAGCUUGUUGAAUUUCAACCUCACAUUGCAUGGGACGAUCUGUGUAAAAAAAGCAAAAUGACACAAUGCAGUAAUGCCAACACUAAAAAUAAAAUAGUUGUUACAUUUCAUCUAAUUUCUUACCGCCGCAUGACGAAAACUCGGCUGGAAGUAGAUGCCGAAUAGCUUGCCAGUUGCAAGGCUGCUGGCGCACCUUGACUUGCACAGUCGACAUGGUGGUGGUGGUGGUGGUGGCGCCAUUUUCCUAAAGCAAUAUGAGCAAAGGAUUAACGAUCCACUUCACAGGAAAGAAAAACAGUAGCAUGUGAUAUUUAUGGUUCUUCCGUGAGAAGCAAUUUGAUGGACAAUUAUAAUCCUAAGAUCUAGUAACAUAUUAGAUGACAAGGUACCACCUACCAAAGCAUUUCGGUGGCACCUAUUGCCGAAAAAACUUUUCACAACUAUCUACCAAAUCAGGGUACCACCUACCAAGACAUUUCAUCUAAUUUGGCCCCUAUUGCCUAAGAUAAUUGAUUAAAAAACAAGUGGCAAAUUUAACUAAAUUGGCACCUACAUUUUGCAAAAAAUUAAGUUAUUACAAAAAAACAAAAGCAUCUAGCUAUCCAUGCACAGAAAAAAUAACAAUAAAAUGGUGCAUACUAAAUCAACUAAAUCAACAAGCCUACUAAAUCAACUAAAUCAACUAGCCUACUAAAUCAACUAGCAUAAUAAAUCAACUAAAUCAAAAUGUUCUAAAUCAACUAGCCUACUAAAUAAACUAAAUCAUAUCAACUAAAUCAAAAUGUUGCAUAUGAACUAGCCUACUAAAUCAAAAUGUAUCAGGAAGAAAUUUGUAAGCCCUCGUAGCAUCUAGGUAGGGCAGCCCUCGGGGGGUGCUGUCGAGCGGAGGGGGGAUGGCAUGGUGACCUCGGUCGGGGGUGCUGACGAGGGGAAGGCCGGUGACUUUACUACNNNNNNNNNNNNNNNNNNNNNNNNNNNNNNNNNNNNNNNNNNNNNNNNNNNNNNNNNNNNNNNNNNNNNNNNNNNNNNNNNNNNNNNNNNNNNNNNNNNNNNNNNNNNNNNNNNNNNNNNNNNNNNNNNNNNNNNNNNNNNNNNNNNNNNNNNNNNNNNNNNNNNNNNNNNNNNNNNNNNNNNNNNNNNNNNNNNNNNNNNNNNNNNNNNNNNNNNNNNNNNNNNNNNNNNNNNNNNNNNNNNNNNNNNNNNNNNNNNNNNNNNNNNNNNNNNNNNNNNNNNNNNNNNNNNNNNNNNNNNNNNNNNNNNNNNNNNNNNNNNNNNNNNNNNNNNNNNNNNNNNNNNNNNNNNNNCCGGCAAGGGGAUCGAGGGCAGUCGGCCAAAGGCGCCCGGCCAGAGCUCGCGGCCAGCGACAGAGUGGGCGGCGAGAGGGUGGAGGAGCAGUGGAUGGGCGACGAGAGGGGGGAGGAGCAUUACCUGCGGCGGCGGUGGCGGAGGAGAAACCCUAACCGCAGCUGCCGGCGUCGGGAGGAGGGGGACGAUUGAGAGAUGACCGUGCGGGGGGGGCGGCCAGGCCGCGUGUUUUGUUUUGCUUUAGCAGUAGCGCAGGUAUAGGGAGCGCGCUACUGCUAAGCCCAAUAUCAGUAGCGCUUUGUCCUAAAAAAACGCUACUGCUAAGUCUAAGCAAUGUAAAAACAUCAAAAAUAUACAUUGGUCAUCAUUGAUCUUUUUGUGUAGAAUCUAAAUAGUCAACAUGAAUCCUCACCGUACCUGUAUAGGUACACGCGAGGAUUCAUAUUGCAGCCACAAAUCCUACACAUAUAGUUCAAUGAAGACCAAGUGCUCGAGAUAGUUUGAGAAGUAACAUAUUUAAGGUGGUAAACACCUUGUUGGCUUAGCAGUAUGGGACUAAACUUAAUUAGUUGCAAGGGGGGUGAUACUUAGCAGUAGCGAGUUUUGAAGAAAAACACUACUACUAAGUACUUUAGCAGUAGCGCGUCUAGAAGAAGGGCGCUACUACUAUAUCUAGCCUGGAGGCAACACCGUGGCAAUUAUAGUAGUAACGCUUGUUUCACCUAGAGCGCUACUGCUACUUGGUUAUUAGUAGCGCGGUUUCCUGAAGCUCGCUACUGAUAAUUAGCAGUAGUGUUUGUUUUUAAACAACGUUGCUGCUAAGAUUCUGUGUAUAAGGUUUUCCCUAGUAGUGGAGGCUUUAAAAAGGAUGCAAGGGGGCAAGGCGAUGGGCCCUGAUUGUAUCCCCAUUGAGGUGUGGAAAGGUCUCGGGGACAUAGCGAUAGUAUGGCUAACCAAGCUUUUCAACCUCAUUUUUCAGGCAAACAAGAUGCCAGAAGAAUGGAGACGGAGUAUAUUAGUACCAAUCUUCAAGAACAAGGGGGGUGUUCAGAGUUGUACUAAUUAAAGUGGAAUUGAGCUGAUGAGCCAUACAAUGAUGCUAUGGGAGAGAGUCAUUGAGCACCGCUUAAGAAGAAUGACAAGCGUGACCAAAAAUCAGUUUGGUUUCAUGCCUGGGAGGUCGACCAUGGAAGCCAUUUUCUUGGUAUGACAACUUAUGGAGAGAUAUAGGGAGCAAAAGGACUUGCAUAUGGUGUUCAUUGACUUGGAGAAGGCCUAUGAUAAGAUACCGCAGAAUGUCAUGUGGUGGGCCUUGGAUAAACACAAAGUCCCAGCAAAGUACAUUACCCUCAUCAAGGACAUGUACGAUAAUGUUGUGACAAGUGUUCGAACAAGUGAUGUCGACACCGAUGACUUCCCGAUUAAGAUAGGACUGCAUCAGGGGUCAGCUUUGAGCCCUUAUCUUUUUGCAUUGGAGCUGGAUGAGGUCACAAGGGAUAUACAAGGAGAUAUCCCAUAGUGUAUGCUCUUUGCGGAUGAUGUGGUGCUAGUUGACGAUAGUGAGACGGGGGUAAAUAGGAAGUUAGAGUUAUGGAGACAAACCUUGGAAUCGAAAGGGUUUAGGCUUAGUAAAACUAAAACCGAGUACAUGAUGUGCGGUUUCAGUACUACUAGGUGUGAGGAGGAGGUGGUUAGCCUUGAUGGCUAGGUGGUACCUCGGAAGGACACCUUUCGGUAUUUGGGGUCAAUGCUGCAGGAGGAUGGGGGUAUUGAGGAAGAUGUGAACCAUCGAAUCAAAGCUGGAUGGAUGAAGUGGCGCCAAGCUUCUGGCAUUCUCUGUGACAAGAGAGUGCCACAAAAGCUAAAAGGCAAGUUCUACAGGACAGCGGUUCCACCCGCAAUGUUGUAUGGCGCUAAGUGUUGGCCGACUGAAAGGCGACAUGAUCAACAGUUAGGUGUGGCAGAGAUGUGUAUGUUGAGAUGGAUGUGUGGACACACGAGGAAGGAUCAAGUCCAGAAUGAUGAUAUACGAGAUAGAGUUGGGGUAGCACCAAUUGAAGAGAAGCUUGUCCAACAUCGUCUGAGAUGGUUUGGGCAUAUUCAGCGCAGGCCUCCAGAAGCUCCAGUGCAUAGCGGACGACUAAAGCAUGUGGAGAAUGUCAAGAGAGGGCGGGGUAGACCGAAUUUGACAUGGGGGUGUCUGUUAAUAGAGACCUGAAGGAUUCGAGUAGCACCAAAGAGCUAGCUAUGGACAGGGGUGCGUGGAAGCUUGCUAUCCAUGUGCCAGAGCCAUGAGUCGGUUGUGAGAUCUUAUGGGUUUCACCUCUAGCCUACCCAAACUUUUUUGGGAAUAAAGGCUUUGUGGUUGUUGGGUUGCCUCCCAACAAGCGCUAUAGUUUUACGCCCUUAGCUAGGCAUAAAGCAAGGAUCUAAGUUUUCUCAUCUUUGUUUCGAGAUCCAUAAGAUGCCCUCAUGAUUGAUUCGUAUGGUGGCCUAAUUCUUGUUCUAGGGAAGUGUUCCAUACCCUUCCUCAAAGGAAAUUGGAAAUUAAUAUUGCCUUCUUUCAUAUCAAUCACGACACCGAUAGUGCGUAAAAACGGUCUACCAAGAAUAAUUGGACAAGACGGAUUGCAAUCAAUAUCAAGAACAAUAAAAUCUACGGGCACAUAAUUCCUAUUUGCAAGAAUAAGAACAUCAUUAAUUCUUCCCAUAGGGUUUUUAAUAGUAGAAUCCGCCAAGUGCAAAUUUAAAGAACAUUCUUCAAGAUCGGUAAGACCAAGACAUCACAUAAAGAUUUCGGAAUUGUAGAAACACUAGCACCCAAGUCACACAAAGCAAAACACUCAUAAUUUUUAAUCUUGACUUUGAUAGUAGGUUCCCAUUCAUCAUGCAAUUUUCUAGGAAUUGAAACUUCUAAUUCCAAUUUUUCUUCAAAAGCUUUCAUCAUAGCAUCAACAAUAUGUUUAGUAAAAGCUUUAUUUUGUUCAUAAGCAUGGGGUGAAUUUAUCAUGGAUUGCAACAAAGAAAUACAAUAAAACAAACAGCAACUAUCAUAAUUAAAGUCUUUGUAAUCCAAAAGAGUGGGCACAUCACAGGUUAAAGUUUUGACCUCUUCAAACCCACUUUCAUCAAUUUUCUCAACAAGAUUUUCACCCUCUGAAUUAUCGGCACCCCUUCUAGCUUCGACUCUUCUCCAGUCCUUUUUCCAUCAAUCUUAACUUUACAAACAAGGAAUCAAUAGAAGAAACACCAAUCGUUUUAAGAUCUUCAUCACUUUUAUGAAAGUAAUCGCUAGAAAUUCUUUUUCUAAAAAUUCUCUUUUAUCUCUAAGCAUAGCGGUUCUUUUCUUACUUUCAUCCAUAGAAACAUAAAGAGCUUUAAUUUAUUAAUCAACCUUAGGCACAAAAAAUUUCAUCUUGAGAUUUUCCACAUCAUGAGAAAUUCUAUCAACACUUCUAGAAAAAUCAUCAAUCUUAUUCAACUUUUCUUCUAUGGAAGUGUUGAAAACUUUUUGCGUGUUGAUAAAUUCUUUAAUAUUAUUCUCAAGAUCAGAGGUGUUCCUAUUAUUAUUAUAAGAAGGAUUUCCAUAGGAAUUACCAUAAUUAUUAGAGGAAUUACUAGGAAAAGGCCUAGGAUUAAAAUUACCUCUAUAAGCAUUGUUAUUGAAAUUAUUUAACCCAUGAGUUGGGCAAUUCCUUAGCAUCAUUUUCAUCCUUUCCCAAGAUUGUGCAACAUGCUCAUGUUCAAGUUGCUUGAAAUUCAUGAUCUGUGUUCUAAGGGAAAUAAUUUUUGUGGGUGGAAAAUACUUAGUGAUAAAAGCAUCUUUGCACUUAUUACAAGAAUCGAUACUAUUGCGAGACAAAGAAGAGAACCAAAUUAUUGCAAAAUCACGCAAAGAAAACGGAAAUAAUUUCAUCUUCACAACAUCAUUGUCCACAUCUUUUUUCUUUUGCAUAUCGCAUAAUUCCACGGAGGUAUUAAGAUGGGACGCGGUAUCCUCAUUAGGAGUACCGGAAAAUUGAUCUUUCAUAACAAGAUUCAAUAAAGUAGUAUUAAUAUCACAAGACUCCGCACUAGUGGCGGGAGGAACAAUCGGAGUGCCAAUAAAAUCAUUGUUGUUGGUAUUUGAGAAAUCAAAUAACUUGGUGUUCUCUUGAGUCAUGAUGACUACACAACAAGAUUGCACUCAAAAACAGAUCCGGCAAGAAAACGGCGAAUGAAAAAAGAGGGGCGAAUAAAACUGCAAAUUUUUGUGAAGUGGGGGAGAGGAAAACGAGAGGCAAAUGGCAAAUAAUGUAAAUUGCGAGGAGAUGAGAGUUGUGAUUAGGAACCUGUUAUAUGUUGAAGAUCCUCCCUGGCAACGGUGCCAGGAAUUCCUUUUGAUGCGGCUUGAAGCUACGUCGGUAUUUCCCCAAAGAGGAAGGGAUGAUGCAGCACAGCAUCGGUAGGUAUUUCCCUCAGAUAUGAAACCAAGGUUAUCGAACCAGUAGGAGAACCAAGCAACACAACCUAAACAGCACCUGCACACAAAUAACAACUUCUCAGAACCCGAUGUGUAAAAGGGGUUGUCAAUCCCUUUCAGGUAGCGCCGCCCCAAGAUGGGCAAACGGACGUGAAUAAAAUUGUAGCAGAUUGAUAGAUCGAACGCCAAAUAAAAUAAAUAAGAAUAAACCCCAGCAAGGUAUUUUUGUAUUUUUGUUUAAUAGAUCUGAAAAUAAAAGCAAGGGAAAAUAGAUCGCAAAGGCAAAUAAUAUGAGAAAGAGACCCGGGGGUCGUAGGUUUCACUAGUGGCUUCUCUCGAGAAAAAUAGCAAACGGUGGGUGAACACAUUAUUGUUGGGCAAUUGAUAGAACUUCAAAUAAUCAUGACAAUAUCCAGGCAAUGAUCAUUAUAUAGGCAUCACGUCCAAGAUUAGUAGACCGACUCCUGCCUGCAUGUACUACUAUUACUCCACACAUCGACCGCUAUCCAGCAUGCAUCUAGUGUAUUAAGUUCAUGGAGAAACGGAGUAAUGCAAUAAGAACGAUGACAUGAUGUAGACAAGAUCUAUCUAUGUACAAAUAGAUUCCAUCGUUUUACCCUUAGUAGCAACGAUACAUACGUGUCGGUUCCCCUUCUGUCACUGGGAUCAAGCACCGUAAGAUCGAACCCACUACAAAGCACCUCUUCCCAUUACAAGAUAAAUAGAUCAAGUUGGCCAAACAAAACCCAAAUAUUGAAGAAGAAAUAUGAGGCUAUAAGCAAUCAUGCAUAAAAGAGAUCAAAGAAACUCAAAUACUUUCAUGGAUAUAAAAAGAUAGAUCUGAUCAUCAACUCAAAGUUCAUCCGAUCCCAACAAACACACUGCAAAAAGAGUUACAUCAUACGGAUCUCCAAGAGACCAUUGUAUUGAGAAUUCAGCGAGAGAGAGGAAGCAAUCUAGCUACUAACUACGGACCCAAAGGUCCACAAAGAACUACUCACGCAUCAUCGGAGAGGCACCAAUGGAGGUGGUGAACCCCAGCCGUGAUGGUGUCUAGAUUGGAUCUGGUGGUUCUGGACUCUACGACGGCUGGAAUUGAUUUUCGUCGACUCCCUUAGGGUUUCUGGAAUAUUGGGGUAUUUAUAGAGCAAAGAGGCGGCCCGGGGGCACCCGAGGUGGGCACAACCCACCAGGGCGCGCAUGGGCCUCCUGGCGCGCCCUGGUGGGUUGUGCUCUCCUCGGAGCACCCCCCAGGCGUAGCCUUGGCCCAUUAGGUGUCUUAUGGUCCAAAAAAAUCUCCAUAAAGUUUCGUUGCAUUUGGACUCCGUUUGGUAUUGAUUUCCUGUGAUGUAAAAAACAUGCAGAAAACAGCAACUGGCAUCUGGCACUAUGUCAAUAGGUUAGUACCAAGAAAUGAUAUAAAAUGACUACAAAAUGAUUAUUAAACAUCCAAGAUUGAUAAUAUAAUAGCAUGGAACAAUCAAAAGUUAUAGAUACGUUGGAGACGUAUCAAAGCCCUGUCUGAUACAUGCGACUCCAAGCACAGACUCAACUCACAGCCUUCGAGCAUGUUGGGUACUUCGGCAGGUAGCUAAAAGUGGGGAGGCCAUCCUCACCACCGCCACUUCAGAGAAGCAUUCUCCGGAGGAUGAUGAUUUUAAUGUCCUUACAGUCUUUGAGACAUUCUCUUCAAAUAAUCGGCAUAACAGGGCACUUCGCGACCUCGCCGAAGUCCACCAAGUAACCGCAAUGAGCCUAUGGAACAACUCGACAAUAACCUUCACCGCUGAUGACGAACCAAGGGCCCGAUCAGUCCGAGCACCCGUCGCUUUAGUACUAAACCCCACUGUGGACGGCUUUCGACUUACCAAAGUGCUCAUGGACGGCGGCAGUGGGGUUAACCUCAUCUACGAGGACACGCUUGACAAAAUGCAGGUUGACAGAACACGCAUCAAGCAAAGCAGUACCACCUUUCGAGGCAUCAUCCCCAGUCGAGAAGCACGAUGUUCAGGGAGAAUUAAGCUUGACGUAGUAUACGGCACGCCUGCAAAUUAUAGGUCAGAAGAGCUGCUCUUUCACGUUGUUCCCUUCAAUAGCGGAUAUCAUGCCCUUCUAGGGCGGGACGCUUUCUCAUGCUUCCAAGCCAUACCCCAUUACAGGUACAUGAAGCUUAAAAUGCCAGGGCCCAAUGGAAUAAUCACAGUUUCGAGUGACCGGAUAAGGCACUCCGCGCCGAAAACAAAACCACAUCCUUGGCUCUUGAGUUAUGAUACGUCUCCAACGUAUCUAUAAUUUAUGAGGUAUUCAUGGUAUUAUUUUAUCAUUCUUGGAUGUUUUACAAUCAUUUUAUAGCAACUUUAUAUCAUUUUUUGGGACUAACCUAUUGAUCCAGUGCCCAGUGCCAGUUGCUGUUUUUUGCUUGUUUCUUACAUCGCAGAUAAUCAAUACCAAACGGAGUCCAAACGCAACGAAACUCCACGGAGAUUUUUAUGGACCGGAAGGAACCCAAUGGGCCAGAGCUGCACCUGGGGGGUGCCGCGAGGGGGGCACAACCCACCAGGGCGCGCUCAGGUGGGUUGUGCCCACCUCGGUGGCCUCCUGCGCCCCCUCUUUACCCUAUAAAUUCCCCAAAAUUCCAAAAACCCUCGGGGUUAACCUAGAUCAGAAGUCUCGCCGCCGCAGGGCUCCGUAGCCAUCGAAAACCAAUCUAGACCCGUUUUGGCACCCUGCCGAAGGGGGGAAUCAUCUCCGGUCACCAUAUUCAUCAUCCCGGCGGCCACCACGAUGAGGAGGAGUAGUCCACCCUCGGGGCUGAGGGUUUGUACCAGUAGCUAUGUGUUUAAUCUCUCUCUCUCUCGUGUUCUUGAUAUGUCACGAUCUUGAUGUAUCGUGGGCUUUGUUAAUAUAGUCAGAUCAUAUGGUGUUUUCCCCUCUCUAUCUUGUUGUGAUGAAUUGAGUAUUUCCCUUUGAGAUUUCAUUGUUAUCGGAUUGAAUACUUUUAUGGAUUUGAGAACACUUGAUAUAUGUCUUGCAAUUGAAUACUCAUGGUGAGAAUGGGGUAUCGUAUUGAUUCACAUGAUAUAUGUUUUGGCACUCAACUCGCGGAUUCCCGAGGUGACAUUGGGGUAAUCUAUGCAUAAGGGUUGAUGCACGUUCUUGUCUUUGUUUCUCCGGUAGAAAUCUUGGGGCACUCUUUGAAGUUCUUUGUGUUGGAUUGAGUAUUAUGAAUAUGGAUUUGCUUUGGUGUUAUUUUAGUACGAACUCUAGGAUAGAUCGAACGGAAAGAAUAGCUUUGUGUUAUUUUACUACGAACUCUUGAAUAGAUCGAAUGGAAAGAAUAGCUUUGAGGUGGUUUCGUGCCCUACAAACAAUUUAUUCUUAUGUUCUCUGCUAGAUAGGAACUUUGGAUUGAUUCUCCGUCGCACUUUGAGGGGUGGUUAUAUGAUCCAAUUAUAUUAGCAUUGUUGAGAGAUUGCACUAGCGAAAGUACGGACCCUAGGCCUCAUUUUCAAGCAUUGCAAUACCGUUUUUGUGCCCGUUUACUAUUUGCUACCUUGCUGUUUUUAUUUAUUCAGAUUAUAAAAAUAUAUUUCUACCAUCCAUAUUACAUUUUUAUCACCAUCUCUUCGUCGAACUAGUGCACCUAUACAAUUUGCCAUUGUAUUGGGUGUGUUGGGGACACAAGAGAUUUCCUGUAUUUUGUUGCAGGGUCAUUUGAGAGAGACCAUCUUCAUCCUACACCUCUCACGGAUUGAUAAACCUUAGGUCAUCCACUUGAGGGAAAAUUGCUACUGUCCUACAAAACUCUGCGCUUGGAGGCCCAACACGUGUCUACAAGAAUAAAGUUGCGUAGUAGACAUCAAGCUCUUUUCUGGCGCCGUUGCCGGGGAGGUGAGUGCUUGAAGGUAUAUCUUUUGAUCUUGCAAUUGAAUCUUUUAGUUUCUUGUUUUAUCACUAUUUUGGUUUAUAAAAAGAAAACUACAAAAAAAUGGAAUCGAGGAAAAUUGUGCGCCAUUGUUAGAAGAAGAAUUAUAUAAAAUGUUUGACAAAAAAUCUUUGAAUGAUGAGCAUGAUUGCAAUGUUGUUGGUAUGAAAUCUUUGAAUAUCCAUGAUGCUAGGGAUAUGCAAAGCCAUAAGCUUGGGGAUGCUAUGUUUGAUGAAGAUGAUAUUUUUAGUCCCCCAAGAUUUGAUGUGCAAAUUUGUUAUAAUGAUUGCAUGCCACCUAUUUAUGAUGAUUAUAUUGAUGAAAGUGGGUUUGUAAGAGUGUCAACUUUAGAUAGUGAUCCCACUAUUUUGGACGGUGUUGAAUCUUAUUGUUAUAAUGAUAAAAGUGGAUUUGGAGAGGUCAUGACUUUAUUUAGUGAUGAGUCCACUAUUUCGGAAGAGGUUCCAAUUGAUUAUGAGAACAAAAUUGCUACAUAUGAUGAUUAUGUUGAUGACAUGUAUGCUAUAAAGAAUAAUGAUAACCAUGAAACUUGUCAUCAUGAUUUUAAUUUUCACUCUCAUGAUAGUUAUUUUGUUGAGUUUGCUCCCACUACUAUAGAUGAGAAGAAAUUUUCUUAUGUGGAGAAUAAUGAGUUUUCUAUGCUUUUGUGUCAUGGAAAGAAUGCUUUAUGUGAUAGUUAUAUUGUUGAUUUUCUUAAUGAUGCAACUAAAAAAAAUUAUGAGGGAGGAACUUAUGCUUGUAGGAAUUGCAAUAAUAUCAAGUUUCCUCUCUAUGUGUUGAAAGUUUUGAAGUUAUGCUUGUUUUGCCUUCCUAUGCUAGUUGAUUAUUGUUCCCAUAAGUUGUUUGCUCUCAAAAUCCCUAUGCAUAGGAAGUGGGUUAGACUUAAAUGUGCUAGUCAUAUGCUUCAUGAUGCUCUCUUUGUGUUUCAAUUCUUUACUUUUAUACGAGCAUCAUUGAAAUCAUCAUGCCUAGCUAAAAGGCAUUAAAGAAAAGCGCUUGUUGGGAGACAACCCAAAACUUUUACCUACUGUUUUUGUGUGUUCACAUGAUUAGGCUACUGUAGUAAUCAUGUUGUAUUGCAUUCGGUUCAAUAAAGUACCAAGUAAGACCUUUGGGAUCAUGUUGGGUGAUAGUAGAUUUGAUCUUGCUGCAAAACAGAAACUUUGGCGCUCACGAAAAUAAGUCUCAUUUUUAACAGAAGAGUACUUUUGAGUUUAUUCUUUUUGCAGAAGUUUAAUAUACAAAUUGCUCACGUGGUCAUAAUUUUUUGAGUAGCAGAAGUAUGGUAGUUAUCCAGAUCAUUACAGACUGUUCUGUUUUUGACAGAUUCUCUUUUCAAUACAUAGUUUGCUUGUUUUCUAGUUUCUAUGGCUUAUAGUACUCAAUAUAAAUUGUGGAAAUGAUGAGGUACAGUAGGAAUUGUGUGGAAAAAAAUAUGAAUCUUAUCUUUGACAGUACCAAAGUGAAAUGGUUUGCUCUUUAUCAUACUAACCUAUCUCACGAAGUUCCGUUAAGUUUUGUGUGAUUGAAGUUUUCAAGUUUUGGGUGAGAUAUCGAUAUGAGGAGAAUAAGGAGUGACAAGACCCUAAGCUUGGGGAUGCCCAAGGCACCCCAAGUUAAUAUCCAAGGAAGAUCCAAGCAACUAAGCUUGGGGAUGCCCUGGAAGGCAUCCCCUCUUUCGUCUCCAACAUUAUCGGUAACCUCACUUGGAGCUAUGUUUUCUUCGUCACAUGAUUUGUGUUUUGCUUGGAGCAUCAUUUUAUUUUGUUAGUAUUUUCUCGCUGGUAUUUAGAAUAAUGUUUUGCAUCUUUUAUUUCAAUAAAAGUGGCAAUGAUAGCCUUUGCCAUGCUUAUUUUGCAAGUAUACAUGUUACUGUUUGAAAACAGAAAGUUUACCGCUAUUGCAAAAAUUCCCUAGAAAAGUCAGAAUGUGAUAAAAUGUUGAAACUUUUUGAAUGAUAAUCUAUGAUAAAUUCUCUACAGUGUGGUAGAAUUCCAUAAUGUUUGGAGGUGAAUAAGUAUUGAUACUCUUGCAUUCUUUACAGACCGUACUGUUUUGGCAGAUUGUUGUUAUGUUUGCAUUGUUUGCAUAUGUUUGCUUGUUUAAUGCUCCUAUUUGAGGGUAUGAGUAUUAAAUAUGCAGAGGCAUUUAGUAUGCAAUGUUGAAUAAUAAUUUUAGUGAUUUGCUACAGUAGAUAAUGAUAAGGUUUUUGCAUUGGUUUAUACUAACUUAUCUCACGAGUUCUUGUUGAGUUUUGUGUGGAUGAAGCUUUUUAGAUUUAGGAAAACCGUGAUAUGAGAGGAAUUAAGUAGACACAAAACCUCAAGCUUGGGGAUGCCCAAGGCAUCCCAAGAUAAUAUUUCAAGAAGUCUCAAGCAUCUAAGCUUGGGGAUGCCCCGGUAGGCAUCCCACCUUUUUUCUUCAACAAUUAUCGGUUAGUAUCGGUUGAGCCUAAGUUUUUGCUUCUUCACAUGAGUUGUGCUAUUCUUAGAACGUCAUUUUAUUUUUGUUCUGCUUGUUGUUUUAAUAAAAUACUUAUAUCUGAAAGUUUUAAAUAAGAGAGAGUCCAGACAUAGCUAUCUAUUUACUUAACUACUCAUUUGAUCUUCACUUAUAUCUUUUUGGAGUAGCUUGUCAUUUACUCUUGUGCUUCACUUAUAUCCUAUGAGUAAAUUGUUGAAUGAAUUGAAUAUCAUGAAGUUGAAAUUAUAGCAUGCCUAGUGGUAGCUUCACAUUGGGUUUAGAAAGUGAAAUCUUUUGAGGCAUGACAAUCACAAUAUUGGUCAUACAAGCAAUUCACGACUAAUUAGUAUAAGGAAGAGAACUUUCACAUGCAAAUACAUUAUCAUGGAAAUCUUUUGUGAUUGUGAGCCCCCAUCAAAAUAUUAUAUGCCAAAAUUAUUGAUGUUGGACAAGGAAGAUGUAAUGAUUUAUGUUUGCUCAUAUUCACAUAGAAGUUAUAUUGUCAUAUAUCCUUCAACAUGUGGUGCUUGCCCCCAUCUUUGCUAGCCAAAAAUUUUGCACCAAGUAGAGAUACUACUUGUGCAUCCAAAAACCCUUAAGCCCAAAUCUUAUUUUCAAGAGUCCACCAUACCUACCUAAGGAUUGAGUCAGAUCCUUCAAUUAAGUUGUCAUCGGUGCAUUAAGGCAAUAAUUUUUUUUUCUAAAAGUGAGAUCAUUUAGUGCAAGAGAAAAUUGAGCCUUGUACGAACUUGGAUGCCAAAGAAUAAAAUCGACAGACUGCAUAAUAAAGGUUGCCAUCUUAAGGGGCAAUACAACGCGGCGUUCUUUUUCACUAAGGGAUUGAGCAUACAAACAAAUAAGCGCAUGGCAACCUCUGCUUCCCUCUGCGAAGGGCCUAUCUUUUACUUUUAUGUAUUUACUUUUAUGCAAGAGUCAAAGUUUUUCUCUCUAUUCCUUUUUUAUUUUCUCUUUUGGCAAGCAUCAUGUGGUGAGGAGGAAUCUAGGCACAUAUGUCCAGUUGAAUUUGGGUAGCAUGAGUUAUUAUUGUUGACAUCACCCUUGAGGUGAAUACGUUGGGAGGCGAAACUCUAAGCCCCUAUCUUUCUAUGUGUCCGGUUGAAACGUUCUGCUCAUGUGUAUGCGGUGAGUGUUAGCAGUCAUAGAAGACUAUAUGAUGGUUGAGUAUGUGGAGCUCUUACUUAGACUCUGUUGAAUAAGUUGAAUUGCAAUUGCUUGGUGACUAAGAACAUAAUUUGUUGAGUUUCAAGAGAGUUCAUUGUUUGGACCUUAACAUGUGAAUUGGUUGCUACUAUAACAUGAGAAGUUUUAUAAGAAAGAAUUGUUGUUAUGAUGCUAGGAAAAGUGAUUAAAUUUAUCAUUGAUCAAACUUAUGUACUUUCCUAGCAUUCACACUUCAUAAAUUAUUUCUUUUAUCAUUUACCUACUCGAGGACAAGUAGGAAUUAAGCUUGGGGAUGCUGAUACGUCUCCAACGUAUCUAUAAUUUAUGAAUUAUUCAUGUUGUUAUUUUAUCAUUCUUGGAUGUUUUACAAUCAUUUUAUAUCAACUUUAUAUCAUUUUUUGGGACUAACCUAUUGACUCAGUGCCCAGUGCCAGUUGCUGUUUUUCGCUUGUUUUUUACAUCGCAGGAAAUCAAUACCAAACGGAGUCCAAACGCAACGAAACUCCACGGAGAUUUUUUAUGGACCACAAGGAAUCCAAUGGCCCGGAGCUACACCUGGGGGUGCCCCGAGGGGGGCACAACCCACCAGGGCGUGCCAGGGCCCCCUGGCACGCCUAGGUGGGUUGUGCGCACCUCGGUGGCCUCCCGCACCCCCUCUUUACCCUAUAAAUUCCCAAAAAUUCCAAAAACCCUCGGGGUUAACCUAGAUCAGAAGUCCCGCCGCCGCAGGGCUCCGUAGCCACCGAAAACCAAUCUAGACCCAUUCUGGCACCCUGCCGGAGGGGGAAAUCAUCUCUGGUGGCCAUGUUCAUCAUCCCGGCGGCCACCACGAUGAGGAGGGAGUAGGCCACCCUCGGGGCUGAGGGUUUGUACCAGUAGCUAUGUGUUUAAUCUCUCUCUCUCUCUUGUGUUCUUGAGAUGUCACGAUCUUGAUGUAUCGCGGGCUUUGUUAAUAUAGUCGGAUCAUAUGGUGUUUUUCCCUCUCUAUCUUGUUGUGAUGAAUUGAGUAUUUCCCUUUGAGAUUUCGUUGUUAUCGGAUUGAAUACUUUUAUGGAUUUGAUAACACUUGAUAUAUGUCUUGAAAUUGAAUACUCGUGGUGACAAUGGGGUAUCGUAUUGAUUCACAUGAUAUAUGUUCUGGAACUCAACUCGCGGAUUCCCGAGGUGACAUUGGGGUAAUCUAUGCAUAGGGGUUGAUGCAUGUUCUUGUCUUUGUUUCUCCGGUAGAAAUCUUGGGGCACUCUUUGAAGUUCUUAGUACGAACUCUAGGAUAGAUCGAACGGAAAGAAUAGCUUUGUGUUAUUUUACUACGAACUCUUGAAUAGAUCGAACGGAAAGAAUAGCUUUGAGGUGGUUUCGUACCCUACAAACAAUUUAUUCUUAUGUUCUCCGCUAGAUUGGAACUUUGGAGUGAUUCUCCGUCGCACUUUGAGGGGUGUUUAUAUGAUCCAAUUAUAUUAGCAUUGUUGAGACAUUGCACUAGCGAAAGUACGGACCCUAGGCCUCAUUUUCAAGCAUUGCAAUACCGUUUUUGUGCCCGUUUAUUAUUUGCUACCUUGCUGUUUUUAUUUAUUCAGAUUAUAAAAAUAUAUUUCUACCAUCCAUAUUACACUUUUAUCACCAUCUCUUCGCCAAACUAGUGCACCUAUACAAUUUGCCAUUGUAUUGGGUGUGUUGGGGACACAAGAGAUUUCCUGUAUUUGGUUGCAGGGUCAUUUGAGAGAGACCAUCUUCAUCUACACCUCUCAGGGAUUGAUAAACCUUAGGUCAUCCACUUGAGGGAAAAUUGCUACUGUCCUACAAAACUCUGCGCUUGGAGGCCCAACACGUGUCUACAAGAAUAAAGUUGCGUAGUAGACAUCAAGUUACUAGCCGAAGCCUUUGCGGCUGAAGAACUAACCACCCUACGAUCCCUAGUGGGCAAGGAUGAUGUGAUUCUCGACAAGAGAUCUAAAUGCACCUCUUUCAAGCCAGCAGAUGAAAUAGUUAAAUUCCAAGUGCACCCAGCGGAUCCUAAUAAAACAGCGUCCAUCGGAGCACAGCUGGAUCCGACGGUAGACACCGCCUUAUGUGUGUUCCUACGUGAAAAUCGGGAUAUCCUUGCCUGGCACCCCUUAGAUAUGCCCGGGAUCCCACACAGACUGGCUGAACACAGCCUCAACAUAAUCAAAGGGUUCAAACCAGUCAAGCAAACGCUACGGCGAUUUUCCGAACCCAAACGACAAGCUAUGGUGGAGGAGCUAGCCAAACUGCUCGAGGCCGGGUUCAUCAGAGAAAUCAAACACCCGGAUUGGUUAGCCAACUUGGUCAUGGUGCCGAAGAAGGAUCAAUCUUGGCGCCUUCGUGUCGAUUUCAAAGACCUCAAUAAGGCUUGCCCUAAAGCCCCUUUCCCAUUACCCCGCAUUGACCAGAUCAUUUAUGCGACCGUGGGACACGACUCAUUGUGUUUACUCGACGCUAACUCCGGAUACCAUCAGAUUAAAAUGAAGGACUCUGAUCAGGCCGCAACGGCGUUCAUCACCCCAUAUGGGCCUUUCUAUUUCAACACUAUGCCUUUUGGGCUUAAAAACGCUGGUGCCACUUACCAACACAUGAUUCAAACAUGCUUGGAAAUAAAAUCGGCAAGACAGUUGAAGAAUAUGUGGAUGACGUGGUCAUCAAGACUAAACACGUUGAAUCAUUGGUGGACGAUCUCCGCCUCACAUUUGACAACCUCCAAACAUACCAAUCAAUCCGGAAAAAUGCGUCUUCAGUGUUCCAGCCAGAAAGCUAUUAGGAUUCAUUGUCUCCCAUAGAGGAAUUGAAGCAAACCGAGCUAAAAUCCGAGACUUGUCGCAAUUGGCCACACCAACAGACUUAAAGCAGGUCCAAAAGCUAGCAGGGUGCGUGGCGGCGUUGAGCCGCUUCAGCUCCAGAUUAGGAGAAAAAGCAUUACCACUUUAUAGACUGCUUAGACGCACCGACAACUUUGAAUGGACGGAUGCGGCCACAGCCGGAUUGUAGGAAAUAAAAACCUUCUUAGCAGGCAACCCAAUCCUAGCCGCCCCAAGUGUUGGCGAGCCUAUGUUGCUUUAUAUCUCCGCAACUCAACAGGUAGUGAGCGAUGUACUCGUCAUCGAGCGAGGGGAAGAGGGACAUAAAUUCCCCAUCCAAAAGCCAGUGUAUUACGUAUCAGAGGUCCUUACACCAUGCAAAUCCCGAUACCCUCACUACCAGAAGAUAGCUUACGUGGUCUUUAUGGCAUCCCGAAAACUCCGACACUAUUUUCAAGAGUGUUCGAUCAUGGUGGCAUCCAAAGUACCACUUAACGACAUUAUAAACAACAAGGACGCCACCGGCCGCAUAGCUAAAUGGGCCAUUGAGCUCUUAUCGUUUGAAAUAACAUACAAGCCACGCCGAGCUAUUAAAUCUCAGGUGCUGGCCGACUUCGUUGCCGAGUGGACGGAAGCCGAGCUCCCUAAAGAGUAAAGUUCAUACUCCAACUGCAUGUACUUCGACGACUCUAAAAUGCUAGCCGGACUGGGGGCUGGUGUCAUCUUGACAUCCCCUACGGGGGACACGGUCCGCUACGUGUUGUAAAUCAUGUAUACGGACUCCAAUAAUGCAGCUGAAUAUGAGGCACUUCUACAUGGUCUCCGCAUGGCUGUCUCCAUGGGCAUACAAUGACUCGAGGUGCACGGCGACUCAAUCCUUGCAAUAUCUCAGAUAAAUGGAGAGUUCGAUGCAAAAGAUCCAAAAAUGGCGGCAUAUCGAAACGCCGUAUUAAAAAUAUCGGCUCGGUUCGAGGGACUUGAAUUUCAUCACUUCGCUCGAGACAGUAACCAGGCAGCGGACAUACUCGCUUGCACGGGCGCCAAGUGCAACCCUGUCCUGCCUAAUACCUUUAUGGAAAGGCUCUUUAGGCCAUCCGUGGUAUGGCAGGACGAGAGCGGAGACGCCAGUACGGACCUGAUCAUGCCCCCGGCAGCCGAACAUAAUACAGAUAUCAUCGGGGGUCCGGAUACCGAAAUAACGCCCUCUAAUCAUGAGAUCAUGGUCGUUAUUGCUCCUUGGACCGAACCCUUCCUGGCCUACCUUAAUAGGCAGGAGCUUCCCGAUGAUCAAAAUGAGGCCCGUCGCAUAGUUCGGCGUUCUAAAGCCUACAAAGUUCACGAAGGUGAACUGUACAAGAAAAGCACUACCGGAGUUCUCCAAUUGUACAUCUCCGAAGAGGAUGGACGACAACUCCUGGCUGAAAUACAUGCUGGUCUAGGCGGCCAUCACGCCGCAGCUCGGGCCCUCGUAAGCAAAGCCUUCCGGACAGGUUUUUUCUGACCAAUGGCCCAAGCAGACGCACAGGCCCUUGUCCAACGUUGUGUGGGAUGUCAGCUUUUCGCCAAUCAAAGUCAUAUGCCUCCCACUGCCUUAAGAACAAUCCCCAUCACUUGGCCCUUCGCGGUCUGGGGGCUGGAUAUGGUCGGACCCCUUAAAGGGGGAAGCCACAAAAAGAAAUAUUUACUGGUUAUGGUGGAUAAAUUCACUAAGUGGAUAGAGGCCAAACCAAUAAAAACGGCUGAAGCAGGACCAGUGGUUGACUUUAUAUCCGGCGUGGUACACCGCUAUGGUGUCCUGCACAGCAUCAUCACUGAUAAUAGCUCCAAUUUUACAGCUGAUGAGGUGAAAAACUAGUGUGCUAACUUGGUUAUUAAACUUGACUAUGCAUCCGUCUACCACCCUCAAACAAACGGUCAGAUUGAACGGGCCAAUGGCCUGAUAAUGAGCGGCAUUAAACCCCGACUAGUGCGCUCCCUAUGGGAGUCGGAUAAGCAAUGGGUUGAGGAACUCGAUUUCGUGCUCUGGGGGCUGCGGACUACACCUAACCGAACAACCGGAUAUACACCUUUCUUCAUGGUGUACGGUGUGGACGCUGUCCUGCCCUGCGACAUUAUUCAUGACUCACCUCGAGUGCGCAUGUACGAAGAGCGAGAAGCUGAGCUUGAUCGACAGGACGACCUAGACGGCCUCGAAGAGGAGCGCGAUAUUGCACAAGCCCGUUUCGCAUUUUAUCAACAACAGGCCAGGUGAUACCAAAGAAGAGAAGUGCGGUCCAAGACAUAUAACACUGGCGACCUCGUCUUGCGUCUCCCAGAGAAUAAUAAGGAUAAGCUCAAACCAAGAUGGGAGGGCCCCUUCAUCAUAGAUGAAGUUCUCACGGGAGGAGCCUAUCGCCUUUGUAAUGCAUCGGAUAAUCGCCUUGAGUCGAAUCCAUGGAACGAUGCUCGGCUCCGACGAUUCUACGGAUAGUUCGGUAGCACCUUUUUACUUUGACUAGGUUCCUUUUUCUCCUCUCCUUUUUUAUUUUUUCAUUUUUAUAUCCCAGGGUAUGUUCGGAUCUACCGAACUGUUAGGGGUACACAUCUUUAAAUGUAUACACCCCACUAUAACUUGGGCCUUCUUUGAUGAAGCUUAUUAUUAAAAGCUUGUGGCUUACAUUGUUUACGUCAUUUGUUCUAUACACUUUUUUGCCAUUAUAUGCACCUCUAUGACUUAAGUUUUUGCCAAGCUUGGUUGCCUUGCUCCCGUGUUUAUACCCUACGUUCCCUAUUGUUCGGCUAGGGUGUAAAGGGAGCACCUCUGCGAUUGUUACAACCGGGUAAUCCGGAUCUGUACCUCAGACGGGUGAAGCCAAAAGCUAGUGCUCUUAAGGGAAUAAUUGGUCGGCAAGCAACGACAGAUUAUUUACGUUUAUGUAAUUCUUCUAACAAAUAAGGGAUAGGCUACCCAUAAUUCUAUCUUUUGGAUCAAAGCCUAGGCGUGCAUAAUUAGGCAUGCCGACCCAAGGAAAGGAACCUUAACGGAACUAUUUUCCCUGGAAGAUGUUUCUUACGUUAAAUAGUAAUAUAACAUAACUCCCCGAACAAAUUUUGUCUAUUUGAGCAAUAUGACCGGAUUGCCUGGUUUCCGGACAUAAUGAAUUUUUAUUACAUUCCAACAUGGUCUCCGGAAACACUCCAACUUCUUCGUUCGGAGGUUGAAGCCGAAGGCCUGCGAUGACAAAUUUUGACAAGUUCGGUUGGACAUAAGUUCGAUGAUAAAGUACAUUGAUACAUUGAAUCGAACGCCUACUCUUUAUCUAUGUCAUCUAUAAGACUGUUUAAGCUACAGUCUUCUUGCAAAUAUUUCGCGGCUAUCAUCACUUGGUCAUAUACCAAGUUCACGGGAAUCUUUUUUCCGUCCGGUCCCUGAGGUCCAACUUGGGCCAUACGAUUCGGAUCGAGCCCGGUGUAGCGCGUUUUCACCAUCGCCCUUGCCUCUCGUGCACCUUCCUGGCAUGCUGACGCCUUCCAUAGCUCCAAACAGCGCCGGGAACCUUUGAACAGGUUCGCCAACCCCUCCAUGCUUUCUGGAGGGACAUCGGAUGGCCAUAAGGCUUUGUCCAUACUUCUCAUGGCUUUCCGGGCCCGCUCAUGCACUACGGACAGCUCUUUUAGAACGUGGCCUCGGAAUCCGGAUACUUCUUCUUCAUGACGCCCAGUUAACAGACCUGCAAGAACAGCAUUAUAACACUCCGAAAUACGGGAUAAUAUUAGUCCCUUGGAUGGUUCAAAUGUCAUACCGAAUAUACCGCCUUUCAACUUUUUAUUCUCUUUUUGUGCGUCUGAUAAUUGAGCCUUUAAGCUCUUUAUCUCUUCGGCUUGCUUAUCAUUUUCCUCCUCCAGUUUGUUCUUUUGAUCAAUGGUCAUCGCGACCUUCUUCAUUUCCUCUAGCUCUGUGGUGGCGGCAUUUAGCUUUGUCCAGCUCGUUUCAAGCUCCUGGGACAGUGCGUUGUUCUUCUCUUUGAGAACCUGCGGUCAUAACGAUCCUUAAAUCAGUUGGUCUAAACCACUUCAAGUCUCGGGGGCUACUGGCAUGUAUCUAUUAAAUUUACACAAAACAUUACAUGCAUAUCUUUUGAAAACAGGUGAGCAACUCCAGCAAGUCUAUCCCGGGCAGCUCGGAUAUAUGCAUCCACGGUGCUGAGGGCACUAAAUUCCUGCUCGGUAAAAACUGGAGCACGCAUGGUCUCUUUCAGUCGUGGGUGGUUCAUCACGCUCUCCACUUCGGAAUUUGUGACGGAUAUGUCAUCCGAGUCCUCAUGAGGUGGAUGAGUUGGCUCUACAUCCGUAUUGGCGCUUGUCUUGGUUGAUGAGCCCGGUGUCGGAUUAGCUGAUGAUCGGCUAGCUGGGACUUUACACACGGUUCACCAUGUGCUCCUCCGAAAAUAAGAUGGGAGGAGAAGUAUGACAAUCUGGUCUUAUGCCUAGGCACAUGUUAAAAGUUAUAGAUCUUUGAUAAAGGAGGGGGCCCGACGGCGCUCCCGGUUUCCUUUCGUUUUGAAGGCUCACCCUGCGUAGAUGCUACCCUCCUAGAGGCCACCCUCGAUGGAGUGUAGCUCGCUGAUCGCCGGUCCUAUGAAGCACGAUUCAAUGUCAUGGGUGAGACACAAGUGGGUGGCUCCUUUUUUGUGGCUCCUUUUUUGAGGAUGAUUUCCGAGUACUUACCUUGGAGAAAGGGAAAAUGCCGGGGUAGUCGGCCGUAAUAGCCACUUCCGAGCCAUCAAGCCUCGCUUGAUAAAAGACUCCAUCCUCAAACUCUAUAAAUCUAUCCGGAUCCUCGUGAAAUCCGGGGUCCUCGUUGCAAGCAUAGUCCUCUGGCUCUGGGGAGGGACAAUUAAUAUUUUCGACCACCUUCCUCCAUGUCUGUUUCAAGAUGACAAGAACAAUUUGAUUAGCGCACCUGAAUAAUGAGGUAGGACAAUGUUGAUAAACAAAAACUUACCCAUUCAAUGGGGUUAUACAUGGAGAAACCUUCCCGACAAUUUAAACGGAUGAAUUCUUCUUUCUCCCCCUUAUAAAGAUCUAUAAGAAUGGCCGCCAGAGCAGCCGGGGUAUCCGGGCCCUCAUGCUUAUAACGAGAUGCAUCGUACUUCCCAUUGUAACACCAUAAAGGGGUCACUCUAGACUGAAGGGGCUGGAUGCAUCGCUUUAUCGCGAUGGCCAUGACUACGAUUAUCAAGAGUUCGGAAUGGGAGAGUAACCUGACCUUGCUAACUACCUAUUUACUUCUACACUGUCUUCUUGCUUGGGACUCCGUGGGCUCCAAUUGAAACGUUUCUUCAAAGGAGAACUGGAGAAUUCGGGAAGUCCACGUCAAACUUUGUCUGGAAGGGGAACAUCCUCAACAUAAAACCAUUAUGAAGUCCAUUCUUCUGAUCCCUUCUUGGGAGUUCCGACGAGGUAACCUGAUCCGGCUAUGCACCAUACUUCGGCGCCGCCCACUUCAAAUAUAGAACCCCCUUGAUGACGAGGGACGAGGCAAAAGAACUUUCUCCACAGUUUAAAAUGAGCCUCGCAGCCUAAAAUUGUUCGCAGAGAACGAGAAAACUUGAUAUGUGCAGAAUAGAACCUGGUGUGAGUUUGUGCAAUUGGAUCCCGUAGAAUUCCAAUAGACCUCUAAGGAAUGGGUGGAUCGCGAAUCCUAAGCCCCUCAGAAUAAACGAGACGGAGCACACCCUCUCCUCCUUGUUGGGGUUGGGGAAAUUCUAUGCUAGCACAUCAUUGCCAAUCGAGGCCAAUCCUGCCUGCAUGGAGGCUAGAUCUGUGGGAGGGAGAUAUCCCUGCGUUUGAAGUCGAUUCAGUUGGAGGUGAGACACUGAGCAGCUUCGCCAAUCACCCGCUUGAGCGCCAUGAGGGCGCGAGGAGGAGCUAGGAGCGCUCGCCAUGUUUUGAAGUUUUUUCCUGGUUUGCUCUGAUGCUUCUUGCGCAAUAUGGGAUGGCAUUUGGGGAUCUAACCCCUUUAUAUAGAUGCCGCCCUUGCAUGGUAAGGGGAUUAUUUGUAAAAAAUUAUGGACCAUUCGCAUUCGCCUGGCGCGUGGAAAUCGAGGCAAUGACAGGAAGGAAUGUAAAGGCAGAACAUGAAGUUCAAAGCCGGACUGUCGUCAAUCCGGAGUAUGGUGAGGAACCUGCCUUGCAAAGCUGGAUACUACCUCGCCAUUGAAGGCAAGUUCGGGGGCUACUGAGGGAGUCCUGGAUUCGGGGGUCCUCAAGUGUCCGGCCUAUUCGAUAUGGGCCGGGCUGAUGGGUCGUGAAGACGAAGCAGAAGACCGCCUCCCGCGUCCGGGUAGGACUCCUAUGUGCGUAGAACGGCAAGUUUGGUGUCUGGGUGUAAUUUUAUUUGCCUCUGAACCAACUUUGUAUAACCCUAGGUCUCUCCGGUGUGUAUAUAAACCGGAGGGGUUAGUCCACAGAGGGCAUCAGAAUAAUCAUAGGCUAGACAGCUAGGGUUUGGCCAUUACGAUCUCGAGGUAGAUCAACUCUUGUAACCCCUAUACUCAUCGAAUACAAUCAAGAAGGACGUAGGGUUUUACCUCCUUCGAGAGGGCCCGAACCUGGGUGAACACCGUGUCCCAUUGUCCCUUGUUACCAUUGAUCCUUAGACUCACAGCUUGGCCCCCCCUACCCGAGAUCUGCCGGUUUUGACACUGACAGGUAUCCCUAGCCCACCAGGGUUCAAGUCUUGAUACUCGCAUUUGUCAUGGAUUUAUUUCAGGAUUUCCGGUGAUCUGCGGGUCAUUCCGUGCUUGACCCUGCACAGAUCGCACAUGCUCAUCAGACAGUACAACACCAUAGGAUCCACAUCGCGGUUUCCCAGCAUUCCAAUUCUAUGGUCUCGUCGAUUUUUCCUACUUUAUGUGGGAUCAAGAAAUAGCAUGUACAUGGGCCUUCGCACCCAACACACACAGUAGUAUAGCAUGUUCUUUCACAUGUUUUGCCAUUAAUCAUUUGGUUCGAUCGAUCACAAGCCCCUGCUGCUGGACAGCAAAGCGACUAAACACGCAACAAAUCACCAAACUCCAAUUAAUUAUUAUACACCAAAGGUGCACACAAGUUUAACCGAAGAACGAUACUAAAAACUCAGUCGGCUGAUAGGUGGAUCAUCAAAGGAGAAUCAACGCAUCCAGAAGUAAGGCCAACAUAGGAGAGGUGCACCACGCGAGAGACAUAGCCAGUCGAGGAAAUUCAGCCAGUGAUCCUCAGAAGAACCCCCAGACAACGCCACCCCCACGCUGCAUGGUAGGCUUCACAUGCCACCUACUCCAUGACUUUUGCUCCUAGCGUCAACAUCCUUUGAUUUCCCUCCUUUUAU
This 172702-nucleotide long non-coding RNA is filed under the name Triticum aestivum (bread wheat). Its description in RNAcentral is "long non-coding RNA (TAES_LNC009298)". The stretch from base 102625 to 102697 matches the Rfam family "tRNA". The record is from RNAcentral. Lineage: Eukaryota; Viridiplantae; Streptophyta; Magnoliopsida; Poales; Poaceae.